ACUGAGAAUGGCGAGAGAGAAUCGGCGAGGGAUUUGAGGGAAAUUACAGAGUGAGAAAAGGGAGGGAUGCUAUAAUCUCGAGGUGGAGCAUGGAGCUGCAAGCUGAGAAAGGGUAGACUGAGAAUGGCGAGAGAGAAUCGGCGAGGGAUUUGAGGGAAAUUACAGAGUGAGAAAAGGGAGGGAUGGGGGAUUCGAUGGAUGGUUACACAGAGAGACUCGGGAGAGAAAAAGAGGGGAAUGAAAAGGGGAUGGAAACGGACGGAAAAGGCGAUGGCAAUUUUGUAAAUAACUCAAAAUCCAUCCCAAGUCACUGUUCAUAUGAAAUAGUGCAAUUUCCCUUCCUACUUUAGACUAAAGUAAUGAUUUCCAAUUUCUACUCGUACCAGCACUGAGGUAGUUGUUUCAGGAUUGUCGAUACCCUGUUGUAUGCAAUUUGACAUGUCAUCAAAAUAAAGACCUUACGAUUACGAGAGCAUGACUCUAUGGUGUUUCCAACAAGUCCAGUUGAUAAUGUUCUCACAUGAUUAACAACGUGCGCAUUCUAGAAUUUAUCGUUGGCCAAUAUGGUCGGUCGAGUAUAAAUGUUUAGAAGACCCUAAAUUAUAUGUGCCUAGAGCUAGAUAGACCCCUAUUCGGAAUGGACACAAGUACAAAUGUUUGAGGGCGUAGGGUGAGAGAAUGACUUACAUAAUUCAGGGACACUGUUACGUUUCAUGCCAAUAAUACAACAUCGAUAUGUGUAAGUUUUUCUCUACAAAACAAUGUAUCACUGCAAUAAAAUGUCACAAUAAUAAUAUACUUGUGUCAUGUAAAUUACUUUCGUGUAUCAUCAAGAGUACACUAAACGGUGACACUACCAAUUAUUAUUUUUAAAGACACAGUAGAGUAGGAUUAGGACAAAAACACAGUAAUUGCUUAGUGUUGUCGUUAAAUCUUGACCGUUCGAUCGAUCUAAGGGUUGUAAUCAAAAUCCGUGAGAUAGACGGACGCAUUCUAGAAUUUAUCGUCGGUCGAGUAGUAUAAUGUUUAGAAUACCCUAAAUUAUAUGUGCCUAGAGCUAGAUAGACCCUUAUUCGGAAUGGACACAAGUACAAAUGUUUGAGGGCGUAGGGGUGAGAGAUUGACUUACAUAAUUUAGGGACACUAUUAAGUUUUUAUGCCAAUAAUACAACAUCGAUAUGUAUAAGUUUUUCUCUACAAAACAAUGUAUCACUGCAAUAAAACGUCACAAUAAUAAUAUACUUGUAUUAUGUAAAUUACUUUCGUGUAUCAUCAAGAGUACACUAAACGGUGACACUACCAAUUAUUAUUUAAAGACACAGUAGAGUAGGAUUAGGACAAAAAACUCAGUAAUUGCUUAGUGUUGUCGUUAAAUCUUGACCGUUCGAUCGAUCUAAGGGCUGUAAUCAAAAUCCGUGAGAUAGACGGACGUAAUCUCCUACCAGGACUAUGAGUACUUGGCUUCGACAUCCUAUAUAUACAACGAGACACGCCAUUUACAUGCAUACAUACAUCAUCGACGUUCAAGUUUCAAACCCUAACGUUGGCUCUUUUCCGUCUUUUCUCGUCGCCUGUUUUUUGUUCCUUCCAGAAAGUGGAAUCUGAAGAAUCCGACGGCAACGAUGUCGAUGAUAGAUAACGUGUUAAGGAUGAUAGAUAACUUCGAGGACUGGUUUAUAACCAAACGCCAAGAGCUUCAGAAAUCUGCGAGAGUCGCUAUGGAAGCUUUGCUCUGGGAACCCAGAAGUUUCCGGAACGUUUUGAAUUUGGCAAUCAAAUUGACCAAGGCAAUCGUAUUGGUGCCCCUUUGUGUGCUGGCCUUGUAUACUGUGCUCCUGAUUAGGGUGGGAAUCGCUUGUUUGAUCUGCGUCCCAAUACUUUUCAUUAUUUUCAUCGUCCUUGUCGGUGUCCGUAAGUUACUGACCAUAAGACUUCGACUUGCAAAUUAUGUAACCAUGAUUUCUAGUUGUUUGUUCGUUGCUCACCAACUGUCUGUUUAAAUGACUGAAUGAGUUUUUUUGUUUCGUUUCUUUUCUUGCAGGUUACGGUCGGGCACACUAUCUGUUCUUCACAAGACGAAACCGCGCGGGGAUGUCGUAUGCCGACUUCAUUGACAAGUUCGGCGCGUGGUUGACAAACAAUCCUAUUCCACCUUUCGAAUCAUUUGGUGAAUCCGGUCGACAUUGGGCACAGUACAUGUGUGGGCUUCAAAUUGGAAGAAGAUUGAGGAAGAUUUCAGAGUUACCAUGGAAUGUAUGUAGAGAUUAUUAGAUUGGAUGACCAUAAAAUUAAAAUUGCUGCUUCUGUUUAUUUUCUCUCUCUAUUAAUUUAAUUUUUCUUUCUAAAAUAACUACGCCAUUUUAUCGAGAGGCGUAUUGAACGACAUAGCAUCCGUAAGAACGACUUGUGACAUUACGAUACAAAAAAAGAAAGAAAAAAAAAAGCAAUUUGUGACAAAAUAGCUAGGAUUAUGGUUAAAGUAUAGCAUCUAUAUCUAUAUGUUAUUAUUCUUCAUCACUUGGAAGCAACUAUUUUCAAUUAAUUACACAGGAGCACGACAAUGACUGAAACUUUAACAUAGAUAAUCGAACUAUUAGAGUCUAAGAAAAUUUAUUUGGCAAGGAAUUCGGAUUGUGUGGGUUAAAAGAGAGGCCAUACCCUCACUUUUUGUUAGAAACAGACUCUCUAUGUAUGUUGUUCAUCUCCUAUGAACUCGUUCUGUGAAAGUCCCCUUGUUUCUCAAAGUUUAGGGCAAAUUGCUUAUGAUAUAGUGCUCGCUUAAGAUUGCAUUUUUUUUUGCAUAAAUGUAACGAGUGGAAUUGUUUGGCCAAUGAUUUUGCUAAUUAUGGUUAGUCAAUUUGGCUAAACUGUCUUAGGAAACGAUUUUCACACUCUUUUUCAUUCUUUUGCGCUUUUUUAUUUAUUUUUCUAUCUAGCGGUUUGAUUGAAUAAAGUAAAAAAAAAAAGUCAUAAACAAAGAGAUAUAGGCAAGGAAAAGAAAGGGGAGUGUCAAAAUCAUUUUUCGACUGGUAAAUUCAACACAUUUUCAACUAAUAUACUCCUUUUAUAAAAAAUAAAAAAUAAAAAAAUUUCAUUUUUUUUGUCAGAAUAUUUUAUUAUUAUUAUUAUUUUAUAGUCAAAAUUUAAUAUUUCACGUCUUCAUGGACUCUCAUUUUUCUUAAUUAUAUUUAACUCACUAAUGAUAUUGCUCUAUUUAAAAAAAUGUUAGUUUUUUUGUUGCAAUUAAUAUUUCUUUUUUGAACGGACGAAGAUGGCCUUCAAUUUUAAGGAGGACUUGACUUGCAUGGAACAAAUGCACCGUCACAUGGUGCCAUGUGCCAAUAAAAUAAUACAAUGACAUAUGUUAGCUUUUUUCACAUAUCCUUGUGUUUACUGACACAGGACGCCACAGUGGCACUGAAGCCAUGCAAUACAAGUUGUUCUCACUUAAUUAACAUUUACAAUUGAACCUCUAUCAAUUUAGCUAAUAUUAAAUAAUCGAUAAGAUAAUUCCAAUUUAAUUUUAAGGUUAGGGGUGAUUUUCCGUCCAAUUGGAUCUGAAACAAGUAACCCAAUGCCAAUCCGAAAAAGUUUUGGAACAAAUAUUAGUUCCAAAUUAGGAAUUUUGUAUUUUCGAAAUUUAUCGAAAUUUCGGAAUUGAUUUUAUCUCAAAAUUUUUGGAAUAUAAUUCGAAUUUCCUACAUUUUGUGUAAGACUUUUGAAAUUUUUUAAAAUUUUAUGUAUCUGCUGUUCAAUAUUUUUUAUGAUUUCUUUUUUUGCAACAUUUUGUAUGAAAUUAUAAUAGAUAAAAUAAAGAGUGAUUUUGUAUAAAAUCAAUACAAAGUUACCAUAUUGACAAUAGAUCAUCAAAUAUUAUGUUAAAUAUAAAUAGGUCAAUCAUGUAUUGUGAUACUUAAAUGCAUUUAAAAAUAAAACAAAAAUUGCAUAAUUUACCACUACAGCUGGCACCCAAUCUUCAACUGGCACCACACUUUCAACUAGCACCAUCUUUCUCAUAUUUUUUAUAUUUUGGAAUAGGUUAAUACGGAUCAAACACUGCAACACGGUGUCUGUUUCCUAAUUCUGUUUUUUAUAUUUGGAUUCAGACGUUGUGUUGCAGUGUCCAUUUCACAGUUUUGUUUUUUUUCAUCAAUCACAUGCCUCAUACGUGCCCGUUUUUACUUUAGAUUCAGACACUGUAAUGCAAUGUCUAUUUCCCGGUAUUGUUUUUAUUUUUUGAUUCAGACACUACGUUGAACUGUUCAUUUCCUGGUUCUAUAUUUUUUCAUCACUCACAUGCCUUCUAUGCUUAACACCUCACGUGACUCCUGAUUUCUACAUUUGGAUUUAGACACUGCAAUGCAAUGUCUAUUUCCUGUUCUGUUUUUUACAUUUGGAUUCAGACACUGCAACGCAAUGUCUGUUUCCUGUUCUCUUUUUUUACAUUUGGAUUCAGACACUGCACCGUCGUGUCCGUUUCCUAGUUUUCAAUUGUUGAUCAUAGAAGUCUGUGUUUUCUCAUUUGAAUUGCUGACCACAAUGUCCCUUUUUUUAUUUUCGCAUUGUAGACAUGUAAAUGGUGGUGGGAAAAACGCGAACGUAUAAGGAAACAGUUUCGUGAAAUGGGAGAAAUAAAAUCCAAACAAUUUCAAUUGCUUAAUUGGCAAUCGAAAUUGUCAAGCUCCAAGAAAUUGCGAAAGCACCUGUCUACAAUCGUGAAAUGGGAGAAAGCACCUGUCUUUGAUCUCCACAAAUGAGAAAGCCCCCGCCUAGCCGUCUAGGCACUAGGCUCCUACUCGCUGCCCGACUAGUGCCUAAUAUUUUUUAGAACCUAUGAUUAUUGUAAGAACAUUUGACAAAAUUUUAAAACCAAUGAACAUAUAUGGUUUACUUACCCCAUCAGCAUCAUCAGAAUUCCGAAGUGCAGCAACUACGUCGACCAAUUGUGAAAAUUACACAAGCAGGAUGAAUAUUAUCCUUGGCUCCUGAAAAUUACACAAAUCAUAUGGCUGUAAAGAUGACUCACUUGAAACAUCAGACUCUCAUUUCAUUAGCAUCGUCAUUUUCAUUGUCGUCCGAGACCGACUCGUAGUUUAGUGCAACUGGAUCAACCAACUUAGAUUCAUAUGAUUUCCAAUUUCUACUCGUACCAUUACUUGCUAACCAUCACUAGACUUAUGGGGUUAAGCCCUUUUUCAGCACUGAGGUAGAUGUUUCAGGAUUGUCGAUACCCUGUUGUAUGCAAUUUGAGGUGCCCGGAGUUCUUUUUUCAAGGGUAUGACAACCCAAACUCCCAGUCGAUAGUGUCCCCAGUGCAGCUAUCAUCAAGGUAUAGAGGAUUGUUGGGGUCUAUCACCUUGGAGAACACAAGCAAUACUGAUAGCCAUUUUCCGAAUUAAAUGAUUAGGGCUUUCUAGCCUACCUACCAGCAAAGACAAGAUAUAACAGGAUGAUAAUGACCACUGGCGUUGGAGGAGAGAAUACUGAUAGAGACACAGAGAAGUAUUUACAGCUCACUCCUUUGAGAAUUGAGUGCAUCACAUCCUUGGUCUCGUUUAAUUCUUCUUUAGACAUGUUUUCCAUGGAAAGGCCUAUAGCUGCAGAUGCAUCUAAUAUUGCAAGAUUAAGGGACAAAAAAUUCCAAGAGAAGUAUAAUAAAACAAUGAACUUCUCUCGACUGCAAUGGGAUUUUCUAUAGGAAAGUUACAGGCAUUUCAUAUUAAUGUUAGGCUUGUAGCUUCUACAGGGUUUCCCAUUGUAAAGUCCUGACAUGAAAAAUCAUCAGGAUUCAUCGCAGACUAUACCAGAUGCUGGAUAAAGACAUGAAGGAUACAAAUUUUCUGUUCCAUUGGGGCCAAUUGCCCAGACUCUUUCUUAGACCAAACUGCUACCAGAUGCUGCGAUGUAUCUAAGAAAUUUCGGGUAUUGUGACCUUAGCGAGUGAACUACUAUCAGGUGGGCGUUCAAGAAUAGUAAACUGAAGGAUCCAUCGCAGGCAACAAACACGAAAUACUUUCCAGAGUAAAAAUUUGUCAGAAAACAUUGACCUAAUAAAGAGGAAAGCUGAAAUUAAACACUUGUAUAACACAAAACAAUACUGCAAAAUGAAACAGUAGUAAAACAAUGCAUUCUUCCAUAUAACUAAUUAAAGAAAAUCAAGAUUUCCAUAACUGAGCUUCAACUAAGUGAGUUUCGUUUGCUCCGAAACCUUACCGGCAUGAAUUUUGUCUACUUCCUAUCUGAUGAUGUAUAAUCAAAGACGGGACAGUAAUCAUAUGCUUGAAUCCAAUAUUUCAGAAAUUACUACCCAAAAAAAUGUCAAGGUUGAUGGCCAAAAAAAAAAAAAAAAAAAAAAAAAACCAAGUAUCUAUAAAAAAAUGUAGGCUACUCUAUAGAUCAACCCUGGAGAGAGGGGGAGGAGGAAAGAGUUUUUUUUUUUUUUUUUUUUUUUUUUGCAUAAAUUAUCAAUGUAUAUUUCAGAAUUAUGAAAACUCUGGGGAAACAAGCUAGCAAGAUCUGCGCGCAGCGACAGAACAUUCAUACGUAAAGGCAUGCGAAAAAAGGUGUCGAUAUACAAAAACAAUGGCAAACCAAAACCACCGAAAGAGAUGCCAAAGUACCCUCAAGCCAAUCUCCAGGAAAAUCAACCAUCAGUUAUGAUCUUAAGAUUUCAUAAACUCCAUCUGAUUCAACGCCAUUCUCUACCGGCCUGGAGCGUAGGUAAUUUGACACAUAGUUUUCUUCCCAAAACUCAAAUUUUCAAAAUUUACAGCCAAAUAAAAGCCGACAUAUUUCAAGGGAAUUCUACACACAUAAAUUUUUAAAAACACAAUGGCAAGCUACGAUGCAUGGACACGCGAGAAAGCAACCGUAUCCCGUAUCUGACACGCUGAGGAUACGGAUACGCAGAUGAUAGGCGUGGAUACGCGUUCGAUACGUAUUGGAGUGAAAGGAUACGUUUGAGACUGAUGAGAUACGCGUAUUGUAUUGUCCAGAUACAUGUAUCCUACUUUUCAGAUACAUUUGAAACUGAAAUAGGAGGAUAAUCACAAAAAAAAUCACAAAAAAUCUGCAUAGAAUCGUGAUUGAUCGAACUUAGUUAACUGAAAUCACUCUAAAAUCAAAGGAUAAUCAGAAAAAAAAAUAAAAUUCGGAUUUACCUCUAAGAAAUCACUCUGCUUGGGAGACUUUCACAAAUCCCCAUUGACCGUCAUCUGCAACUGUUCCGUGACCCGUCGUCUCCAUCUGCAACUGCGCCAUCGUCUCCCUCUUCUUCAUCUACAACUGCUCCGUCGUCUCCUUCAUUUGUCUGCAACUCCUGGUGAGUCGUAACUGGUGAGCUUUAGUUGUUUUUUCACUAGUCUCUCAGCUUUACUGAUUCUACCCAUUCGAAGACAAUAAUAUUAUAAUACCAAUUGGAAGACAAUCUGAUUCCCCUAGGAAAAGAAUAUAAUAUUAUAGUACCCACUACCCAUCCAUUCCACUACCCGCAUAGUCCAUUCAAAUCUGACAACUUUGGCUUUUCUGUUUUUAACUUUUUCUGUUAUUAUAAUAUUAUUGUAUUUUGCAUAUUAUAGUAUAUUAUUGUGUAGUGGUAUGGAUAUUUAGAUUAUAAUAACUUUUUCUUUACAGUGGAUUAACUCUUACUUUUUAUAUGUUUGUUGAUUUAGGAAAAUGAAUCACCCUAAUAAUCAUGCAAAUGAUAUUGCUAAUCCGGAUGAUAAUGCUAAUCUGGAUGAGAUUGUUAAAAAUGAUCAUACUCCGUUGUGGAAGUAUGUCAAAACUUACAAAGGAUCAUACUCUAGGGUCAGGUUUCAUUUGUUAAAAAUGGCUGGAAAUGGGGUCGCACCUUGCAGUAAGGUUACUGAUGAAAAUCUUGCAGAAAUGAAAAAGUUAAUUCGGGAGUGUGAAUAUAAGCUGAAGAGUUCUGCUCCUAAGAAUGUUUCUUUGCCCAACACUGGUUCUUUUUGUUAUGAUCAACCUGAAGUGAAUCUUGAUCCAAAGAAGAGAAAAGGAACAAGUAGGCCUCUUAGUAAAGCUUUUAACAAGGAAGCUCGAGAUCAAUGUGAUGCUGAAGUCGCAAGGAUGUUUUAUACAGGUGGCUUAUCAUUUAACCUUGCAAGAAAUCCGCAUUAUCGAAACUCAUAUGUUCGAGCUUCUACACUUCCAGGGUAUGUUCCACCAGGUUACAAUGCACUAAGAACUACUUUUCUGCAACAAGAAAAGAGUCACAUUAAGCAAUGCCUCCAGCCAAUCAAGCGCACAUGGAGCACUAAAGGUGUAAGUUUGUGCAGUGAUGGGUGGACAGAUGCACAAAGGAGACCACUUAUUAAUAUUAUGGCAACUUGUGAAAGUGGGCCUAUGUUCUUGAGGGCAAUUAAUUGUGAAGGUGAAUAUAAAGACAAGUAUUGUAUUGCCAACUUCCUUACAGAAGCUAUUAAAGAAAUUGGUCAUGAAAAUGUUGUUCAAGUGAUCACUAACAAUGCUCCUGUCUGUAGAGUUGCUGAGCUACUUAUUGAGGCCCACUAUCCCCAUAUCUUUUGGACACCCUGUGUUGUUCACACUCUUAAUCUUGCUUUGAAGAGUAUAUGCUCUCCGAAACAAACAGAUGUUUCGUAUGAUGACUGCAAUUGGAUUUCAACUAUUGCAAGUGAUGUUUGGUCCAUAAAAUUUUUUAUUAUGAACCAUAGCAUGAGAUUGUCUAUGUUUAAUGAACAUUGCAAACUAAAGUUGCUCUCCAUUGCCGAAACAAGGUUUGUUUUCUCCAAUUUUUUUCCUUUUUUUUUCUUAUUCAAUUAUGAGCUAUCCUAAUUAUUAAAUUUUUCAGAUUUGCUUCCACACUUGUGAUGCUUAGAAGAUUUAAGGAAGUAAAGGAAGGUUUACAACAAAUGGUGAUUAGCCCAAAUUGGGCUUUGUACAAAGAAGAUGAUUUGGUUAAAGCAAUGACGGUGAAGCAAAAAAUAUUGGAUGAGUACUUUUGGGAGAAGAUUGAUUAUAUUCUUUUCUUUACAGCUCCAAUAUAUGAGGUUAUUAGAAUGGCUGACACAGAUAAACCUUGUCUUCAUUUGGUGUAUGAGUGGUGGGAUGCUAUGAUUGAAAAGGUGAAAGCUGCUAUCUACAGGAAUGAGCGCAAGGCAUUACAUGAAAAAAGCAGCUUUUUUGAUGCGGUGUAUCGCAUUUUAUUAGAGCGAUGGACUAAAAGUAGCACACCACUUCAUUGUUUGGCGCAUUCAUUAAAUCCAAGGUAAUGAUUUUGCUAAUAUCCUUAUAAACUCUUCCAAAAUUAAUCUUUAGCUUUAUGAUUAUAUUUUUAAAGUGCUAUUUCUUUUAUUUUAGGUAUUAUAGUUCAGAAUGGCUCCAAGAAGACCCUAGUCGGGUUGCUCUACACCGAGAUGUUGAGCUUACAACUGAAAGGAAAAAGUGUUUUGAGAGAUACUUUUCCAAUGAGGAAAUUAGAAGAAGUAUCAAUGUGGAGUAUGCCUCUUUCUCUAUGUGCUUGAAUGACUUUGGAGCUAUUGAUUCUAUGAAUGAUAGGUUUCAUUUGGAACCAGUAAUGUGGUGGAUUGUCCAUGGAGCUUCUACACCUAGUCUCCAAUCCAUAGCGUUGAAGCUACUUGGACAACCUUGUUCCUCCUCUUGUUGUGAAAGAAAUUGGAGCACUUACAGUUUUAUUCACUCUCUAAGAAGGAACAAGAUUACACCACAAAGAGCCGAGGAUUUGGUAUUUGUGCAUAAUAAUCUUCGUCUUUUAUCAAGGAAUAACGCAACCUACAAAGAAGGUAUUAGUCAAUUGUGGGAUGUUGGAGGAGAUGGCUUUGAAAACUUGGGUGAAGAAAGUGUCGGGAUGCUUGAUAUUGCUAACCUUUCACUUGAUGAACCGUCAUUGGAGACUACUUUGAUUACUGGAGGAGACAUCAUGAACGUGGAAGUUGAAUGAGACUUUUUUUUUUUUAAUUUCAUUUGGAUGUUCUUUUUACUUUUUCAAGUUUUAAGACUAAUUGCUUGUUGGAUGGACUAUCUUUCUAACAGUUUAGAGUUUAUUGAAUAAUAAAUUUGAAUGCUUAUUUUAUAAUGUUUUAGAUAUAUUUUUAUUUAUUUAUUUAUUUAUUUAUACAUAUUUUUAAUUGCCGUAUCCUUGACGUAUCGUAUCCUCGUUUUUUGAAAUUUGAUGUAUCCCCGUGUCGUAUCCCCAUAUCCGUGUCCAUGCAUCAUAGAUGGCAAGGUAACUAGAGCUAAAAAAAAAUACCAAUUAACGGAAACCGAGCAGAUGACGAAAAUGCGGCUCCUCCAUAGAAUGCGUGCCACCACUCUCUCCUCUCAUCUGCCGAAGGAGCCUCGGAACUAAGUAGCUGCACACCAAGGAGGAAAAAAUCGAUAAUAUCGGCAAAAUAUAUCGCCGAUAUUAUCGUUUUUUUUGAAGUUCCGAAAUUUUUUUAACUAUCCAACCUAUUUUUGUCAGAAUAUCACGAUAUUAUCGAUAAUAUCGCGAUAUUUUCAAAAUUAUCGAUAAUAUCACGAUAUUUUAUUAAAAACAUACUUAAAUAUGUUGAGAAAACUCAACACAUAGUUAACUUGAUCAUGGCCCAAAGGCCAAACAAGUUUUGAUUAUCUCACCAGGGGAGUGUGAGUUUUAUAGGAAAAAUUCAUUGCUCACUUCCUUGCAUGGGCGAUGUGGGACUCGCCCAAUGGGGGAAAAAAUCAAAAUUUCGGCCGAAAUUUUGCACUCACUUUAAAACGGCCAUAACUUUGUCAAAACUCAACGAAAUCAAGCAAGACAAAAACUAAAGUUGUAUCCCUCGAAGAGACGAAGAGAAUGGUACCUCACACAAUGUCUGAAUCGUAGUGGUUUGGCCGGAAAAUGCCUCGAAAGUCACUGAGGUCGCUGAGGUCGUCGGAAACUGGGUAAGAUUCAAAUGAGUAUAACUUUUUCAAUACACAACGAAAUUGAGUGAAACAAAAAUAAAAGUUGUAGCCCUCGAAUAGACGAAGAGAAUGGUACCUCACACGAUGUCUGAAUCGUAGUGGUUUGGCCGGAAAAUUCCUCGAAAGUCACUGAGGUCGCUGAGGUCGUCGGAAACUAGGUAAGAUUCAAAUGAGUAUAACUUUUUCAAUACGCAACGAAAUUGAGUGAAACAAAAAGGAAAGUUGUAGCCCUCGAAUAGACGAAGAGAAUGGUACCUCACAAGACGUCUGACUCGUUGUGGUUUGGCCGGAAAUUGCCUCGAAAUCUACUGAGGUCGCCGGAAACUGGGUAAGAUUCAAAUGAGUAUAACUUUUUCAAUACGCAACGAAAUUGAGUGAAACAAAAAAGGAAAGUUGUAGCCCUCGAAGAGACGAAGAGAUUGAUACCUUGCACGUCAGCCAAAAUUCAAUUGACACACUCCUAGCUUCCAAAAUUCAAUACUUUUACUUUAUAUCAAGUUGAAAAAACAUAAUCGGCAUCCAAAUUAAAUUAAAGUUUAAUCUUAUUCAAUGUAUUGAUUUUCAAUCGUUAAUUGAUAUAUACUAUAAUUUGGAACUUCAACGCCUAGACGCAUGCUUAUGUGUAAGAAAUUUAAAAUUGUCAAAUUUGGCACAUUAUUCUUCAUCAUUUUAUUCACUUCCCUUUUUUUUUUUUUAAUAUCCUAAAUAAAACCUCCAAAUAUUGUACUAAUUAAUUAUAUAUAAAUGAUUAUGGUGUGUUUAAACUUCUUUCAUUAAUUACUACAUAUUUUCUACACUCACAAUGUUUGCCAGCUCGCUAUAUAAUCAACUUAAAUCAGUUAAAUCCAUCAUGCAAUGCAUUUCCUUCCAAUUUUUUGUGAUAAACUAAUAGAUAAUUGACUAAAUAAACAUCCUACAAAGUUUCAUUAAAAAUUUCCAAGUUUUUCUUACAAUUUCCGUGGUUUCCAUGUAAUUUUUAUCGAUAUCGAUAUUAUCCCGAUAUUUCCAUCGAUAUUUCCGUGUUUUCGGACUACCGAUAUUUCCGAUAUUACCGAUAUUUUCUUCCUUGCACACACAACACAACAACAGAAGCUCAGAACUCAAGAAAAAUCGCAGCAACAAAUAAAUUUCGAUAAAAUUCACAAAUUUGCCAAAUUCAUUAGCUCACCUGCUCUCUGUAUUGCUCGUCAAUAGCACUUGAAGUUCCAAAUUUCACAUCAUUCAACUUCCAAAAAAUCAUUCUUUCACUUACAAUCAAACGACACAAAAAGUGAAAAAAGUUCAAUCUUUUGGUUUUGGAAAUUUCUCGGAAACCAAACAGGCGUUUCAGGAACUCGGGUAGAAGUUGGAAAGUUACCUGAGAGAAGAGAGGCGUCGAGAGGGAAGAGAAGAACAAGCGCGCAGAUGACUUGGUAUACGUGCUUCGCCUUCUUCACGGCUGCGAUUUCUUCUCUUCCACUUCGCUUCAUGUUUUGGAGCCUUCUCCUCCGCGUUUGUUUGUUUCUCUCUGCAUCAAUCUGAAGCUUCUUGCAGCCGAUUUUUUGUUCACCGAUACGUAGUGAGUCUAUUUUUUCGGCGGGAAAAAUAAUCAGUUUCGGGAAGAGACCGUUUCGAGACUUCACGGCUGCGUUUGAUUUCCAAAAAUACACAAAUUUUUUAGUUUUUAUUAUGUUAAUUUUAAUUUAAACUUUUUUUCCUAUACCAUUUGCAAUUUAAUGGGGAAAGUUUGCGAAAAUAAUUUUUAUCGUCUUUUGUUCUGUAUUUAUCUUUUUUAUUUAAGUCUUUAGAUUUAUUUUUUAUUUAUGUCGUUUAAUAGUUUAAAAAUUAAAAUAAAUAUUAUAAAAAACAAAUUUUUGCAAACCGUCUCUGUAAUAAUUUAUAAUUUAAGCCAAAUCAAGCAUAAAAAAUAUAUUUAUUAUCAAAUAUCCUUUCCUUUUUAAUGUCAUACCCAAAAGUUAAAAAUAAAAAUAGUUUCAUUUUUUCUAGUAAUUUUUGGAGAAUAAUUUUGUUUAGCUAAUUGACCAAAAAACCAGAAAGUCUGUUAAACCUUAACAAACCCGAGUUGAAGCAUAGAAACGGCGGUGCUAAACCUCUUCUCUCCAAGCUCCGGGCCAAGCCGGUCCGGACCGCCUCGGGCAUCGCCGUCGUGGCCGUGAUGUCGAAGCCUCAUCGGUGCCCCACAUCGCCACCACCGGUAAUAUUUGCGUGUACUUACUGCCCCGGUGGUCCCGAUUCGGACUUUGAGUACAGCACUCAGUCUUACACUGGAUAGAAGCCUACUAGCUUGCGCGCAAUUCGGGCAACGUAUGGCUUUUCUCUAGUUCAUUUGACGCAUUUUAUCGAACACUUGAUAGGGAAUUCCAGUUUUAUGUUAUUCAUGAUUCGUUUCGAAGUUUAAAGUUUUUGGCUUGAUUGAUUUUUCACCAUGAAAUUGAGAGCUUUGUAAUGAAGAGAUUAUUUGAAGGAAUUGGUGUUUAAAAUUGGAUUAUUGAAGUUAAUUUGGUAGUUAAUCAUUUGGUUUUUGUGUGUUUAGAUACAACCCAUAUGUCCAGGCUAGAAGCAGGAUAGAUCAGCUGAAGAGAUUGGGUCACAGUGUAGACAAGGUUUGGUCUGUUCUAUGUUUAGAGCUUAAAGAGUUUAUUUUUCGGGUUUGCAGAUUUCCAUGAUAGAGUAAUAUGCAUAGUUGUCGCCUUAUAACUGGUACUGAAUUUGUGUUUUCAGGUCGAGCUCAUCUUAAUGGGCGGUACUUUCAUGUCGUUGCCCGCGGAUUACUUUAGGCGAUGUCCAACUGAUGGCUGAUCAAAUGACUCGUUUUAGCCUUCUGGCCCUCUAAAAUUUUUCAAGAUAUUAAUAUUUUUAUUGAAUAGUACAUGGUUAUAUUUGCCUCCGUCUUCAACCGAGGGCCAAAAGCCCAUAGGGCUAAACAUAAUUUAUUAUUUAAAAACUGCAACUUAAAUUCAAAUUCAACGGCUAAGUGACGUCAGCAUGACGUUAGCUAACCGUUGUUUAAUGUUGUUUCAUGUUACUUAAUUUAAUUUAAUGUUGUAUAAUGGCUUAGGAAGUUAUAGGAAAAAAUAGAAUUUAAAAAAAAUAUAUGAAACAAAUUUUGUGAAAUAGAAGUUAUAGAAAAAAAUGGAAUUUAAAAAAAAUAUGAAACAAAUUUUGUGAAAUAGAAGUUAUAGAAAAAAAUUAAAUUUUAAAAAAAUAUGAAACAAAUUUUGUGAAAUAGAAGUUAUAGGAAAAAAAAUAUGAAACAAAUAAUAAUAAUGUAAAAAAAAAUCAAAUCAAAUGCAACGGCUAGUAGCUGUUUCAUUUGAAUUUUUUCUUAAUAAAUCAUGUCGGUUAUAACCGACAGGAAUAACAAAACAUUAAAAAAAAAAUAGUCAACCCGGGGCUAGCUGGCUGACCAAAAGCAGCCAGCCCUUUGGCCCUUUGGCCCUUUGAAAUUCUGUGGGGCCCUCCCAGAUUCCCGAGCCCUCUGGCCUAGCCCUCGGUUUGAGACGAUUUUAAGGUUACUUUCGACCUUCUGGCCCUCUGGACCAUUCGGUUGGAGAUAGCCUUAUUAGAAAUUGGAGUCCAUACGAGGAUGUGGCUCGUGACAUUCUUUUUGCUUGGCAAAGGAUGCUGGUUUUAAGGUCAGCCUAGUCCCUUAUCAUAAAACUCACUUACCUUCACCGUGGGAAAAGAACGGAUUUUGGACCUUUUAUAUCUACAGUGACAGGAGAUUAAUCUUUCAUCAAAACAAUUUGUGAGCCCAUAAUUAAGCGAGAAUAUUUAUCAAAAGGGAUGUGAUAUUCACACACUCCAUUUUACUUUUCACACAUUUUUCUAAUUUUCGGCCUUCAGAUCGGAUAAAUUGAAGAAGAUCAACGGAUAUAAAUUAACAAAGGGUGUGUGAGAAGUAAUUUGGAGUGUGUGAAUAGUACACCCCUUAUCAAAAUCUAAUUGGUUUUGGUGUUAUCAUUCACUUUAUCUAAAAGUUCAAGAAGAAGUAUGUGUUUGUAUGGCUGAACAUAAAUAAAAAAUAUGGGCAAUAAUGUGAUUCCACACAAACCAAAUCUCACUUCUGUUUUUUUUUUUUUUUUUUUCCUUAAACUUCAACUACAUGUGAUUAUAACAUGUCUCUAAUAUUUGAAAAAAAAAAAGUCACUCUCCCUUCUGUCCCCGCUCCUAUGUUUUUUCUCACUUUCUCUCUUCUUUUAAGAACAAAAAUAAAAAAUGUUCACACACACUUUAUAUGUGGGCAUCCACUAGUACUAUUAUUAAGCAAAGAGCUUUGUCAACUUUCUUAAAAUGACAAUCAUGUUCUUAUUUUUCCUAUGUUAACCUUACUUUUAGUACACAAUAUUUAUAAAUAUAAGUACAAAGUAAUAAUUAUGUAAUAUAUUAAAAUAAUAAAAGAUAUGUCCACGUUAGAAGAAUAUGUCCCAUUAUUGUCCCAUUUUUCAAAAAUAAAUUUUUUUUUUAAAUCUAAUCAUAUUAUUUAAUAAAUAAAAAAUGAAAUUGUUCACUCAGAGUGAUCUGCUGGUUUAUAUUUAACAAGGAGACCAUCCAGGCAUCAAUGAUUAACUGGUACGCAUGAUUGGUGUGUUCCCAGACCACCUAUGUGAUUGAAGACUUAUUUAAAAGAGUGGUCAAGAAUAGGUAGAGCUGUUGAGCUACUUGGAGUCUAAAAUUUGGCAAGAAAUAAGCCAUAGCACUUUGGUAGAUUGAUAUAGAAUUUAUUCUGAACUAUAAAUAUAUCAUGCAUGGUGGAACUGUUGCGGGAGUAUUAAUGAAAAUGAAUAAUUACGAUCAUUCGUUGGAGUCUUCAAUUAAUAAAAUAUGAGAUUUAUAAAACAUAAAAGUAAAAGUAGUUGCGAGUUCAUUCUCGGAGUACCAAAAUCUAUGUUUAGCCUAAAGUCACUAAAUAAGGGAGCGAAGCCCCUCAGAUAAUGUCUGAUAAAAUGGUCAUAUUUGAUUUCAAAUUUGUGGACUGAAAAAUGAUUAUUAAAAAAAAGAAAUUGAGUUAUCUGUUAAUUGGGUUAACAUAAUAAAAGGGUUGUGAUUUUCACACACCCUUAAUUUCCUUUCCCACACCCCUUCUUAUUUUUUAAUACUUAAUUGAUAUCUUACUAUUUACUCUUCCAUAUAUACCCUUUUUACUUUUUGACUUUUAAAAGUUGUUUUUUAUUUUUUGAUUGUGUUGUAGAUUGGAGUAGCAGCCCGAUUCUUCCCACUCCCCUGCUUUUUCCCUUGCUUUCUCCCGCUUCUUCCCCAAAACCCAGACACCUCCUGCUUUUUCCCCAAACCCAGACACCUCUCGCAGCCCGAUUCCCUCGCCGCCGUAAAUAUUUCCACUGCUUCUUCGAAGCCUCCCACUCCCUCCGCCAAGCCCAACGAGAGACCUAUUCUGAAAUUUCCACUGCUUCUUCUCUUUCCGUUCCCCUGUCCUCUUUAUUACUUCUUGUGAAAAACCACAAUGGAUGACCUAAUAAUAACAGAUGAAGAACUCCAGAUGGACAUUGAGUUGCAGAAGAUAUUGGAUAUGGCAUGCAAGGAGGAUGGCAUGGAAGAAAUUUCAGAAUGCAUUCCUCCUUUUAACACUUUUGAUGGUAAUUUUCUAAAGUAUUUUCUCAAAUUAUUAAGAUUGAUUUUGGAAUUUAGGGUUUUUGUUCUCUUCUUGCCUCAAUUUGUUUUUUAGGUUUAGUUUUUUCUUUCCCUAAUUUGUGGUUCAAAUGAUAAUUGAAUGAAUGAAUACUGGUGGUUUAAGAUAAAUGUAUCAUGUAACAAUGAAGUAACUGAAUCCAGGGGAAGAAAUCAGAAAAUCACGAAACUAAGUUUGUAAAUGUUUUUGACAUCAGAAUUUUUUUUACAAGAAUAAUGAAAAAUUAGGCAAUGCUCAGAGACUAAGGAGCAAAAGAUUAAAAACUACCAUGCUUACGUGAAUGCACCGGGCAAUGCUCUAUAACAUAUUUUCUCUUCAUGUACACGGCAAUGCUCUAUAAUAGAGAAUAUUGAUUUGUGUUGGUUUUGGGGAAAUUAAUUUUCUAUUGGAAUCUAUUGGUCCCCAAUACACUUUAACUUAAUGGUAAAUUGGUAUUAGGUUUAAUUGUUGUGGUUUUACCUAGGCUCCAUGUUUUGGUGUAAACUUGAUAUAAUGCAUACAAUGCUUUGGUACAAUUUGAUACUUAAAUGUCUAGUCCAUUGAUAAAAAGUAUAUAUUCUACAUAUAUAAAUGUGUUGGUUUGUGAUAUAUAGGAAGUCAACCAACGAUUGAUGAGCCCGAUAAAAUGCUUUCUUUGUUGGCGAAAUGUUUUGAAAGUCGAGAAGACCUCAUCGGGGAAGUUCGUAAGAUAGCAUUAAUGCAAGGGUUUGCAACCGUUAUUAGAAGAUCUAAGACAAAUACAUAUGUUGUAUUGGUUGUGAUAGAGGUGGGGAUUAUCGAGCCUCUAAAACUUCACUAGAUGAAAGAAAAAAAAACUCAGGAUCUCGCCUCAUAAAUUGUCCAUUUGAAGUCAAGGGGCGUAAAAAGAAAUGUGAAGAAUUUUGGAAGCUAGAGAUAAAAAGUUUAUUGCAUAACCAUGAACUUUCAAAUGACAUGUGUGGACAUCCUUCUUGUCGUCAAUUUUCACAAGAGGAAAUCUUACGAAUUAAAGAAAUGAGUAAGGCUGGUAUACCACCACGCCAAAUUCUAUCUUCGCUUCGGCAAGGCAAUCCUCAUCUUCAAGUAGUUUCUCGAAACAUCUAUAAUCUAAGAGCUAAGAUUGUGAAGGAGAGUCUAGCUGGGCGUCCAGUUAUUCAAGCAUUAUUAGAAGAACUUGGUGAAGGUGGUUUCACUUAUAACAUUGAGUAUGAUCAUGAAGGCCACUUGACUCAUUUGAUCUUUGCUCAACCCUUGUCUAUAGAGUUGACCAAGAGCUACCCAUAUGUUUUUGUGAUGGAUUGCACAUAUAAGACCAACAAGUAUAAGAUGCCAUUAUUGGAUAUCAUAGGAGUUUCAAGUUUCAACACAUCCUUUUAUUCUUGUUUUGUUUUCAUGCAAAAUGAGAAAGAAGAGGAUUAUGUGUGGGCUCUAAAAAUGUUUAGUAAGAUUUUGGGAGUUGAUAAUCAUCCUAUGGUGAUUAUAACGGAUAGGGAGUUGGCAUUAAUGAAUGCUAUACGCAUUGUCUUUCCGAGUACUUCCAAUCUUUUGUGCGUGUGGCAUAUUGAGAAAAAUAUACUUGCAAAUUGUAAAGCUCAUUUUGAGGAAGAAGUUGAUUGGAUUGAUUUCAUUUCUACUUGGACAAUUUUAAUCCAAUCUCCUAAUGAAACAUCAUUCAAUGAAGCUUGGAGUCGUUUUGAAGUUAAGUACGAGGAGAAGAAAUUUGUUUUGAAAUAUAUUCUUGGUACUUGGCUUCCAUACAAAGAAAAGUUUGUAAGUGCAUGGUCAGAGAAAGUUACCCACUUUGGUAACCGUGUUACUUCAAGAGCCGAAGGUGCACAUGCAACGCUAAAAAAAUAUCUUCAAGUUUCAACUGGAGGUCUUCGCGAGGUAAAAGAAAAAAUAUGCCUUGCUAUUGAAAAUCAAUUUCAAGAAAUCAAAACUCAACUUUCAAGUGAAAAAGUUAGAGUUUCACACAAGUUUCGACUUCCCUUCUUCAAAGAGGUUGUUACUCAUGUAUCUAGAUUUGCAUUGAAUGAGUUAUAUAAUCAAUAUGAAGCAUCAAGUUCUUCUGAUCUUCCAUCUCAAUGUAAGGGUCAUUUUCUCAAGACAAUGGGUCUUCCUUGUGCUCACAUGAUUAGAGAGAUGAAUAUUGAAGUCUUGCAACUAAAUGACAUAUUUCCAUAAUUGAGGAUUGAUAGAAGAUUGUUUGUCAAUGAUCGUCAUGUAAGCUUGGACAAUGAACAAGAUCAAAUAAGCGGCCUUCUAUUGGUGUUUAAAGAUAAGUAUGAAAAGUUGCCUCUUACUCAAAAAGAGGAUACCAAAAGGCAACUUUGUGAAUUUAUUGAUACUUCUCUUCCAUUAACUCUUGAGCCUAAUGUUAAACCUCACAAAGGUCGUCCAAUGGGUUCUAAAAAUUAGGGGUGGGCACUUAGAACCGAAAACCGAAACCGAAACACGAACCAAAUCGAACCGCACCGAAUGGUUUGGUUUUGCGGUUUUGGAACUGUUUUGGUUUUGAAACCGAACCGCAUCAUAGAAAACGGUUUGGUUUCGGUUUUGGCUUUUGAAAACCGCAUCGAAACCGAACCGCACCGCAAAUAUUAAUAAACAUUUAAUUAAAUGUCCAUAUUAAAUUUCAUGUUUUAAUUGGUUGUUUGUUAGAAUCCAUGCACUUAGUAUGGACACAACCACACUGGAAUAUCAUCAUUCAUCACUUUCUUUCGUUCAUUAACUUCAAGGACCUUUGUUAUUUUAUACCAUCACACACACACACACACACACAUAUAUGUACAAGGGUGGACUAAUCUUGUUAUCAAGAGUCGAACACUGAUCUAAUGAAGUCCACUUAUUUGAAGCAUGAUAUCACAUAUUCUAGUAUGAAAGUUUCACUCAUGUUUAAUGAAUUCAAAGUUAUUCAACUUGUUUUAUGUUAUACUUUGUACGGGACACCUUUUUGUUGCACAAACAUAUUUUAACAUCACAACUGCAUGCAACAUGCUAAUUGUUUAUAUAACAAAUGUAUUUUUCCUAUUGCUACUGGGAAAUGCUUAUUAAUAUGUUUAAUUUCAAAUUGUACAUUUUUUCUUAAAAACCAAACCGAAACCGUUUGAAACCACACCAAACCGAACCAAACGAUUUGGUUUUAUUUCGGUUUUGGCUUCAAAACCGCACCGAACCAAACAGCAAACAAUUUUAGUUUUGGUUUUGGUUUCACUCAAAACCGCACCAAACCAAACCGUGCCCACCCCUACUAAAAAUAGAAAAGAAUCAAGCUCUACAAAGCGUGGUCCUUCAAAGUUUGAAAUAGUGGAGAAGGCUCAGAAACGUGCUCGACGGGUAUGUCAUUUUUUUUAUUUAUCUUUUAAUAUUGUCUACUAUGGUCAUGAUUAUUUAUAUAUACGUAUAACUUAAUGUUCAUUGUUUAUAGGUGUGAUGAGCAUAAUGAUUUGCCAAAGAAACUUUUUGUUAAUAAUAGCUUAGAUGUGUAAAGAACACAUUAAGGUACAUAUAUUUUUGUUGAUUUUUCCCCAUAAAAAUACUAAUUAAGUUUGUAAUUUUCUUUCCUUUUGUUGACAUGUUUUUAUUUUCUUGUAGGUUGGAGUGCAUGGGUUUCAUAUCUUUUGGUAAUAUUGACAUCUCCUUUUGAACACAAGAUUAAAGGCCAAACAUAGUGUAGGCAGAAUGUGAAAGCUUGUAAUGAUAUCUGAUGUAUUUUUUGGGGCAUGAGGCUACUAUUAUGGGGAUUAAAGUGUAUGUGGAUUGCUUACUAGUAUUUUGUACAAUUCAUGUAACUUAUGCAUAUAUGCUAUAUCAUUAGGUAAUCGUUUUAUUUUUAUUUAUAUAAUAGGUGUUUUAUACUUGUUUUGGGAUCUCUCAGAUUAGGCAGUAGAGCUUGAGUUACAAAAGGCAUAUAUGGUUGAGUGUUAGAAAAAGAAAAAAACAAGUUUAAAAUAAAAUAACAAAAGUAUUUUAAAAUUUCAAUGGUCAAAAAGUAAAAAUGGUAUAUAUGGAAGAGUAAAUAGUAAGAUAUCAAUUAAGUAUUAAAAAAUAAGAAGGGAUGUGGGAAAGGUAAUUAAGGGUGUGUGAAAAUCACAACCCUAAUAAAAUAAGGAGAGAACAUUACAUUCAUACAUUAUUGAGUUAGUAGCUCACCCAUGACAAGUGUUGAAUUAGAGAAUUGAAAAGUAGUUUAUUUUUUUUCAAUAGGUGGUGGCGAGAAAAAUACAACCUACUCGGUUUCAGAAGACGAUUUACAAAUUGCCACGAAUAUCAAAGAAUUGGUCUUUGUCCAAAAGUUUUGGUUUUUGUCCAAAAGUAUUGGUCUUUGUCUCAUGCCGUAAUUAUUUUCCAAUUUUCAUAGAUUAUAAUCUUCGUCUCCAUCUUCAUCUCCGUCUCAUAUUUCAUAUUUAAUUUCCAUAGAUUAUAAUCUUCGUCUCCGUCUCAUAUUUCAUAUAUUCAUCGAGCUCAUCAACAAGGAGUCCAAUCAUUGCAACUCUUUUGUGAGCUUCCAUAUGCCCCUGAGUAUGUUAUUAUGCACUCUUACUACCAUAGAUAUCCUUCUAGAAUAUAUUUGGAAUAAAGUAUUACGUGCUUAUGAGCUUUAUCUCAUCAUUUGUUUUACUUUUUUCUCUUAUUAUAUAUGUCACUCAGAUUUAGAGCAUUCAGCCUUGAACACAAGAUUUUGAAUUCGAUUUCUUCUUCAUCAAUGUUGCUUGUAUAAUAGAAAGGGGUAAGCUAUUGAUUUGUACCAUUAAAUUGAAUUUGCUUUAUGAUCUUCUGUCGACUUUUGGACUUUGUUGCAGGUAUAAAAGUUGAUCCUUACCUUGAGCUCUAUCUUCUUGUAAAUUUUGGUAGAAUUUGGAGUUAGUCUGAAAAUUGAGAAACCACCAUGUGUGGCGGCGCGAGUGAAAGUCAAAAUUUAUGGAUUUUGGACAGCGAGACGUUCUCGAUGUCCUGAGCCCUUAUCCAAAAUCCAUUCAUUACGAUGGUUCGAUUAUUCAAUUUUUGGAAUAAUUGACUGCCGUAUGAUUUUUGUAAUUGAUGACAAUCUAAUUGUUGGAUUGUCGUACAAUUUUUUGAGCAUCAUAGUUAUUAGUUGUUUGAUCUUUGAGAACUUAUGGAUUGGAAAUCCGAUGUGCUAAUCUCCCGAAUUAAAUAACCUACGUUGUUGACCUUAGAGGACCUACUUAUCGACAGUUGACUUUUUAGUCAAUGUGCCCUAUUCUAGAGUGUCGUUGUUAUAGAAUGUUAUUGAGGCUUGAUGGAGCUUAGUUGUCUCAUUUCAAUGGUGUGUGGUUCUCGGUUGACAUGCAUCUCGAUUUACGUUCAAGUGGCACUUGGUCUCGUUUUAUGUGUCGGUCUUAUUAAGUUUCUUAAGUGGGGUUUGUGUAUUGUAUUAGGUUCCUUGGAGCGGAGUCGGUGAAUCCGAAAGUGCAAAUAACCCAGGUGAGUGACUUUAAUAUUAUAUGAUAUGGUUAUUACCCAUGAGAAUUUCCUUGUUAUGUACUUUGUGGAUAUAACAUGAAUUUACAAAUGAUUUUAUGGAAAUGUGUGCCACUAUGCUAUGUUUACUUGAUGAUGCUAUUGGAAAAUAUAUAUAUGUUAUGCCUGAAAAGAUUGUGGUACAUGAGGGCUAGUAGAAGACCGCUAACCCAAUACAUGGGGUAAUGUGGAUAAAAUCAGAAUCUGCACCAUGUAGAAGUGGUACAUGGAUGGUCGUGCUUGGUUAAUCCGCAAUGGGGGACCAUACUACUUUGGGAUCGUGCUUGGUUAAUCCAGGAUGAGCGAUCCUUAUUAUUUAGGUAUGUCCAUACAUAUUCAGGGGUGAUCAUGCUUGGUUAAUCCGCAAUGGGUGAUCACUCUCUAUUAGUAUCAGUAGGAGUGACUCUGCUUGCUUGGUUAAUCCGUUAUGGGAGGGGGGGACCACAUCCUAAUUGGUUACCUAUUGUAGGCCUCGGCCAAACUGUGUCUCUCUAUAGCCCUAGACUAUUUAUUACAUAUAUGAAAGAUGAGAUUGAAGGCAUGUGUGGCUCAAUCUAGAAAGUGAAUUGAAUCAAAUAGUUUACAUGAUGGUGUUGCCUUAAAGAGAAUGAUUUCGGAUGUAACUCAUUCCUACUCAUAACGAAGAGUUGUAAUGAUGAAAUAGAUACCAAUCUCAUUCCUACACGUGAUUGUAUUAUUGAUGUUGUGUCAUUCAUACACAACUUCGGGUUGUGUGAUGACUAAGAAUGUUGUUAGAAGACGUGUGGUGAGAUUCAAAUUGAUUAACCAUUCCUAUACGUAUAAUGAGGUGUAUGGUGGUUAAAUUAUGAAAUAUGUGGCAAUUGGACCCUUGUGAUUAUUCGGAAAAUGAGAAAGGCUAGUGGUGAGUUACAAUUCGAAGAGAAUGACAAAAUGAUAUUGACGGUGAUUAAAUUGACCCAGUAUUCAGAGAAAAGUCAUGUGAGGACAUAACACUACUUCGUAGCUUAUCCGGGUUUUGAUUUGCCUGGUGCACCAUUCCCAAGGCGUAGGGUUAUUUUGCAGAGCAAUGGGUAGAGGUUAGAGAAGAAGGUUGCAGGUUAUGCAGCUGUGUGGGCAUCGCAUUAGAGAAUAGGAUUGCCACCCUUUGUUGUAAGCUAUUUCCGCUAAGCUCUGAUGUAUAUUAUAUGUAUGAGUCUCAGUGACUCUUAUGUAUUUUAUAUUGUACUACUACUGUUUUACCGUCGCGUGUCGAUUCCGAACAUGUCGAUCGGGGCAUGACACUAUUACAUAUAUAUUGAACAUAUAAAAUGCAAAAUGAAAAUUUUCUAUUUUCUGUAAAGCCUAUAACAAUUUAUUGAAAAAAAUGAAAGUAUUCAACAAGUCUAUUACAAUAUCUUGAAAAAAUAAAAUGCAAAGUAAAAGUUAUCUAUUUUUUGUAUAGGCGGGUCUAGGCGGGCGCCUUAGUAGGUCUAGGCGUCAUUUAUUAAUUUUCAAAUUCCUAGGCAUUAAUCGGGGCGGUGGCCAACCACUGGGCGCUGUUGGGAUUUUUAGAGCUGUGGUUAACAUGUUGAUUUAACAUGUUGACCCAAAACCUGUUAUUUCUUUGUCGUUCAAUGUCUGAUUAACGGGUCGUGAAAAAAAAAUUGUCUGGUAUUUGUGUAGAGUUCAAUCUACUAUACCCAAAACAUUCCGUUCUUUCGACGUGUGUACUUUCAUUUAACAACAAUUUUGUGGUACUUGUCAACUGCCACCUACAAAGAAUUGAAACUUUUGGUUAUCCUUAACACUGACAAAAAUCCAUGACAAUUGGUGGAAGAAUUAGAUUGAAUGAGUUCGAAAUUUUCAAUCAUAGAUUUUUGUUCUUGCACCAAAUUCUUUAAUUCUGUGUUCUUGCAAAAAAGACUCGAGAAGUAGUUUUCGGACUUUUGAAGUUUGGCCCUUUGUUAAACUGAAUGAAAGUUAAGAACAGAAAUUUAAAUUUCUUAAGUACCUUAUUUAGAUCUUGGUUUCGUUUUGAAAACUAAGCACAUAGUUUGUUAAAUACAAAAAUUUAUCCACUACAUUCUUUUUUUCUUUUUCUGUUGUUUUGAAACUUGUCUUUUCUGCAGACAGAUUGCAUACCAAGUAUCGAAAGCCAAAAUGGAGUCAGCUGCAUCACUAUUGAUUGGGAAAAUUGCGUUCAUUCUUGAGAACGAAGCAUCUUCCAUAGCGGCAGUCCGUGAUGAAGUUGAUGAGCUUAAGCUGGAGCUCAUAAGCAUGAAAUCUUUCUUAAUAGAUGCUGAAGGCAAGGAACCACAAACAGAAGGAGAGAAAACGUGGGUUACAAGCGUCAGAGAUUUGACCUGCGAUGCUGAAAAUGUCAUUGAUGAGUUCAUGUAUCACAUAUAUGACAAGAAGAGUGCGACUCCAUUUGCAAAAUUGCUCCACAGAACCAUUUACUUUCCAAAGAAUCUUUGGCAUCAGCAUCGAAUAGCCAAAAAAAUUACAGAAAAUCACAAAAAAAGAUCAAAGCCAUUCCAGAGAGGAAUGAGAGAUAUGGUGUCUCUACAAUAGAAGGAACAACUUCGGAUAGUGUUCCCAGAUGGGUGAAGAACAAAGCCGAGUCUUCUCUUUAUAUUAUGGAAGACGAACUAAUCGGGAUUGAAGACAAGAAGCAAAGGUUAAUGGGGUUAUUGAUGAAUGGAGAGGAAAAUGAAAUGGUUGUGUCUAUAGUCGGGAUGGGAGGAUCAGGCAAGACAACUCUUGUUGCCAAUACCUUCAACAACGAAAAUGUAAAGCGGCAUUUUGACUGUUAUGCAUGGAUCACUGUUUCUCAAACUUUUGUGAUCGAAGACUUAUUAAAAAAUCUGAUCAAGCAAUUCCACCAAGGAAGAAAGGAAGAGAUGACUGCACAAUUGGAUUCCAUGAGUUACAAAGAAUUGUUAGAGAUGUUGUCGACAUACUUGAAGUCUAAAAGGUACCUAGUUGUAUUGGAUGAUGUGUGGGACAUUAAACUUUGGCAAGAAAUAAGGAUACCACUUCUUAAUAGACAUCAUGGAAGUCGAAUCAUGCUUACAACUAGAAAGAAAGACAUAGCAUUCUAUUCUUUUGAAGUUGAAAGUCGUCCUAUUGAAAUUGAACCCUUGGGAAACAAUGAAGCUUGGGAGCUCUUUAGCAAGAAAGCAUUCUCAACUUACGAUAAUAAAUCUUGUCCACCAGAGCUUGAAUCCUUAGCAUGGAAACUUGUGGAUAAGUGUGAAGGCCUACCUCUGGCAGUGGUAACUUUAGGUGGUCUAAUGUCUUCCAAGAGGUCAUCAUCGGAAUGGAGAAGCGUAUAUAACAGCUUAAAUUGGCACUUGACUAACCAUCCUAUGCUGGAACCAAUGAGCAGCAUCUUGUUGCUUAGUUUCAACAAUUUGCCCAACCGGUUGAAGCCAUGUUUCUUAUAUUGUGCCCUUUUCCCAGAAGAUUAUCUCAUCAAAAGAAAAAGGUUGAUCAGGUUGUGGAUAGCUGAAGGGUUUGUUGAACCAAUUGAUGGGGUCACACCAGAAGAAGUUGCAGAGGGUUAUCUUGUGGAACUGAUUGUUCGUAGCAUUCUACAAGUUGAAAAGCAUGAAGCUGUAGGACUAAGAGCAUGUAAGAUGCAUGAUCUUGUGCGUGAGCUUGCUUUGUCGAUAUCAAAGAAGGAAAAUUUCGGUGCUACGUGUGUUGGCAGAGAAAUAAUAGAUAAAGCUGAAAUCCGCCGAUUGUCAAUUCAAACAACUGAAAGAGAAAUUAAUUCUUGCACAGGUAUGUCAGAGCUUCGCUCCUUUCUUGUCUUUGGCGCGUUAGAGAAAUUGCCUUCUGGAUUCAAGUUGUUGAGAGUUCUAGAUGUGCAGGAUGCUCCAAUUGAUAGAUUUCCAGAUGAACUAGUGUACUUGUUCAACUUAAGAUAUUUAAAUUUGAAGAAAACUUUGAUUGAGGAGCUUCCAGAAUCCAUCGGACGGCUUCACAAUCUUCAAACGUUGAACAUUUGUGACAGUAAGAUAAAGGCACUUCCAAAAGCAAUCUCCAAGUUAGUAAACCUACGCCAUCUAAUCAUGUAUUGUUACAUUGGUGAUUUGGCGGUCUUUAGACAUGUCAGUGGGACAAAAACAGCAUCGGAUCUAAGUAAAUUACAGAAACUGCAAGUUUUGGAUUCUGUUGAAUCAGAAGGAAAGAUUAUUAAAGUCAUCAGGAAUAUGACCCAACUUACAAGCCUCGGUAUUACAAAUGUGAAAGCAAGUGACGAGAUGGACCUCUGUGACUCCCUUCAAAAGUUAGAGCUCCUUCACACUUUGCUUUUAGUGGCAAGUGAUGAAGAGGAGUUUCUUCGAGUUAAUGCACUACGUUCGCCUCCUCUAGACCUUCAAAACAUUUUAUUGGCCGGAAAACUAGAAAGGUUACCUCUUUGGUUAGGUUCACUCAAUAACCUGACACGUAUGUAUCUACGUUGGUCUAGACUGGAAGAAGAUGUGCUACCUCACAUUCAAGCAUUGCCGAAUCUUGAAACGCUUGGGCUAUUUAAUGCAUAUGUUGGCAAAAAAUUGUGUUUCUCCAGAGGCUUCAUAAAGCUUAAGGAUUUGGUGUUGAGCAGCUUCCCGGUAUUGAAUAGUAUAGCUAUAGAGAAAGGGGCGAUGCCAAAUCUCCAGCUCUUAUCCAUUGCGUACUGCCUGGAGUUAAAGGCAUUGCCGCAGGGCAUUGAGUUCCUUGCUAACGUAGAACGCUUGACGCUGUCUUCUGUUCCAAUGCAACUUAUAGAGUCCGUAAGAGGAGGCAUGGAUCAUCCAAAGGUGCAACAUAUUCCUGAAAUCCACCUGCAUUAUGAGAGAGAAAAUAUAUGGUACCAUAAAAGCUUUUCUGGUAUUCACUCUCGCAAAAGGUAUGCACACUUUUAUCCUUGCAUAAAAAAUUUAUUACUGUUAGACUUACCACAUUUUUUGUAUCACAUUUGUACCACAUUUUUUUAUAGAGGUAGAGCUCAUUGACACAUGUGGAUCUCAUUUCUAUUAGAGAGAUGGUACAAAUGUGGUAAAAGUAAUAUUUUUGUAAAAAAAUAUUCCACAACUUAAUUAUUUGAACUAUUACGUUAGAAAGUUAAAAGGUUGGUGAUUUUUAUACUCCUAUUUUUUUUUCUUAUGCGCUCCUCUUGUUUUGAUUCGUUAGUGUUUUGAUUUAUUAGGCUAUGAAAAAGAGGAAGUAGUGCAUCGGAGUGUAAAAAUCAUUUUCCCUCACAGUUUGCUUGUCCAAUCUUAUAUAGAAGUCCGGCAAAGACAAAAUAUGCAUGCAUUGAGAUUUUAUUUAGUAACUGUGUUUCUUUUGUCUUUUAAUGUCCUUUUUGUAGAAUCAAGCCUCAUAAGCACUUGUGAGACUGCAGUGAGUUUUCCUUUGUGCCAAUUGAUUUUACGGUGAAUCUUGACUUUCGUUAUAGUAACAGAGCUGACUAUAUAUGUGUUGAGUGAUUCGCCAAGGAAGAAUUCGUCUAUUGUUUGUGUGUUGUGUGAAGUUGCAAACAUUGAUCGAUCUUGGUUUCUUAUUUGCCCUUUGUGAAAUUGAAUAAUGCCCAAGAUUCUAUUUGUGUAACUGAAACUUAUAUUAUUAAUUGCUUGCGUGUGUUUUGAUGUAAUAAUAUUGGUUUGGAACUGAAUCUGUCAUUGAUGAGAAUAAUGCCCAAGAUUCUGUUUGUGUAACAGGAACUUAUAUUAUUGUUUGCUUGCAUGUAUUUUGAUAUAAUAAUAUUGGUUUGGAACUGAAUAUGUCAGUGAUGAGACCAAUUCUAACUAAAUCAAUGAUUAUGAACCAUUUUUCAUUUUCAAUAUUUUUUAUUUUUUAUCAAGUUUUCAAAUAUAUAUUGUUUUAGAGAGGUAAAUUUUAUGGUGGAUGUUUUAGCUCACUAUGACUCACUUGAAAAAUUAUCAGACGGUACGGUAUUACUAUUUAGGUCGGUGAUACUUCUAUUCAAAUUUUAACAUGUGUGCAGUUUCUUACGGCAGCUUUUUAAUUUACAAUUAAUUUUUAUUUUUUAGUUUAAACAAAAUCAAAAGAACUAAAAAUAAAAAGCGUUUUGACGUAGAUGCUUAACUUUUAAAGAUAAGAACAAAAUCAAUAGUACCAGAUUGAUUUUUUAGUAUAAAAAUAUAAUUUUCUUUAAAAUGAAUACUACGGUGCUGCCAGUAUCCGAGCCCGCCAGAAAGCAACCCCGACCUGGUCGGGGCAGAUUCGAGGCCCAUGGACUAUCCGAAGAAGAGGCCCGGGUCAGGGCCAUCGCCGAAAUCGUCAGCUCCAUGGUCAACCUCUCCCGAAAGGACCAAAACGUCGACCUAAACGCCCUCUAGACCACCGCGUACCGCAAGUACGGCCUCUCACGUGCGACGAAGCUGCUCAAAUGAUUGCAACUCUGCCGGAGUCAGACAGUAAAGCUCUUCUCCCCAAGCUCCGGGUCAAGCCGGUCCCAACCGCUUCGGGCAUCGUCGUCGUGGCCGGGAUGUCGAAGCCUCAUCGGUGGCCCCACAUCGCCACUACCGGAAAUAUUUGCGUGUACUGCCCCGACGGUCCCGAUUCGGACUUCGAGCAUAGCACUCAAUCUUACACUGGAUACGAGCCUACUAGCAAUUCGGGCAAGGUAUGGCUUUCUCUAGUUCAUUGACGCAUUUUAUCGAACACUUGAUAGGGAAUUGAAGUUUUAUGUUAUUCAUGAUUCGUUUCGAAGUUUAAAGUUUUCGGAUUGAUUUUUCACCAUGAAAUUGAGAGCUUUGUAAUGAAGAGAUUAUUUGAAGGAAUUGGUGUUUAAAACUGGAUUAGUGAAGUUAAUUUGGUAGUUAAUCUGUUGGUUUUGUGUGUUUAGAUACAACCCAUAUGUUUAGAGCUUAAAGAAUUUACUUUCGGGUUUGCAGAUUUCCAUGAGAGCAACGCCAGCCAUGCUGGUUGCUCGGGCCACAGGCGAGGAGAAAGGGCCCUCGGGCCGGUGGGUGCAGCUCCAGCGGGGACGGGCCCGAGUGAGGGUGGGAGCCCGAGUCGGAGGCCCGUGAAAAGUUGACAAGCCUGGCCCCCGAGCUCGUGUGACGUCACGUUGACGCAAGGGCUGGGUCCGGCCCUUUUUUUUAUUUUUUUUGUGUCAGGCGCGUGCCCCUCACUCGCGAGUGGGGGCGCGUUGCCCGACAUGAUUUCAGGGGGAUGGCCCGCGCGUCAGUUACCGUUGGGAAGCCACGUGGCUUCCCAUGGGCCGUUAGAUCCCAACGGUUCUUUAAUAAGAACUGUUCGAUUUACAACGGUAAAAAAAAAAAAAGUUGAUUUUAUAUCAACCGUUCGAUCUGAGAUCAACGGUUGAUAUUAAUCUGCUUUAUAAAUUAAAAAAAAAAGAAAAAAUAGUUUUAAAAUUAAGAAAAGUUACCGUUGUGACGACGUACGUGACUUUUGGUGCCUUUCCUUGCAGGACGUCGUUGAACACUGGGGAUUGGGCAAGGACGUUGAGAUCAUUUUGAGCUCCCGGAACCCCGAAAAAGGCGUGCCAUAUCCAUGUAUCAAAAGAUGCCACUGCCUCCAAAAUGAUAGAUUUUGAUCCUUUUAUGUCCCCAUAUGCGCCUUGCCAUGCACUUGGACAGUUUUUCCACGUCUAGUGCAUACAAUCGAUGCUUCCUAUCAUCCCAGGAAAACCUCGCAUCUCGCCCUUCUUCAGAAGCCUUUGCAAGUCCACGUGAGUAGGUUUUCGGAGGUACUCUGCGGUGUACAAAGAUUCGACUGCUCCGCAAAACCUCAUCAGGGCCUCAAGAAUGGUUGAUUUCCCCAUCCUCAUUAUCUCAUCCACUUGGUCUGCAGAUGCUCCAUACGCAAGCAUCCGCAACGCAGCAGUGAUUUUUAGCUCAGGCAGGAGACCCAUAACACCACAAGCAUCCUUCUUUUGCACAAAGUAAGAAUCAUGGUUGCAAACAUCAGUCAUGAUUCUGUUGAACAAAUGUCGUUCCAUUCUAAAACGGCGUCUGAAAGUAUCAGGAAAUGCACUGUUAUGGACAAAGUAAUCGUCCAACAGCUCUUCACCCCGUUGUUGCCUGCUUCUAUCAAUGUUUCUUGAACGGUUGGGCCUGCAUAUCUGAGCAACAGUCUGGAUGACUCGACAGGAAUGUGAGGCUCUGGCCAUUCUUGUUUCAUCAUCUCUCCUUCUACGCUCCUCAUCCUCUUCCAUCUCAUUUUCGGUUAUCUGCAGGUUGAACAUUCCUUCAGAUUGGUUAAACAAUUCCUCCUCUUGCUGAUCGAUUUCCCACAUCAUCCUUGAUGAAGAAGAAGACAUUGUAAGGAUGGAUGGUGAAGAAGAAGCAGAAAUUAUGAAUAAUGAGAUAGAGAUGUUGAGAAAAUUGGUGUGAGAUUUGUGAGAAUGGAUGGUGGAUUAUAUGGACGAUUCAGAAAAUGAUCGGAUUGUAGAUGAGGCCACGUGGCAUGCCGUCAUUCGUUAAAAAUCUAAUCAAAAUCUAUCCUCAAAGAUUCUGAAAAGAUAAUGACACAUGGCACGAUCGUAUUGGAUAAAAAUCUUAUCGAAAUCGAUCACCAAUAAUUUUAUAUUUUCGAAUAAUGACAUGUGGCGUAAUUUUGAACGAGUUAAAAUCUGAUCAAAAUCUAUCGUCAAAUAUUCUCAAAAGAUAACGACACGUGGCACGAUGACAUUGGAUAAAAUUCUUAUCGAAAUCGAUUUCCAAUAAUUAUCUUUUCGGAUAAUGACACGUGGCGCAAUUUUGAACGAGUUAAAAUCUGAUCAAAAUCUAUCGUCAUAGAUUUUCAAAAAAUAACGACACGUGGCACGAUGACAUUGGAUAAAAAUCUUAUCGAAAUCCAUCGUUAAAUAAUUGUUUGUUUUUAUAAAAUGACACGUGGCGCAACGAGAACGAUUUAAAAAAUCUUAUCCGAAAUUACAAAUAAUUUUAUUUUGUAUUAUUUAAACAAACAAAAAAACUAAUAUUUUAUUGCCUAUUGCCUGGGGGGAUGGCUCCAAGGGUGGAGAUGCAAAUGGCAAUUACUGUUCAUUAAUGGCAGUUACUAUUCAUUUAAGGCAGUUACUGUUCAAAAUGGUGGAUUCAAUAGUGGAUUGCCAGGGGGGAAGGCUCCAUGGGUGGAGUUGCUCUGAUAGAGUAAUAUGCAUAGUUGUCGCCUUGUAACUGGUACUGAAUUUGUGUUUUCAGGUCGAGUUCAUCUUAAUGGGCGGUACUUUCAUGACGUUGCCCGUGGAUUACCGUGAUUACUUUAUUAGAAAUCUGCACGAUGCAUUAUCGGGACACACUUCUGCCAAUGCUGAAGAGGCUUUUGCCUACUCUGAGCAUGGUGCUACUAAAUGUAUUGGAAUGACCAUUGAAACAUGAGUUUUUAGUUUGUUUUUGAAGCCGUUAAUUUCUCAUUCUUGUGUUUAAUUUGGUUGACGGUAAUUUUUAGCUUACCAUCUAGUUUCCAGUUCAUCUGGUCGGUCUAGAAGGUUAACGAAGGUAGUUGUAACUUUUUAUUCUGCUGGAGGCCAGAUUAUUGCCUUGGACCUCACUUGAGACAAAUGCUUUCUUAUGGUUGUGCUAGACUAGAAAUUGGAGUUCAGAGUACAUACGAGGAUGUGGCUCGGGACAACAAUAGAGGUCAUACCAUAGCUGCAGUGGCUGAUUGUUUUUGCGUGGCAAAGGAUGCUAUUUAUAAGGUCAGCCUAGUACCUUAUCAUAAAACUCACUUACCUUCACCGUGGGAAAAGAACGGAUUUUGGACCUUUUAUAUCUACAGUGACAGGAGAUCAAUCUUUCAUCAAAACAAUUUGUGAGCCUGGAUAUAUUUUUCAAAUUAUUGUGCUCUCCCAUAGUUCAGGGGAUAAUAUUUUAUCAUAAUCUAGUUGGUUUUGGUGUUACCAUUCACUUUGUCUAAGUUCAAGAAGAAGCAUGUGUUUGUAAUUGUAUGACCGUAAUCUUUAUGAACUGCAAUAUUAAAAGCCUUGAGGACUGUUUACAAUAUGCAUAUUUGCUGUGUAUUCUUGUCGUUCAUGUUGAUUUACUUUUGUUUCACACUAAUAAUUUUAUGCAUUUGCUCUAGGUGGUUGCACACAUGAUGCCUGAUCUUCCAAAUGUAGGGGUGGAGAGAGACAUGGAGAGUUUUCGGGAGUUCUUUGAGAUUCCCUUGUUCAGAGCAGAUGGGCUUAAAAUUUAUCCAACACUCGUGAUCCGUGGAACUGGACUCUAUGAGCUUUGGAAAACGGGCAGGUAUAGAAAUUACCCACCUGAGCAACUUGUGGACAUUGUAGCUCGGAUCCUAGCCAUGGUCCCCCCUUGGACGCGUGUUUAUAGAGUUCAGCAAGACAUUCCAAUGCCUUUAGUUACUUCUGGGGUUGAGAAAGGAAAUCUUCGGGGGUUAGCUUUUGCAUGGAUGGAAGACUUGGGCUUGAAGUGCCGUGAGAGGCUGGAAUUCAGGUAUGCGGGUAGUCAUUCUUGUUUGAACGUGUUUUAUGCAACUGAGGCUACAAACAUGAUCCCUCAAAUCCCUUGAAAAAAUCUUUACUGAACAUUCUUGCUGGUUCUAGGACAUACAUCACAAAAUUAGGCCAGACCAAGUGGAGCUUGUUCGUCGUGAUUAUAUGGCAAAUGAAGGAUGGGAAACAUUUCUUUCAUAUGAAGAUACUCGCCAGGUAUUCGUUCUUUAUAUGUGAGAGAGUGCUUCGUCACACGAAAUGAUCAUUCUAUUCUUGUCAUGUGCUGAAGUGUUGAGCUGAUGGAAGAUAACACUUAAAAAGAUUAUGAUUGUAAUAUUGAGUAGAAUAUCUAAUUUAAUUUCGCUUCAGCAUAUAUAGAUGAAUUGAGGAUCUCACUUUUCCAGAACUUCUUGUUUCUCUGAUUUGUGUAGUAAUUUGUGCACAGAAUCUUAAGGCUUGGGUUUUACUGAUCAAAUUGUUAUAAAAAAAUCAUAAACUACAUCACAAUAAUCAUAUGAAUAUUUUCAUCUAAUAAGACCAAAAUCAUAAAAUUUAUUUGAAAUUCAAUAUUGUAAUGAGGUGAUGAUGGAAAGAUAGAGGUGGAAUAAUUGUGGUGGGGUUCCGGGGUAAGGUUUGUAUUGGAUGGGUGGAUUUGGGGCUUUGUGCUAAUUAAAAGAGGGAAUUGCAUGAGAAGUAGUUGGGCCUCGGCUUUGUAGACGAAAAAGAGUUUUAAUUUUUUGAAUGGCCUGGCUCAAAACGGCACCGUCUAGGCCAGGUCAUUAAAAACAAUAUUAAACUUUCUUCUUCGCUAAAUUUUGCUGGGUGCUGCGCUGCAAAUUCCAAAACCAACACGGGACCAGGCAGUCGGGUGGUCCUCAACGAUCUUCACAGAUGCUUCUUCGAUCUUCCGGAGGGUCCGGGGACCACCCAGGUCCUGUAAUGGAUCCGCCCCUGCCGCCACACACUACCUUUCACCUAAUUCCCACACGGAGGUAGAUUCUCUGCCCUCCCACUUCCCGUGUCUUUCUGUUUGUAUGGUCACGGUUAAGCCACGUCAACAUUUUAUAUUACUAUUCCUUUUUGUCUUAUUAUCUCUUAUAAAAAAUAUAUAUAAAAUGUUGACGUGGUUUAACCGUGACCACAUAAAACGGGAGGACACGGGAAGUGGGAGGGCAGAGAAUCUGCCUCCUUGCCACACACUGCGCCAACUGUUCGACAAUAUGCCUCAACCAAACCCCCCGCCAUUAUUCUCCCGCCUCCCACUUCCGCCUACAUCCACCUCCCUUUCUGCCGGAAGCGCUGUCACUACUACGACUUCACAAUCGUCGCCCUCGGUGCUGCUUCCGCCCAAACCGAAGGCGACCCGCAAAUGACAAACUACUUACAGUUACUCUGCCGAGAAAUCAACUCCACAAAAGCCGAAAACAAGACCGAUCGGCCUCUGGAGAAGGUGUUUUUUUGCAGCGGCACGCCAUCUCUUUCGCCGCCAAAGCUCGUGAAUUCCGUUUUGGAGACGUUCGAGGUUGAAAUUCGGGUUGAGUUCCCUCCAAGUCGAACAAGGCACGAAAUCUACGGUUUUAGUUUUGGAAUGAAUUUGGUCCUGAAGUUGGAGUUUUUUGUUUGCAGGUAUACACCAGGGGAGUUCCCGUUGCCUUCAGAAACGCGGUCUGCUGAGUUCUAUAAGAUGGCGUCUAGGACGCCUUCGGAUAUCACUGCAAACACAAUCUAACUUAUUGGAAGAACAAGCCUUUCUAUGCUCUCGGCCUUGGCUCCGCUAGCUAUGUCGAUGGCGUGAGGUUUUCGAGACCAAAGAGGAUGAAAGAGUACACAGGUUACGUGGAGAAUAUGGAGAAUGAUUUGGUGGAGUGCGGUGAGAGUCCCCGUACGCUGCAGGACAUGGCCACGGACGUUGUUAUGAUCUCUCUUUGCAUGAAGAGAAAACAUUACAUUUAUGUACAAUUACUGCUUCGCUGAAUUAAUAUUUAAUAAAUUCGUCUUUGGUCUCACAAUGGGAUUAGGAUUUCUUCCACUGCUCUCACAUUCUUUUAUUUUAUCUUUCUUUUGCUAUAAAAAGUUAAUAUAAGAUGUUGACGUGGCUUAACCGUGACCGUUUAAGUAGGAGGGGGAGGGAAGGAGAGGGGGAAAAAAGGGAAGAGAAUUCUACUCCCUCACGAUGAGCUACCAAUAAUGUGGUUCAAAUUCAUUUUUGACGAGAAUCGAAUUUAAGACAUCUCACUUAUAAAUAAAGAAAAAUACUACUAGGCUAUAUUACCAAGUAUUUAUUAUAAUUAGUAUUAUAAAUAAUAAAUAAAACAAAAAAUAAUAAAAACUGAAACAAAAAAAAAGAAGAAAAAACCGUACCGUUCAAACUUCAAAGUCAGGGGGAGAGUAAGAGGGAGACCUCCCUUUCUCUGCCGCAUAUCUCCUGGUUUUAUUUUUAAUUUUUUUGGUAAAAAAAACCUUCCUGAUCUUUUUACUCGUGUUAUUACCAUUUAUCGGAUGAUAUGUUUCCCGCUUGUUCAGAUUGUUCUCAUGCUUGACCAAUGAAGGAAAAAAUCAUUUUCCACAAUCUAAUUUAGCACUCAAAAUACCAAGAAUGAAGAAUUAGGGUUUUGGGUUUAGUUUUGUUUACCGAACAAAAUAAUUCAAAAGAUAGAGCGAUUGCUCGAUACGCUUUGUGUGCUUCUUAAUUUUGUAUAAAUCGAAUCAAAUCAACAUACAGUAAAGACGGAUUUUCUCUCCUCCUCCUUACGAUCGUGACCAGUUGAUAUUUUUUCCUUUUGAGUUCUACUGGAUUAAUUGAUUCUUAUUCAUUUAAUAUAAUUGUUUAUUUAUUACUUAUAAUUCACAUCAUCAUCCAUGUCACUUAAGGUUUAAACUUUUCAACAAUAGUCUUAAUCAAGACCAUUGAAUGUUAUAAAGUCUAAUGGCUAAAAAACGAGUGUAAAAAUAUUUGUCUCUUGAUCAUAUUAUAUAUGUACUUUUAGAUAUGAAUAUAAAUUAUUCUCUACUAAUUUUUCAAUACGGUAUGAUAAUAUCGUCAGUAAUAUUAUCGAAUACCAAUAAAUACCUAAAAUUUCAGUUUGCUACAAUACCGUGUCAUUAUCGAUCGGCAUAAAAUCAAUAUGGUACAGUUGUCAAUCGGUGGCACGAUAAGUGUUGAAUCAGAAACUGAAAAAGUAAUUGAAUUUUACUGAAAGUGUAUAUAAACUUUUGUAAUGUGAAUUAAAAUUACAGUGUGCUUGAGUGAUUUUUCAAAACCUUGUGUUUGUUAUUUGAAAUAAGAGUUUUCUAUUAUAUUUUAUAUUUUAUUCGUGCACCAAUUAUUUUUCUACCGACCCCAAAUUGGAAGCGCAACUUUAAUUGACCUCACCACGCAAUUAUUGACGGCGAGCAAAAUACAUCCUACGCGGUUUCUUUACAAAUUGCCACGUACAUCACUUUAUCAUCUUUGUCCAAAGGUUUUUGUCUUCGUCUGAAAUUAUUGGUCUUUGUCAGACAGUAUUCGUAAGAACCAAAAAGUACUGGUCUUUGUUUCAUGACUUCCAUCGUAACUUCCAAUUGUUUCUAAUUCUAAAGUGAAUUUCUCUAAUUUUACUUGUUUCUCCCUCGUAUCGAAUGAGAAUAGAUAAGAGGCUCGUGGAAUUGACGUGAGGGCUUAAAAAUGGCUAUAUUCAUGAGCAAGCUCCAAUCCCUUCGUCGAAUAGAUAAGAGGCUCGUGGAAGUGACUAGAUUUCCAUUGCAUUCUUUUUUUCUUUUUCUGUUGUUUUGAAACUUGCCUAUUCUGCAGAUAGAUUGCAUACCAAGUAUCGAAGGCCAAAAUGGAGUCAGCAUCACUAUUGAUUGGGAAAAUUGCGUUCAUUCUUGAGAACGAAGCAUCUUCCAUAGCGGCAGUCCGUGAUGAAGUUGAUGAGCAUAAGCUGGAGCUCAUAAGCUUGAAAUCUUUCUUAAUAGAUGCUGAAGGCAAGGAACCACAAACAGAAGGAGUGAAAACGUGGGUUACAAGCGUCAGAGAUUUGACUUGCGAUGCGGAAAAUGUCAUUGAUGAGUUCCUGUAUCACAUAUAUGACAAGCAAAGUGCGACUCCAAUUGCAAAAUUGCUCCACAGAACCAUUUACUUUCCAAAGAAUCUUUGGUAUAGGCAUCGAAUAGCCAAAAAAUUACAGAAAAUCACAAAAAAGAUCAAAGCCAUUCCAGAGAGGAAUGAGAGAUAUGGUGUCUCUACAAUAGAAGGAACAAGUUCGGAUAGUGUUCCCAGAUGGGUGAAGAACAAAGCCGAGUCUUCUCUUUAUAUUAUGGAAGAUGAACUAAUUGGGAUUGAAGACAAGAAGCAAACGUUAAUGGGAUUGUUGAUGAAUGGAGAGGAAAAUAAAAUGGUUGUGUCUGUGGUCGGGAUGGGAGGAUCAGGCAAGGCAACUCUUGUUGCCAAUACCUUCAACAACGAAAACGUAAAGCGACAUUUUGAUUGUUAUGCAUGGAUCACUGUUUCUCAAACUUAUGUGAUUGAAGACUUAUUCAAACAAAUGAUCAAGAAGUUCCAUGAAGGAAGAAAGGAAGAGGUGCCUGAACAUUUGAAUUCCAUGAGUUAUGAAGAAUUGUUAGAGAUGUUGUUGACAUACUUGAAGUCUAAAAGGUACCUCGUUGUAUUGGAUGAUGUGUGGGAUAUUAAACUUUGGCAAGAAAUAAGGAUACCACUUCUUAAUAGACACCAUGGAAGUCGAAUCAUGCUUACAACACGAAAGAAAGACAUAGCAUUCUAUUCUUUUGAAGUUGAAAGUCGUCCUUUUGAAAUUGAACCUUUGGAAAACAAUGAAGCUUGGGAGCUCUUUAGCAAGAAAGCAUUCUCAAGUUACGAUAACAAAUCUUGUCCACCAGAGCUUGAAUCAUUAGCAUGGAAACUUGUGGAAAAGUGUGAAGGCCUACCUCUGGCAGUGGUAACUUUAGGUGGUCGAAUGUCUUCCAAGAGGUCAUCAUCGGAAUAGAGAAGCGUAUAUAACAGCUUAAAUUGGCACUUGACUAACCAUCCUAUGCUAGAACCAAUGAGCAGCAUCUUGUUACUUAGUUUCAACAAUUUGCCCAACCGGUUGAAGCCUUGUUUCCUAUAUUGUGCCCUUUUCCCAGAAGAUUAUCUCAUCAAAAGAAAAAAGUUGAUCAGGUUGUGGAUAGCUGAAGGGUUUAUUGAACCAAUUGAUGGGGUCACACCAGAAGAAGUUGCAGAGGGCUAUGUUGUGGAACUUAUUGGUCGUAGCAUGCUACAAGUUGAAAAGGAUGAAGCUGGAGGACUAAAAGCAUGUAAGAUGCAUGACUUGUGCGUGAGCUUGCUUUGUCGACAUCAAAAAAGGAAAAGUUUGGUGCUACGUAUGUUGGCAGAGAAAUAAUAGAUAAAGCUGAAAUCCGCCGAUUGUCAAUUCAAACAACUGAAAGAGAAAUUAAUUCUUGCACAGGAAUGUCAGAGCUUCGCUCCUUUCUUGUCUUUGGCGCGUUAAAGAAAUUGCCUUCUGGAUUCAAGUUGUUGAGAGUUCUAGAUGUGCAGGAUGCUCCAAUUGAUAGAUUUCCGGAUGAACUAGUGUACUCGUUCAACUUAAGAUAUUUAAAUUUGAAGAGAACUUUAAUUGACGAGCUUCCAGAAUCCAUCGGACGGCUUCUCAACCUUCAAACCUUGAACAUCUGUCACGGUAAGAUAAGGGCACUUCCAAAAGCAAUCUCCAAGUUAGUAAACCUACGCCAUCUAAUGAUGUAUUGUCACACUGGUGAUUGGGCUGCCCUUAGAUGUGUCAAUGGGACAAAAACAGCAUCCGAUCUAACUAAAUUACAGAAACUACAAGUUUUGCAAUCUGUUGAAUCAGAAGGAAAGAUUAUUAAGGGCAUCGGGAAUAUGACCCAACUUACAAGCCUCGGUAUUACAAAUGUGAAAGCAAGUGACGAGAUGGACCUAUGUGACUCCCUUCAAAAGUUAGAGCUCCUCCACUGUUUGUUUUUUAUGGCAAGUGAUGAAGAGGAGUUUCUUCGAGUUAAUGCACUACGUUCGCCUCCUCCAGACCUUCGAAAGGUUAUUUUGGGUGGAAAACUAGAAAAGGUACCUCUUUGGUUUGGUUCACUCCAUAACCUGACUUGUAUGGAUCUAAUUUGGUCUAGACUUGAAGAAGAUGUGCUACCUCACAUUCAACCAUUGCCGAAUCUUGAAAUGCUUCACCUAAGUAAUGCAUAUGUUGGCGAAAAAUUGUGUUUCUCUAGAGGCUUCAUAAAGCUUAAGCAUUUGAUGUUGCGCAGCUUCCUGGUAUUGAAUAGUAUAGCUAUAGAGAAAGGGGCGAUGCCAAAUCUCCAGGUCUUAGAAAUUGGGAACUGCCUGGAGUUAAAGGCAUUGCCGCAGGGCAUUGAGUUCCUUGCUAACGUAGAACGCUUGAUUCUGUAUUUUGUUCCAAAGCAACUUAUAGAGUCCGUAAGAGGCGGCAUGGAUCAUCCAAAGGUACAACAUAUUCCUGAAAUCCACCUGUCUUAUGAGAGAGAAAAUAUGAAGUGUCAUGAAAGCUUUUCCGGUAUUCACUCUCAUAAAGGUACGCACACUUUUAUCCUUGCAUAAAAAUUUGAUUAAUGCUAGACUUGCCACAUUUUUUGUAUCACAUUUGUACCACCUCUUUUAUAGAGGUAGGGGCCAUCGACAUAUGUGAUUCUCAUUUCUAUUAGAAAAAUAGGAUAAAUGUGGUAUAAAAAAUGUGAUAAAAGUAGCAUUUUUGUAAAAAAAAAAUAAAAAAUCCAUAACGUAAUCAUUUGAACUUGUAUGUUAAAAAGGUAAAAGGUUAGUGAUUUUCAUACUCCUAUUUAUUUUUGGGUUCUUUAGAUAUAAACUCAUGCAACACUUAUUUUCUUAACAAAAACCCAUCUCAUUUUAAACAUUCAAAUAAAACCCAAAUUUGAAAUAAAUUGCCAUGUAAACAAAUAAAUACCUAUUAUUUUCAAAAUAUAUACAAUUGUGCCACAACACCCUAAUUAUGUUGAUGAAUUUAAUUACCACCAUAAUUAUAGCAAAUAAGUGCUUUAUUAUUACAAAAUUAUCUACUUUAUACUUGUCUUACCAUCAUCUGUUUCGUUUCUUUUAUUUGUUUGACAAUCAUUGUAGGUAAAUUAUUUUGCAUGUAUACGUUAGGCACAUUUUGUUGUUAUUAUAUCUGUGUGAAAUAAAUUACCUAUAUUUUUAAGUAGAAUAAGGGUAAUUAAUUAAUUUUGAAUCAAUUGGCUAAAAACAUUAUUUUAUUUUGUAGGUAAAUAAUUUUGCAUGUAUUAUUACAUAUACUACGCACAUUUGUUAUUAUUAUGUGUUGUUUGCAAUCAAUCAACAUUCAUUUAUUUUGUAGGUAAAUUAUUUUGCAUGUAUUAUUACAUAAGUUAGGCACAUUUUGAUAUUAUUAUAUAUAUGUGUAUGCAAAUAGCUUAAAUAACUUUUGAAUCAAACAAUAUUUAUUUAUUUAUUACGUAGGUAAAUUAUUUUGCAUGUAUUAUUUUACCUGGAACUUAUAUUGUUAUUUUAUAUAUGUAAUAUAUUGGUAAUUUUGAAUAAAAUAACAUUUUUAUAUUUGUAAAAAAAAUGCUAAUUUACUUGUUACAAUUAUUUGAAAAGGAAAAAAAUGCUCAUUUUUACAUAAAUAUGAACACAACUAUAUAAGGAAACAAAAUUCUAAUGUCAUGUAAUUUUUGUUAUUAAUAUGCAUUGAAAUCAUGACACUCAAAAUUUUCUUUUCCAAAUCUGCAUAAACAUUUCAAAACGUUUAAUUGAAUGAAAUAAUAUAAAAUAAAUGUAGAUAACAAGUAAUAAACCCAAAGUCAAUAAUAUUAGGGGUAAUUUAGACAUUCAAAAAUACCAAUUUUGCCAAGUGAUACUUAAUUAUGGAUAUUGCUUAGUUGGAGCCUAGUCAUUGGGUUUUUAUCAGAAAAUUUUACAAUUGGGGGUUUUAGUUAAUGAAAAUUGAAUUCCAAGGGGUAUACUCAUAUUUUCAGUUUAUUUUUCUUAUGCACUCCCCUUGUUUUUAUUCGUUAGUGGUUUGAUUUAUUCAAUUGUUAGUCUACGAAAAAGAGGAAAUAGUGCAUUGGAGUGUAAAAAUCAUUUUCCCUUGCAAAUUGCAUGUCCAAUUUUAUACAGAAGUCUGGCAAAGACAUAAAAUAUGCAUGCAUUGAGAUUUUAUUUGGUAACUGUGUUUCUUUUGUUUUGUAAUAUCCUUUUUGCAGAAUCAAGCCUCAGAAGCACUUGUGAGAUUGCAGUGAGUUCUUCUUUGUGCCAAUUGAUUUUGCGGUGAAUCUCGACUUUCGUUAUAGUAAUAGAGCUGACUGUAUACAUGUUGAGCCAUUCGCCUUGCAAGGAAGGAUCCAUCCGUUGUUUGUGUUGUGUGAAGUUGCAAACAUUAAUUGAUCUUGGUUUCUUAUUUGCCCUUUAUGAAAUUGAAUAAUGCCCAGAUUCUAUUUGUGUAGUUGAAACUUAUAUUAUUGAUUGCUUGCGUGUGUUUUGAUGUAAUAAUAUUGGUUUGGAACUGAAUCUGACUGAUGAGAAUAAUGCCCAAGAUUAUGUUUGUGUAGCUGAAACUUAUAUUAUUGAUUGCUUGCGUGUGUUUUGAUGUAAUAAUAUUGGUUUUGAAUUGAAUCUGUUACUAAUGAGACCAAUUCUAACUAAACCAAUGAUUAUGACCCAUUUUUCAUUUUCUAUAUUUAUUGUUUUUAUUAAGUUUUCAAAUAUAUAUUGUUUUAGAGAGGUAAAUUUUGUGGUAGAUGUUUUAGCUCACUAUAAUUUCACUUGAAAAAUUAUUAGAUGGUACGGUAUUACCAUGUCAGCAGGUGAUAUUUCUAUUCAAAUUUUAACAUGUGUGCAGUUUCUUACAGCUGGAUUAAAAAAAAAAUUAAUUAAACUUUUUUUUUCAGUUUAAACAAAAUUAAAAGAUCUAAAAAUAAGUGGCGUUUUAGCAAAGAUGCCUAGUUUUUAAAAUUGAAUAAUUCUAAGGAGAUUAAAUUUUUUAAAUCAAAUUUACAAAUCAAAUGGUGUAGUUAUUGAUUAUUAGAUUAUUAUUUAAGCAUUAAUUAACGUAUUUAUUUCUUAUUGAUACACAUCAUUUUGAUUUGCAAAUUUCUUUUAAAUUUUGGUCACCUUAUGUUUAUAUCAUUAAAAUUUUGAGACAACUCUUUUCCUCCCCUCCUUCUCUCCCGUGGCGACUGCAGUGCUGCCAGUAUCCGAGCCCGCCAGAAAGCAACCCCGACCGAGUCGGAGCGGAUUCCAGGCCCAUGGACUAUCCGAAGAAGAGGCCCGGAUCGGAGCCAUCGUAGAAAUCGUCAGCUCCAUGGUCGACCUCUCCCGGAAGGGCCAAAACAUUGACCUAAACGCCCUCAAGACCACCGCGUGCCGCAAGUACGGCCUCUCACGUGCGCCGAAGCUGGUCGAAAUGAUUGCGGCUCUGCCGGAGUCGGACCGUGAGGCUCUUCUCCCAACUAGCAUGUGCGCAAUUCGGGCAAGGUAUGGCUUUCUCUAGUUCAUUGACGCAUUUUAUCGAACACUUGAUAGGGAAUUGAAGUUUUAUGUUAUUCAUGAUUCGUUUCGAAGUUUAAAGUUUUUGGCUUGAUUGAUUUUUCACCAUGAAAUUGAGAGCUUUGUAAUGAAGAGAUUAUUUGAAGGAAUUGGUGUUUAAAAUUGGAUUAGUGAAGUUAAUUUGGUAGUUAAUCUUUUGGUUUUGUGUGUUUAUUUAGAUACAACCCAUAUGUUUAGAGCUUAAAGAAUUUACUUUCGGGUUUGCAGAUUUCCAUGAUAGAGUAAUAAGCAUAGUUGUCGACUUAUAACUGGGACUGAAUUUGUGUUUACAGGUCGAGUUCAUCUUAAUGGGCGGUACUUUCAUGUCGUUGCCUGCGGAUUACCGUGAUUACGAGCUCGUUUGAAUGCGCUUUUGAAAUGAUUGAAAACGCUUUUGGUGAAAAUAUUUUAAAACCAAUCAUUAGUAAAUAUGCAAGUAAAUCCUAAAAAAAUAUUUAAAGUGCUUCCUGGAAGAAGCACAUAAUUGGUGCUUCUUGCAGAAAGCACUUAAAGUGCUUUUGAAGCCCAAAAAUAUUUUUUCUAAAAGCGCUUUCAUUCAUUUUAAAAGCAUAUCCAAACGAGCCCUACUUUAUUAGAAAUCUGCACGAUGCGUUAUUGGGACACACUUCUGCCAAUGUUGAAGAGGCAGUUGCCUACUCUGAGCAUGGUGCUGCUAAAUGUAUUGGAAUGACCAUUGAAACGUGAGUUUUUAGUUUAUUUUCGAAGCCAUUAAUUUCUCAUUCUUGUGUUUAACUUGGUUGACAGUAAUUUUUAGCUUACCAUCUAGUUUCCAGUUCAUCUAGCUUACCAUUGAAGUGCAUAUAAACUUUUGUAAUGCAAAUCACACUGUGCUUAAUUGGGUGUUUUGUAGAAACCUUGUGAUAUAAAAUGAGUUAUCUUUUUUUUUUUCUUUUUAUUCGUGCACCAAGUGAGGUUAUUUUUCUACCAAGAGCCUGACAUUCUUUACUUUAACUUGGUGUAUUUUUACCCAUCACUCUCAAAUGGUAGUAUUGUUUACCAUCCUACACAUUUGAAACUUAAACAAAUAUAACGAUGAUAUUCACUACACAUAUUUCAAAACUUAAAAUAAUGUAAUUAUGAGAAUUUGAAGGUAAAAGAGUACCAUAAUGAUGAAGCAAAAACCUUGCAAGAGUUUAUAAAAGGUUAGACUACUUCUCAUAUUGUUAAUUAUUUUUAUAGUGAAACCUUAACUUUUCAUAGUAUCAGAGCAAGUUGGCCUACGUGUGAAGUCUAACGGUCACACGUGUUCCACGUCACCUAAUUCGUGUUGUUCACGUGUUUGGUUUGAAAAUUCGUUACAUGUGAACAACGCGUAAGAAUGUAAAAGUAAAAAAAAAUCUUAUAUUGAUAAAAGAAUAUCCUUUGCAAAAGUUUAUAAGAAAUUAGAAUACUUUUCAUAUUGUUUACUGUAUAAACUUUAAUAGGAGCUCACCUCGUUAAUGCACUCCUACGCCGAUUCUUAUCUCGAGUUUCAAGGUUUUGCAAAUUGCCACUUGCAUCAAAUUAUUACUUUUCUCAUGAUUCUCGGUCUUUGUCGAAAAGUCUACGUAAACCAUUUGACGUAUUAGUUUUGUCCAAAAACAGUGGCCUUUGUCCCAUUAAAUAUGGGCAAGAGUUUAGGAUCCUCUACGGUUUCUUUUUGUGAAAAUUUGAAGGAUUAAUUAAUCGUGUGUAUUUAUUGUACAUUGUGUAACUAGAAAUUAUUUAAAUUUUAUAUUUAAAAUUAAAUAUAAAAUAUUUAACGAAAAUUGAUCGUACAAUGUAUGAUGAACGAAUACGUUUAAUUGAUCAUCUGAUCUCAAAAAAAGAAUUCGAAGACCGAUCCUCGUGUUAUACCAAUUAGUUUAUAUGCACCUUGUUCGACCCCCAUUUUUAUUCACCACUAAAAAAAAUUAAAUUAAAUCUCGUUUUUUAUAAAUUCUUAAUCUUUCAUUUUUAUUAUCCCACCAGAAUAGGGACAAUCAAUUCACAUGGAAGAAUUUGUUUGGCCGAAUCAUUUCAUAGAAAUAUAUCAGUAUUUGAUUGAUCUAAAUUUAUAUGUAAUUUAGUAAUUAUUCAAUUUACCUAGUGACAAAAAAAAUGAAUAUAAUCAACUAAAAUGAGAAUCAUUCUUUAUAUUAUCUUUUUAAAAAUUGCACAUCGUAAAAAGAUACAGUAAAAAUUCUUACUGUGAUUAUGACUCGUAAUAUUUAAUUAUCUCCUAAUACUUACUUCCAAUUAUUUUCCAUUUUUCAUAAAUUUGUAAUCUUCUUCUCAUAUUUGAUAUUUUCAAAGUUCAUUAACAAAGGAGUCCAACAAUAACGUUAGUUAUAGCUUAAUGCAAUUGAAGCAUAUCAUUGCAACUCUUUUGUGAGCUUUCAUAUUCCCCGAAGUAUGUCAUUCUGCACUCUUACUACCAUACAUGAUACUUUCUAGAAUUUAUCUGGAAGAAAAUAUAACUAUAAGUGCUUAUGAGCUAUAUCUGAAUUUUUUGUUUUUUUAUUAUUAUUUUUUUCUUAUUAUAUAUGUCACUCAAGUUCAAAGCAUUCAAACUUGAACACAAAAUUUCAAAUUCGAUUUCUUCUUUAACAAUAUUGCUUGUAUAAAAAAAGGGGGUAAGUUAUUGAUUUGUACACCAUUAAGUUGAAUUUAGUUGCAAGUCUAAUCAAUAUUAUUUGGUGUUUUAUUUAAAUAAUUUAAGCAAGCAAAAAGGUCAUGUUUGUCGUGUUUUUGGUGUUUUCGUGUUCAUACCCGUUAUCGUAACGGGACGUGUCAUGUCGAACCUGUUACUUUAAUGAAUUCUUAACGAGUAAUCCAAUAACGACUCAAUUUGUUAACGGGUCGUGUCGUCUCAUGUCUCGUUAACAGGUCAUGGAAUAAUUUAAUACACCUAAUAUCUAGAUUUGGAUAAUGAUAUCUUAUUAGGUUCUUAGUAGAUGACUUGAUAACAAUUUUGGUCGUUAACAAAUCGCACUAUGUGCUAGUCAGGCGGCAAGCAGAGGCCUAGGCAGUUUUUUUUUUAAUUUUAAUUAAAUUUAGAAAAUUGCUAUUAGUACUCUAAAAAUCUAAUUGUACACUCCAUACUUUCUAUACUUAAAGUUAAUCAUUUUAUUCUCUGACACUUAAAAUUACGAAAAUACCCUUGACAAGCUUAGUGGAAAUCCUAAGUGGACAUUUAGGUUCUUGUCAUUCUUUGUCCCGUUCACAUCUUUCUAGGUAGUACAUGUCUUUAGAAACACAUGAGCACAAAAGAGGUGUAAAUCGAACUAUUUAUGCACAUUUUUCAAUGAGACAAAAUAAUAAUUUGCACCAUCAUGAAUCCAUAACUUGUUGGUUGUCAGUAUUGCAUGCUGCAAACUGUGAUAUUGAGGAGUUAUUCGUUGGAUUCGUUAAGCAAGUGGACAAGUAGACUCAUCUCUGUUUGUAUUUAAUAAUCAAGUCCCGUACAUAAUUAAUUAUUUUUUAGGCUUGAACCAAAGACACAUACAUACUCUCGUUCACUACGAUUGCGUGAACUCAAACUCAUUAAAAUUUGAAGAUACGACAAAAAUUUUACGAAACUCGAUAUCAAGAGAUUAUUAUAAUUCUACUUUGAUCAGUGCACUACCAAUUAUUUAAUGUUUUUUUUCAAAUAAUUGGUUUUGGUAGGUGGGACGUAUCCACGUGACCACUCCUCUUCCCGGUGUAGUUUCAUUAUUUCUCGAGAGAUUUACUGAAAUACAAAGUAGUACACCAUGUGUUACUAUAUCAAUGUUGAAAUAUAUGUGCUGAAAAAUUAAUAUCUUAACAAAUACAAUUUCCCACUACUUAUAUAAAAACACGUAAUAUACCACUUAUAUUCCCGUUACAAUGAAAAAUUUCUCCUUCCCCCUCAAGUUUCACUCAGCUGUGCCACACUCAUUCUCUUGAAAAAUUGUGAGUGAUACCCUCUUAAAACUUAAAAAUUGUGAGAGAUACCCUCUUAAGUUUCCACACUAUAAAAUUCUCAAUUUCUGCGCAUCGGAUUAGUAAAAAGUAGGAGUUGUAUACGUGUAAUUAGGGUUCACGUUUUGUAAGUUAUAGCUCCUCUAAAAGGAUUUCGAAUUUCGAAGUUAUCGACCAAAAAAACCCUCCCCCCUCACCAAACCAAUCUGGUGUAUAUAUAAUAGGGAGAAAACUUCCAUAAAACGAUAGAUGUAUAUACUAUUUCCUAAUAGUAAUAGAAGAAUAGUAAAAGGCAUGAGCACGAAAAGCGCUAGCGAGUCUUCUAAUGUAUAAGUUUUCUUACGAUAAUGUGUAUAUUUCAACUGGUGACAAUAUCCUUUUUUCUCCUCCAAAACAUCAAUGCUAGUCAGUUGAAGAUAAAGAGUAAUUAAGCUGCUAAUUUGGAGUGCAACGUUUGAACCUUGGACGGCUACCUAUAUUCUUUUAACUAGUGGAAAACAAAGAGACAAUGGUUUGGCACCUUUUAUUAAUAUUAUUAUGGCUUAAAUGUUAAAAUGGUCUCUGUGUUUUAGUCAUUGGGUUAAUUUAGUCCAUGUGUUUUCAAUUUGGCCAAUUUGGUCCUUGUGUUUAUUUCCGUUAGCCAAUUAAGGACAUUUCCAUUUAAUUUAUGUAAAAGAAUUAUAAAUUAUUAUAAACUUAUUUAUAAAAUUAUAAUUUAUUUUAUUUAAAACAUUUAACAUGGAAUAAAAUUAAAAAUUUAAAAGAAAAAUUAUCCUCCUCCCAACUCUCCGACUUCCUCCCUAACAUUACCCCGUCUCAUUUCUAUGUCACAACCUUCAUCAUUUUUCAAAUUGGAAGUUUUAUUUCGUAUCGGUGUUAUUUCUCAUUGAUUUGUAUUUUUCUGUAUAGAAAAAAGAUAAUUAUUUCUCAUUUGAUUUUUCUUAUAAAUUUUUUAAAAGAGAUUGAAUGAAAUGUUCUCAAUUAGCUAACAAAGAUAAAAAUGAGGAUUAAAUUAACCAAAUAAAAAAUACGAAGACUAAAUUGACCAUAUAACUAUAACACAUGAACCAUUUUAAUAUUUAAGCCUAUUAUUAUUUUCCAUUUCGUUAAUUUAAUUGCUUGCGUUACUCACAUCUUUUAAGGUAUCAUAUACUUUACCUUUUCUUUAUUUUAUUAUUAUUGGCUUCUAUUCAUAUGGUCCGGAAUCAAACUAUUUAUAAUUCAUUGUCCUCCACACUUACUUUUUAGGGAAAAUUUGAAAUAAGUUCAAUUUUAUAGACUACUUUUGAAAUAAGUUCAAUUUUUAGUUGUUUUGUAUCCAUAUCAAAAUAUCCCUACUUUUUAAAGGCUAUUCCCUUUUAUCACCCAACUUCCAAUGAAGAAAAAAACUUUUUGUCAACCAUUUUUGUUUGACAAAUUUCCCACAUUAUGCCUCUACAAACAUCAACUUAAAAAAAAAAGUUUCAAUAUAAUGAAUUCUUAAUAGGUGGCCCAAAUUAAGACUUGAUUAGUUAACAAAUUGUGUUAUUUUAUGUCCAAUUAACGGGUCAUGUAAGAAAUUAAUAUACCUAAUAUCUAGAUCUGAAAAACGAUAUAUUAUCAGUACACCAGCAGUUAAUCAGUUGUGUUAUUUCAUGUUCAGUUACACUAAAUAACGUGUUACCAAUAAAAAAUAAACACGUUAAUUAACUCUUAAGUAAUGAUCAAUUCACCAAUUUUCAUGUGAUUUAAUUUACAAUUUUAAUCUAAAAUUUUAGUCACUCAAACAUUACUCUACUCUUAUCAGUACACCACCAGUUAAUUAAUAUAUUUAAAAAAAAUCUGAUCGGUGGGACGCACCCACUUGACACUCUUCUUCCCCGUGUAGUUUGACUCUUUCCCUCGGAAAAUUUUUAGUUAUGACGGAAACACGAAUGGUACAUUACGUGUUUUUAUGCAAAUGGUAGAAAAUUUUAAUUUUUAAGUUAUUAAACUUUUAACAUACAUAAGCCAUCAUUUAUAUAAAAAAACGUAAUGUACCAUUUCGUGUAACGAAAACACUGAAAAAUCUCUCAUUUCCCUCACGUUUCCCUCAGUUAUGUCACACUCAAUUGUCUCAAAACACUCAAACAGUCAAACUCUCUCAUUCUCUCUCUUUCAACUCUCGCCAUCUCUCCCUUCUCUCUCUCUUUCAACUCUCGCCGUCUCUCCCUUCUGUGCGUCACAGAGAAGCCGAGCACCAGAGAGGGGCCACCCCACCGGACCAUCAAACCUCUGGCUCUCAUCUCUGUCACACACUCUCUUUCGACCCUCUCUAUGUGCACGCUGCACAGAAACGCAGCAGGAACACCACCCUCAUUUGCCAUUUUUGAUCGACCGAGGUAAGGGUCUGGACCACUGGAUUGAUUUUCCCUUGUCAUUUUGAUGAAGAUUGACUCCUUGCAUGCAUGUUUUUACGAGGUUGGAGUGCAGAAACAAUUCGGGAAACAUGUCCCCUUUUUCCGGCAAGGAGACCCGUAAGCCUCCUUGUUUUUUCUUUAUUUUUAAUUGAAAAUAUACAUACUCAAAUUUUAUAUAAUCUAUACUAUUAUACUAUUAUUAAGAAAAGAGGCCUUGUGAAAAUCUUUACUACUGCGUGAGCUAGUAGCUCACCCGUGACAUGUGUUGAAUCAGAGAUUUGAAAAGUAGUUGAUUUCGAUGGAAGUGUCAAUAAACUUUUGUAAUGUAGAUUAGAUGCGUUUGAGUGUUUUGUUGAAACCUUGUGAUGUAUAAUAUCAUAAUAUGAGUUCUUUUCAUUUUCAUUCGUGCCCCAGGAGAGGUUAUUUUUGGGAUGUGAUAUCCACACAUCAAAUUUUACUUCUUACAUGCCUUUUUAAUUUUCGAUCGUCGGAUCGAAUGAAUUAAAAAAGAUCAACCGACAGAAAUUAAUAAGAAGUGUAUGAGAAGUAAUUUGAGAUGUGUGGAUAGCACAUCCUUAUUUUUUUUUACUGAUUUGAAUCUUGAACCCGACACUUCCGUACUAUAACUUGGUGUACUUUUGCUUACCACUAUGAAUGAAUGGAUAUUAAUGUUCAUUACUCUACUUAUUAUUAUUAGAAGAUUUUAAAUUUCGUCUAUUCUGCUUGUAUAUUGAAAUUUAAAUUAAUGUUUACACAUAUUUUGAAUUUAAAAUUUAAACUAAUGUAACGAUAUUUAUUACAUAUUUUGAAAUUUAAAUUAUGUAACAAUGAUGAAUAAAAUAGUGAACAUCAGCAAAAUUAUUUCCUAUAAAUUUUAAUACGAUCUCGAUUCUCACCUCGUUAAUGCAUCCUACGCGGCUUCCUAUCUCGAGUUUCAUGGUUUUGCAAAUUGCCAUGUGCAUCAAACUAUUACUUUUGUCCAAAAGUCUUGGUCUCUGUCGAAAUGUCUUCGUAAAGGUAAUGCUAGGGAGUUUAAGGAAAUUUAGUUAAUUUUUUUUAGAUUUUAUGAAAAGUUUUGAUUCAGCUCCUUUCAAAAUUCUAGAAGGAGAGGGUAGAUUUGUGAAUGCUUAAAAUAGCACAACAAAAUUUCUCAAUUCCCUCAAAUUUCUUAACUUUUUAAAUUUUUAAUUGAAUACACAUAGAAUGUUAUAAACUUUUUUGAAGUCCUAAUUGUAUAUCUCCAGAUUUUUAAUGAUUUUAAUAAUCUAUAUUAAAAUUCUGAUUGAAUACAUGUUAAAUUUCAGAAAAUUACAUAAAAUCCUAAUUGAAUACUCAUAAAUUUAUUAAAAGAAUUAAAGUCUCUCAAAUUGUUAAUUGAAUACACAUUCCUAAAUUUGUAGACAAAAUGUAAAAUAAUGAUGUGUUACCAAUAAAAUAAGCUUUUAUCAAAAUUUAAGUAAUAAUUCAUUCAUCAACUUUCAUAUUAUUUAAUUUAUAAAAUUGUAUCUACAACUUUUGUCUCGCCACAUUACCCCUUCGUAAAUAAUUGAUGUAUUAGUUUUGUCCAUACCCCCACCCUCUCCUCACUCCUCUUUUUACUCUGCUAACCAAUUCUUUUUUAUAAAUCUUGUUUUUCGUAAAGAUUUUUCAUUUUUAUUAUCCCACGAGAAUAUGUACAAUCAAAUUAUUUUUUAAACAAACGAUUUUAAAUAGAAGAAUUUGUUAGGCCGAAUUAUUACAUAGAAAUAUUGGUUGAUCUAAAUUCAUGUAAUUUGGUAACUUACCGAUUGACCCAAAAACAAUGAAUAAAUCGACUGUAAAGAUAAUCAUUACCUAUAUUUCGUAAACAAAUACAGUAAAAAUUUGACUCAAUAAUUAAAUUAUCUCCUAAUAGGCUAAUACUUACUUUUAAUUAUUUUCCAAUUUCAUAAAUUUGUAAUCUUCGUCUUCUUCUCAUAUUUGAUAUUUCAGAGUUCAUUAAUGAAGGAAUCCAACAAUAACGUAAGUUGUAGCUCAAUGCAAUUGAAGCAUAUCAUUGCAACUCUUUUGUGAGCUUUCAUAUUCCCCAGUGUAUGUUAUUCUGCACUCUUACUGCCACAUAUAAUAUCCUUCUAGAAUUUAUCUGGAAGAAAGUAUAAGUGCUUAUGAGAUAUAUCUGAUUUUUUAGUUUUACUUUUUUCUUCUUAUUUUAUAUAUGUCACUUAGGUUCAGAGCAUUCAGCCUUCAACACACAAGAUUUCAAAUUCGAUUUCUUCUUCAACAAUAUUGGUUGAAUGAAAAAAAAAGGGUAAGUUGUUGAUUUGUACACCAUGAAGAUGAAUUUGGUUGUAGGUCUAAUCAUUAUUAUUUGGUGUUUUAUUUAAAUAAUUUUAGCAAGCAAAUGUCAUGUUUUAUUUUUCGUGUCAUACUCAUUAUCUUAACGAAUCGUAUCGUAUCAAACUCGUUAUCUAAAUGAAUUCUUAACAGGUAAUCUGAUAAUGACUCGAUUCAUUAAUGGAUCAUGCCGUUUCAUGUCCAGGUCAUGCAAGAAUUUAAUAUACUUAAUAUUUAGAUUUGGCAAACGAUUUCUAAUAAGGUUCUCAACGAGUGACUUGAUAAUGAAUCAUACUAGGCGCAAGUCGGGCAACGAGCAAGGGCUAGCCUAGGCGGAGAGCCUAGGUGGUUUUUUUAAUUUUAAUUAAAAGAGAAUUGCUAUUGGCACUGCAAAAAUCUAAUUGUACACUCCAAACAUUUUAUAUUUAGAAAGAAAAAAAAAUCUUAUGAAGAGUAUACAGAGUGCCAAUAAUAAUUGCCUAAAUUUAUUAUAUAACAUAUAUAUAAACAUUUACCUAUACUUAAAAAAAUACAUAACAUUAUGUACAUAAAUUGCAAAAUAAAAGACAUAUAUAUUAUAAAGUAUUAGAACAUAUUGAAACAUAGGGAACAAACCUAAAAUAUUAUUUGUAAGCAUAAGCCUAUCGCAUGACAUCCUUGCAUCUUACUUGCUUAUUGUUACAUGUUUGUACAACGUAUCUUAGUUAUUUGUACUGUCCUGGGCCAAGGACCAACUUCAUUGUAUAUUCAUAUACACCAUUUACGUUCGCUUUGGAUCCAGAGUUAGGUGCCAGCAUGUCUCUAGGUUAGAUGUUUGGACUCAUAUGUGAUGCGCUUAGCGCCCGCUUCAUGUGAUGUAGUACUAGAACGUAAAAUCUAAACCCAACAUUUUCCAUUGUCAAAAUAUCUCUGAAAUGGACUUGUGCGCGUACAUACAUUAAUGAGCAGUGGCUUAUGCUUUGAGAUGACUGUUGUAUACGUACUCUGUAUUCUUCGACUUACGAUAUAUGUCGGACACUAUAUAGUAGUACGUUGUAUUAUUAUUUUAGGGAACAAUAUACUUGUUUUACAGUGAGGGGUUACAAGUUUUCGAAAAGGUUUUCCAAGCUUUAUUUUGUAGGCCCACUCACCCUUAUUUGUCUUCCCGCUAGGAUUUAAGUGGUAGAGCUUUUAUGACAACGAGGAUUGCUGGCAAGAGCUGACAUAUAGGAGGAUUUCUCCCUUCGGUAUAAAUGUUCCUUAUCUUUUACUAUAAGUUACUUGUAUAUGUCAUCACUUGUGUGAAAAGUGUUUAACUCCACCAACAUGUGCACUCUAGAAUUAGUUGCUCUAGGUUUAAAUUAGUCUGCACUUUCCACAUCACCAUUACUUUAUGGCUUCGUCACCUUCCAGGUAUUGGCCAACACAACUCAAUUCGGUUGUCCAGGUGGACAUUUUGGGUCGGGGUGUGUCAUAAUAAGUGUUCAUCCAAUUAUUUAAUUAGUCUAUUACAAUUUAUUAAAAAAAUUACAAUGAAAAUUAUCUAUUUUUUGUAUAAGUAAGAGUUUUGACUUAGGCAGUCUAGGCGGGCGCCUAGGUAGGUUUAGGUAGACAAAAUUGUCAGGCCUUUGUGUAGAGUUUAAUCUGCUGUACCCAAAAUAUUUUGUUCUUCUUUUCGAUGUGCGCACUUUCACUUAACAACAAUUUUGUGGAACUUGUCAACUGCAACCCACAAGGAAUUGGAACUCAUUUUUGUCCUUAACACUGACAAAAAACCAUGAUGUUUGGUGGAAGAAUUAGAUUGAAUGAGUUCUCGGGUUCGAGACUUGGGAGCAGCCUCUCCAUUAAUGGGGGUAAGGCUAGCCAACAUUCACCUCUCCCAGACCCUGCGUAAAGCGGGAGCCUUGUGCACUGGGUACGACCUUUAUAGAUUUUUGUUCUUGAACCAAAUUCUUUAAUUCUGUGUUCUUGGAAAAAAGACUCAAGAAGGUAGUUUUCGGAAUUUUCGACUGAGUUUGGCCCUUUGUUUGUUAAACUAAAUGAAAGUCAAGAACAGAAAUUUAAAUUUCUUGAGUACUAGACAAUUUUGGUACCUUAUUUAGAUCUUGAUUUCUUUUGUCUUGUAGUUUUGUUUUGAAAACUAAGCACAUAGUUUGUAAAAUAAAAAAGUUUAUCCAUUGCAUUCUAUUUCUUUUUCUGUUGUUUUGAAACUUGUCUAUUCUGCAAAUAGAUUGCAUACCAAGUAUCGAAGGCCAAAAUGGAGUCAGCUGCAUCACUAUUGAUUGGGAAAAUUGCGGCCAUUCUUGAGAAUGAAGCAUCUUCCAUAGCGGCAGUCCGUGAUGAAGUUGAUGAGCUUAAGCUAGAGCUCAUAAGCAUGAAAUCUUUCUUAAUAGAUGCUGAAGGCAAGGAACCACAAACAGAAGGAGUGAAAACGUGGGUUACAAGCGUCAGAAAUUUGACCUGCGAUGCGGAAAAUGUCAUUGAUGAGUUCCUGUAUCACAUUUAUGACAAGCAAAGUGCGACUCCAUCUGCAAAAUUGCUCCACAGAACCAUUUACUUUCCAAAGAAUCUUUGGUAUAGGCAUCGAAUAGCCAAAAAAUUACAGAAAAUCACAAAAAAGAUCAAAGCCAUUCCAGAGAGGAAUGAGAGAUAUGGUGUCUCUACAAUAGAAGGAACAAGUUUGGAUAGUGUUCCCAGAUGGGUGAAGAACAAAGCCCAGUCUUCUCUUUAUAUUAUGGAAGAUGAACUAAUCGGGAUUGAAGACAAGAAGCAAACGUUAUUGGGAUUGUUGAUGAAUGGAGAGGAAAAUGAAAUGGUUGUGUCUGUGGUCGGGAUGGGAGGAUCAGGCAAGACAACUCUUGUUGCCAAUACCUUCAACAACGAAAAUGUAAAGCGACAUUUUGACUGUUAUGCAUGGAUCACUGUUUCUCAAACUUAUGUGAUCGAAGACUUAUUCAAAAAUCUGAUCAAGCAAUUCCACCAAGGAAGAAAGGAAGAGGUGACUGAACAUUUGAAUUCCAUGAGUUAUGAAGAAUUGUUAGAGAUGUUGUCGACAUACUUGAAGUCUAAAAGGUACCUAAUUGUAUUGGAUGAUGUGUGGGAUAUUAAACUUUGGCAAGAAAUAAGGAUACCACUUCUUAAUAGACAUCAUGGAAGUCGAAUCAUGCUUACAACUCGAAAGAAAGACAUAGCUUCGUAUUCUUUUGAAGUUGAAAGUUGUCCUCUUGAAAUUGAACCCUUGGAAAACAAUGAAGCUUGGGAGCUCUUUAGCAAGAAAGCAUUCUCAACUUACGAUAAUAAAUCGUGUCCACCAGAGCUUGAAUCAUUAGCAUGGAAACUUGUGGAAAAGUGUGAAGGCCUACCUCUGGCAGUGGUAACUUUAGGUGGUCUAAUGUCUUCCAAGAGGUCAUCAUCGGAAUGGAGAAGAGUAUACAAUAGCUUAAAUUGGCACUUGACUAACCAUCCUAUGCUAGAAUCAAUGAGCAGCAUCUUGUUGCUUAGUUUCAACAAUUUGCCCAACCGGUUGAAGCCAUGUUUCCUAUAUUGUGCCCUUUUCCCAGAAGAUUAUCUCAUCAGAAGAAAAAGGUUGAUCAAGUUGUGGAUAGCUGAAGGGCUUGUUGAACCAAUUGAUGGUGUCACACCAGAAGAAGUUGCAGAGGACUAUCUUAUGGAACUUACUGGUCGUAGCAUGCUACAAGUUGAACUAAGGAAUGAAGCUGGAAGACCAAAAGCAUGUAAGAUGCAUGAUCUUAUGCGUGAGCUUGCUUUGUCGACAUCAAAAAAAGAAAAGUUUGGUGCAACAUAUGUUAGCCGAGAUAUAGUAGAUAAAGCUGAAAUCCGUCGAUUGUCAAUUCAAACAGCUGAAGGGGAAAUUAAUUCUUGCACAGGUAUGUCAGAGCUUCGCUCCUUUCUUGUCUUUGGCACGUUAAAGAAAUUGCCUUCUGGAUUCAAGUUGUUGAGAGUUCUAGAUCUGGAGGAUGCCCCAAUUGAUAGAUUUCCAGAUGAACUAGUGUACUUGUUCAACUUAAGAUAUUUAAAUUUGAAGGGAACUUUAAUUGAAGAGCUUCCAGAAUCCAUCGGACGGCUUCGCAACCUUCAAAACUUGAACAUCCGUGACAGUAAGAUAAAGGCACUUCCAAAAGCAAUCUCCAAGUUAGUAAACCUACGCCAUCUAACGAUGUAUCGUUACACUAAUUAUCAUUAUGGCUUUAUGUAUGUCAUUGGGAUAAAACCAGCAUCCGAUCUAAGUAACUUACAGAAACUGCAAGUUUUGCAAUCUGUUGAAUCAGAAGGAAAGAUUAUUAAAGUCAUUAGGAAUAUGACCCAACUUACAAGCCUCGGUAUUACAAAUGUGAAAGCAAGUGACGAGAUGGACCUCUGUGACUCCCUUCAAAAGUUAGAGCUCCUUCACUAUUUGUUUUUGAUGGCAAGUGAUGAAGAGGAGUUUCUUCGAGUUAAUGCACUACGUUCGCCUCCUCCAGACCUUCAAAAGGUUUAUUUGGCCGGAAAACUAGAAAAGGUACCUCUUUGGUUUGGUUCACUCUAUAACCUGACACGUAUGCAGCUAUAUUGGUCUAGACUUGAAGAAGAUUUGCUACCACACAUUCAAGCAUUGCCGAAUCUUGAGAGGCUUGAGCUAGUUAAUGCAUAUGUUGGCGAAAAAUUGUGUUUCUCCAGAGGCUUCAUAAAGCUUAAGCGUUUGGAUUUGCGCAACCUCCCCUUAUUGAAUAGUAUAGCUAUAGAGAAAGGGGCGAUGCCAAAUCUCCAGGUCUUAGACAUUUGGGAAUGCAUGGAGUUAAAGACAUUGCCAGAGGGCAUUGAGCUCCUUGCUAACGUAGAACGCUUGAUUCUGGGUCAUGUUCCAAGGCAACUUAUAGAGUCCGUAAAAAGAGGCAUGGAUCAUCCAAAGGUACAACACAUUCCUGAAAUCAGCCUGUAUUACAUGGGACACCAUGAACGAUUGUCCGGUAUUCACUCUCGUAGAAGGUAUGCACACUUUUAUCCGUGCAUAAAAAUUUGAGUAAUGCUAGACUUAUCACAUUUUACAUACUAUAUUUGUACCACCUUUUUAAUAGAGGUAGGGUCCAUCAACAUAUGUGGGUCUCAUUUCAAUUAGAGAGGUGAUACAAAUAUGGUAUGAAAAAUGUGGUAAGAGUAGCAUUUUUGUAAAAAAAAAAUCCACAAUGUAAUCAUUUGAACUAUAUUCCUCUUGUUUUUGUUCGUUAUUAUUUUGAUUUAUUCAAUUCUAAGGCUACGAAAAAGAGGAAGUAGUGCAUCGGAGUGUAAAAAUCAUUUUGCCUUAUAAUUUGCAUGUUCAAUCUUAUUCACAAGUCUGGCAAAGACAUAAUAUAUACAUGCAUUGAGAUUUUAUUCAGUAACUGUGUUUCUUUUGUCUUUUAAUAUCCUUUUUGUAGAAUCAAGCCUCAGAAGCACUUGUGAGACUGCAGUGGGUUCUCUUUUUUGCCAAUUGAUUUUGUGGUGAAUCUUGACUUUCGUUAUAGUAACAGAGCAGACUAUAUACGUGUUGAGUCAUUCACCCUGCAAGGAAGAAUCCGUUUGUUGUUUGUGUAUUGUGUGAAGUUGCAAACAUUGAUCGAUCUUGGUUUCUUAUUUGCCCUUUUUGAAAUUGAAUAAUGCCCAAUAUUCUAUUUGUGUAACUGAAACUUAUAUUGAUUGCUUGCGUGUGUUUUGAUGUAAUAAUAUUAGUUUGGAACUGAAUGUGUCACUGAUGAGAAUAAUGCCCAAGAUUCUGUUUGUGUGUAACAGGAACUUAUAUUAUUGUUUGCUUGCGUGUAUUUUGAUGGAAUAAUAUUGAUUUGGAAUUGAAUAUGUCACUGAUGAGACCAAUUCUAACUAAACCAAUGGUUAUGACCCAUUUUUCAUUUUCAAUAUUUAUUGUUUUUUUUUUCAAGUUUUCAAAUAUAUAUUGUUUUAGGAAGGUAAAUUUUGUGGCGAUGCUUUAGCUCACUAUGGUUUAUUCUGAGAAAUUAUUAGAUGGUACGGUAUUACCAUGUCGGGUGAUACUUCCAUUCAAAUUUUAACAUGAGUGCAGUUUCUUACAGCUGGAUUAAAAAGCUUUUUUAAUUAAUUUUUUUUUUCAGUUUAAACAAAAUUAAAAGAAAAAAAAAAUUCUCAGCUCCUUCCGCCAAAAGCCCCAGUUCCCCACCACCACCUUCAUUCCCUGCCAUCAAUUGCCAUGACUGCCUUCCUCCUGAGAAAUCACAUCCACCGUCAUAAGAAAUAAUAUCAACCUUAAAGAAUUAAUAUUCACCUUCAACAUCCAGCAAUCAGUCCCCAGUGGCUCCUCAAGGACUCAGCCAUCGAAAUCCCCCAAACCCCAACGAAGUCGGAGUUUCGAACGGCUCCCUGCCGAAAUCCCCAUCUCCAAACACCGCCACGGGUCUCCAACAUCCGUUGAACUCGGCGUCGUCUUCCUCCGUUCCACGUCUGUACAAAUGGCAAGUUUGAAGUGAAAGUACCACAACUGACGUGGUGAUACUGUAUCAUUCUACAAUUUCUCGUCUCACGCUAGCUAACCCUCAUUUUUGGGACCAUUGCUUGCCUUAUCGACCAUAAUGCUUGUAUGGGAUAGAUGUAUAAGAAGAUUUAGCCUCUAAUAGAAAUUUCUUUGUUGAUAAAAAAAAAAAAUGUGUGCAUAUAUAUACCGUAUUAGAAGAAAAUAAGUGAUUUUUGUAAAGUAAAUAAAUAAUAAGAAUAAUGUUAAGUACACUAAAUGAUGUGGCCCAAUCAAAAUUUUACUUUAAUUCAAGUUUGAUUUGAUUAAUAAUUGUAAUAAAAAUUUAUAUGGUGUUAUACGUGUCAUAUCAUUUAGUGAACACAUUUGGCACAUAAAUUUGGUGUAUAUAGCAUCACCCAAAAAAUAAUAUUAAAUGGGUGGUGUUAUUCAUAUUUCAUACACUCAUUUUUACAUCUUACACAUAUUUUUCAAUUUCAGGUCGUCAGAUCAAAUAAAUUGAAGAAAUCAAUGAACAAAAUCAACAAGAAUGUAUGACAAAUAAAAAGAAGUGCGUAAAUAGCAAUGUACUACCCUAAUAAUAAUAUGAUUGACCGGUUUGUGUAAAUAUCUUACUAAUACCAAAAAAAAAAAUAAAUGAUAUUCAUUAAAAACCUUUGUCAAUGUACAAUGCACAAAUCUCACAUUCCUAAGGAAUUUAUGUAUUUUACGUUAAGAAUUUUACGUUAAGAAUAUAUAUGUCAUAUCCCGGCCCGGGGCGGAUCACUUCCCGGGCCUGCUCCACCACCAUAGCACGAUAUUGUCCAUUUUGGGCCCCGACCACGUCCUCACGGUUUUGUUUCUGGGAACUCACACAAGAACUUCUCAGUGGGCCACCCAUCAUGGGAGUGCUCUCGCGCCCUACUCGCUUAACUUCAGAGUUUGGAUGGAACCCGAAGCCAGUGAGUUUCCAAAAGGCCUCGUGCUAGGUAGGGAUGAGAAUAUACAUAUAAGGAUCACUCUCCCUGGGCGAUGUGGGAUCUUACAAUCCACCCUCUUUAGGGGCCCGACGUCCUCGUCGACACAUCACAGUCAGGGUUAGGCUUUGAUACCAAUCUGUCACAUCCCAGCUCGGGGAGUAUCACUUCCCGGGCUCGCUCCACCAUCGUAGCACGAUAUUAGCACGAUAUUGUCCGCUUUGGGCCCCGACCAUGCCCUCACGGUUUUGUUUCUGGGAACUCACACGAGAACUUCCCAGUGGGUCACCCAUCAUGGGAGUGCUCUCGCGCGCUACUCGCUUAACUUCGGAGUUCCGAUGGAACUCGAAGCCAGUGAGCUCCCAAAAGGCCUCGUGCUAGGUAGAGAUGAGAAUAUACAUAUAAGAAUCACUCCUCUGGGUAAUGUGGGAUCUUACAAUAUAUAUAUAUUAUUGUUCUUUUUUGAGCAAACGAUAUUAUAUAAUUAAGGGGAAGUUGAGCUCUUAUAUGACGGCUUGGGUUCAAAUCCUGUCGUAGCUUAUCUAACAAAAUCUAUCGUUUAACAAGAAAAAAAGGGGGAGGGGUAUGAUGUGGUUCAAAUUCGUCUUUGACGAGAAUCGAACCUAAGACCUAUCACUUACAAGUGAAGAGGAAUACAACUAUAUCAUAAUAAUGAGUGGCUUUAGGUUAAGAAUAUUAACAAAGAGAGCAUUCUAGAAUUUAGAGGUUGGGGUGUGAUAUCCACAUACCUUUUUUUUACUUUUCACACAUCCUUCUAAUUUUCAGCCGUUGGAUAAGGUGAAUUGAAGAAAAUCAAAGGGUAGAAAUUAACAAAAAGUGUGUGAGAAGUAAAAAGAUGUGUGUGGAUAACACACCCAUAGAGGUUGUGGUGUUUCAAACAAGUUCAGUUGAUAAUGUUCUCACAUGAUUGACAAAUGACAAAGAAUGCAUUCUAGAAUUUGCCGCACGGCCAACAUGAUCCGUCGGUUGUAAAUGUUUAGAAGACCCUAAAUUAUACGUGCCAAGAGCUACAUAGACCUUAUUCGGAAUGGGUACAUAAGUACAAUGUAUGACGUUUUAUGCUAAUAAAACAAUGUUGACAUGUGUAGGUUUCUCUUUACAAGACAAUUUAUCAUUGAAAUAAGAUGCUAUAGUGAUAGUAUAUUUGUGUCAUGUAAGUUACUUUCAUAAAAUAAAUAUUGUGGAGCCAAAAAUAAUUCUAAAAAUUCAGAAGACGACACGUGUACUUUAUUCCGAAGAAGACAAGAUUGCCCUCAUUAAAUUGGAAGGGGCAAACAAAUACUCGCACGUGCAACUUCGCGGGAAGUUCAAGCAGCUAACUACGACUGCUUAAACCUCUCUUGGGGGAAGUCAUAAGUAUUAAAUAUAGGGUUAAUUACUAAAUCUUAUUUUUAAUACAUUCUCAAUCGAAGAUCAACUCAAUUAAGUAAGGAAUCCCUACAUAUCACAAUCAAUUAGGGAUGUUUCCACCAUUAUCCCAAGAUAGUUUCUCCUAAUUAAUAUAUUGGGAAUAUUUUUUCCUCAUUCAUCCAACGGAUGAGAAACGUUUCUUUCAUAUGAAGAAACUCGCCAGUUAUUCCUUCUAUAUUUGUGAUAGAGUGCAUCUUCACACGAAAGGAUCAUUCUGUUCUUGUCAUGUGAAAUAUGUGUUUCUCGGAUUUGCAUAGUAAUUUUGUGCACAGAAUCUUAUGGCUUCAGUUUUUUCCAGGUGAGCAGGUUGUGUAACUUGAUUUUGUUAUUAUUCUUUUUGUAAACACGAUAUUCUCGUUCGGUUGCUACGAUUAUCAGUGUGGCCGGAAUACUACUUGUCCCAAACGCAUGGGGAAGUGCUCUAUAUUGUUCGUGAACUCCGCGUGUUAUGGGACUGCUGCUGUUCCAGUUCAUGGGUGGAUUCUGACAAGCUGCAACACCAGGUAAUGUAGCUUGUACAUCAACUGUUUCAUGUUUCCGUAAGUGGUGAGAUAAAUUUGUUGGGUCUGAUUGAUUCAAACAGGAUUAUGGUACCCUUUUGAUGGAGGAGGCCAAGCGGUUUGCUAGCCAGGAGCAUCGAUAGAAAAAGACUGCUUGAGCUUGAAGGGAAACACCCAAAAAUAAGACUAAGGUUAGACUUUAUACAACAAAUGACUGAGACUUUAUUGUUAGCAUAUUGAAUAGAAGGACGACGUCCAAAUAAUACAAAUUUUGAACAGCCCGAACCACCUCCUAACGAAUAUACCUAGCUAUUUUUCUUGUGUUACUUUUUCAUUCUCUAUUCUUCAUGUUGAUUUCCAUAUUGAUCUUCUGCUUCGGACUGUGAACAGAAUUGAAUCAAAAGAACCAUAUGAGGAAACCAACAUCAAGUGCGCAACGGAAAAGUUGCUCCUUUUGUGACAGAAAGGUCACGGUUCAAGUCGUGGGAACAAUCUAUGUGCAGAGUAAGGGUAAGACUGUAUACGAUAGAUGUCCCCCUCCUGACCCUCACAAAGUGGAAGACUUGUUGGCUUGGGGUCGCCCUUUUACUUUUUGAUUCUUAAAUCUUGAUGCUGAUGUCUGUCUUGCUCUUCCGCUUCGAACUCUAUCCUUUAAAGAUAUAAUUAUCGGCUACGAACUGAUAAAUUUUAGUUAGAAACCCUUUCAUUUCAGAUGAAUAAGCUCUGACAAAAUUCGUCAUUUGGCUCAAAAAAUUGAACCCCAUAGGAAAUUUACAGCUUCAACUAUGAGAAUUAUGCAUUGCACACUCUUGGUAAUAUAGCUAACCAAAUUUAUGAAACCUUUUACCCCUUCGACUAUUUUGCUUCCUGAAAUGAGUUUCAUGACUUUGAAUAGACAUUUAAUUCCUUUCUUGAUAUUGUCCACCAAAAUCUCGAAAAACUUUUGAGUCUGCUACCAUGCACAUGAGGAGCAAGCUUUCUGGCAAUGGGUUUUACUUGGUCCUCAAUAAUAUAUCAACCUCUGAUCGAGUCGCCCCACUCUGCUUAUUCUCCAAAACCUUUGUCAUCAGUUGUUGAAUGCAUUCCAACUUUGGCCUCUCUCUCCCUUCAAGCUUUCAUAAAUCGUCUUUCCAACAACUUGCUUAACGAUCUCAAACUCAGACAUUAACUGAACAUUAACUUCUGACCUCAUUGACGCAUUCUGCUUUCUUCCAAUAAUCUCGAAGACCAUAGUGAUGAGUUCUUGUUCCUCUAAACGCUCCCUUGCCAUUUCUUGUUCUUUCUUUCUGUAUAUGAGUUUGAGAUCGUUAAACAAGUUGUUGGAAAGCCAAUUUAUGAAAGCUUGAAGGGGGAGAGGGCCAAAGUUGGAAUGAGAACUCAUCAUUAUGGUCUUCAAGAUUAUUGGAAGAAAGCAGAACGCGUCGAUGAGGUCAGAAGUUAAUGUUCAGUUAAUGUCUGAGUUUGAGAUCGUUAAGCAAGUUGUUGGAAAGCCGAUUUAUGAAAGCUUGAAGGGGGAUAGAGGCCAAAGUUGGAAUGCAUUCAACAACUGAUGACGAAGGUUUUGGAGAAUAAGCAGAGUGGGGCAACUCGAUCAGAGGUUGAUAUAUUAUUGAGGACCGAGUUUGAAAUCAUUAUGAAGCGCGUUGCUAAAAAUCCAUUGCCAGAAAGCUUGCUCUUCAUGUGCAUGGUAGCAGACUUAAAAGUUUUUUGAGAUUUUGGUGGACAAUAUCAAGAAAGGAAUUAAAUGUCUAUUCAAAGCCGUGAAACUCAUUUCAGGAAGCAAAAUAGUCGGACGGCUAAAAGGUUUCAUAAAUUUGGUUAGCUAUAUUUCCAAGAGUGUGCAAUGCAUAAUUUUCAUAGUUGAAGCUGUAAAUUUCUUGUGGGAUCAAUUUUUUGAGCCAAAUGAAGAAUUUUGUCAGAGCUUAUUCAUUUGAAAUGAAAGGGUUUCUAACUAAAUUUAUCAGUUUGUAACCGAUAAUUAUAUCUUUAGAGGAUAGAGUCCGAAGCAGAAGAGCAAGACUGACAUGACCAUGGCCAUCAAGAUUUAAGAAUGAAAAAGUAAAAGGGCAACCCCAAGCUACCAAGGUUCUCCGCUUUGCUAACAUCUAUCGUAUGCAGCCUUCAAAGGAACAAGCACUCAUCGUGAUGGUCUUCGAGAUUAUUAUAAGGAAGCAGAAUGUCGACGAGGUCAAAAGUUGAUGUUCAGUUAAUGUUCGUGUUUGAGGUCGUUAAGCACUCAGUUGCUAGAAAACCGGUUUCUAGAAAGCUUGAAUGGGGGGAGAUGUCAGAGUUGGAAUGCAUUCAAGAACUGAGGACAGAGGUUUUCAAGAAUGAGCAAAGUGGAGCAACUCAAUCAAAGGUUGACAUAUUAUUGAGGAGUUUGAAAUCGUUAUGAAGCGCGUUGCUAAAAAACCCGCUGCCGAAAAGCUUGCUCGUGCUGUACGUGGUGGCAGACUUGUGAAGUUGUUCAAGAUUUUGGUGAACAACAUCAACAACGAAAUUUAAGGUCUAUUCAAAGCCGUGAAACUCAUUUCAGGAAGCAAAGCAGCCGAAGAGUUGAAAGGUUUCAUAAAUUUGGUUGGCUAUAUUUCGAAGUGUGUGCUAUGCAUAAUUUUCAUAGUUGAAGCAGGAAGGUAGCCCAAUAUUCUUCGUUGCGAUGGUUGUACAUCCUGCUGACUCCAGCGCUCAGGAAGCUUGGAGGGCAUCUCAGACUGGAGUUGUAGGCAUGACAUAGCCAUACACGAAAAAAGUAUGAAAGCAACAGUUCAUGGGGCACAGGUAACUUCAAUGGACAUUGUGUCAGUUAAAAAACAAUUAAAGAAGAUAAGAUAGCUUGCAAUGAAUGGAGAAAGGUUUCAGAGGGCAGGGCGUCUAUGCAUAGGCCUCUCCCCCAUAUACUAAAUAAAUCACUCAUCGCAUGAACAACAUGUGAUUGUAGCUGUGAUAGAAGAAAUUUUUCAUUAUGUCCGUAAUACGAGUGGUACACUACGUGUUAUUACGUAGGAGGAAGUUUUAUAUUGUAAGUUGUUAAUUUUUUAACACAAAUAUCUCACCACAUAUAUUGUGACAUAUGAUGUAUAAUUCCGUGUUCCGGACAAGCACUAAUCUCUCGUUGAGAUGAAUACAACUGCUCCAUUUAAGAGUAUGAAGUUCAAGAAAUGGUUGAUUUUUUAUAUUUAAAUGAAAAGUUAAAAAAAUGCAUUGAAUCAGUUGGAAAAUAAUUGUUAUAGUUUUUUUUUCCUUCUGUAUUCUUUUUUUUUUGUUAAUUCAUUUUUAACUUAAUAGUUUAAAUAUAAAAUAAAACAUUGUACAGGAUAUAUCUAAAUUAUAUAUUAAUAGAACUUAACCACCAAAAACCAAUGAAAUUACAGUUAUAACCUUUAAUACAUAACUAGAAGAAAAAAAAAUUAGAUAAGGAAAAAAUGUGGGCAUUAAUUCCACACAAACAACUUUUUACUUUUUCAUUGACAAAGGAGCCCAACAAUAACGACGUCAGACCAACUGGGACAAGGAUUGUCUGCGCUCCUAGUUGUGGUGCCCUUCCAAGCCCUCCUAUUUUGUGCGGUCACGGUUAAUUCACGUUAAUAUUUUAUAUUUUUAUUAUUUUUUGUCUUAUUAUCUCAUUAAAAAAUUAAUAUAAAAUGUUGACGUGGCUUAACCGUGACCGCAUAAAAUAGAAGGACAUGGAAGGGCACCACAACUAGGAGGGCAGACAAUUCUUGUCCGACCAACUGAAGCAUAUCAUUGCAACUCUUUUGUGAGCUUCGAUAUGCCGCAGGGUAUGUUAUUCUGCACUCUUACUACCAUAUCUAAUAUCCUUCUGGAAAUUUUCUGAGAGAAAUUAAGGGCUUAUGAGCUACAUCUGACUUUUGUUUCACUUUUUUUCUUCUUAUUAUAUAUGUAAUUCAGAUUCUGAGCACUCAUCAUUAAACACAAGACUUCAAACUCGAUUUCUUCCUCAACAAUUACAUAUACUAAAGAAAAAAAAUGCAAAAUGAAAGUUUUUUAUUUUAUGUAAAGCCUAUAACAAUUUAUUGAAAAAAAAAUAAAAAUAUUCAACAAGUUUAUUACAAUAUCUUGAAAAAAUAAAAUACAAAGUGAAAGUUAUCUAUUUUCUGUGUAGACAGGUGUAGGCAGGCGCUAAGUAGGUUUAGGCGUCAUUUCUUAAUUUUCAAAUUCCUAGACAUUAAUGGAGACGGUGGCCAACCACCUAGCGCCGUUGGGAUUUUUAGAAUAAUGGUUAACGUGUGGACCCAAUACCUGUUAUUUUCGUGUCGUUCAAUGUUUGAUUAACGGGUCGUGCAAACAAUUGUGUGGUGUUUGUGUAGAGCCCAAUCUACUAUACCCAAAACAUUCUGUUCUUUACGACUUGUGUACUUUCAUUUAACAACAAUUUUGUGGUACUUGUCCACUGCCACCUACAAAGAAUUGAAACUUUUGGUUAUCCUUUAACACUGACUAAAAUCCAUGAAAUUUGAUGGAAGAAUUAGAUUGAAUGAGUUCGAAAUUUUCAAUCAUAGAUUUUUGUUCUGGAACCAAAUUCUUUAAUUCUGUGUUCUUGCAAAAAAGACUCUUUGUUCUGGAAGAAGUAGUUUUCGGACUUUUGAAGUAUGGCCCUUUGUUAAACAGAAUGAAAGUUAAGAACAGAAAUUUAAAUUUCUUUAGUACCUUAUUUAGAUCUUGAUUUCUUUUGGCUUGUGGUUUCGUUUUGAAAACUAAGCAUAUAGUUUGUAAAAUACAAAAAUUUAUCCAUUGCAUUCUUUUUUUCUUUUUCUGUUGUUUUGAAACUUGUCUUUUCUGCAGACAGAUUGCAUACCAAGUAUCGAAGGCCAAAAUGGAGUCAGCUGCAUCACUAUUGAUUGGGAAAAUUGCGGCCAUUCUUGAGAACGAAGCAUCUUCCAUAGCGGCAGUUCGAGAUGAAGUUGAUGAGCUUAAGCUGGAGCUCAUAAGCAUGAAAUCUUUCUUAAUAGAUGCUGAAAGCAAGGAACCACAAACAGAAGGAGAGAAAACGUGGGUUACAAGCGUCAGAGAUUUGACCUGCGAUGCUGAAAAUGUCAUUGAUGAGUUCCUGUAUCACAUAUAUGACAAGCAAAGUGCGACUCCAUUUGAAAAAUUGCUCCACAGAACCAUUUACUUUCCAAAGAAUCUUUGGCAUCGGCAUCGAAUAGCCAAAAAAUUACAGAAAAUCACAAAAAAGAUCAAAGCCAUUCCCGAGAGGAAUGACAGAUAUCGUGUCUCUACAAUAGAAGGAACAAGUUCGGAUAGUGUUCCCAGAUGGGUGAAGAACAAAGCCAAGUCUUCUCUUUAUAUUAUGGAAGACGAACUAAUCGGGAUUGAAGACAAGAAGCAAAGGUUAAUGGGGUUAUUGAUGAAUGGAGAGGAAAAUGAAAUGGUUGUGUCUGUGGUCGGGAUGGGAGGAUCAGGCAAGACAACUCUUGUUGCCAAUACCUUCAACAACGAAAAUGUAAAGCGGCAUUUUGACUGUUGUGCAUGGAUCACUGUUUCUCAAACUUUUGUGAUCGAAGACUUAUUCAAAAAUCUGAUCAAGCAAUUCCACCAAGGAAGAAAGGAAGAGGUGACUGCACAAUUGGAUUCCAUGAGUUACAAAGAAUUGUUAGAGAUGUUGUCGACAUACUUGAAGUCUAAAACGUACCUUGUUGUAUUGGAUGAUGUGUGGGACAUUAAACUUUGGCAAGAAAUAAGGAUACCACUUCUUAAUAGACAUCAUGGAAGUCGAAUCAUGCUUACAACUCGAAAGAAAGACAUAGCAUUCUAUUCUUUUGAAGUUGAAAGUCGUCCUUUUGAAAUUGAACCCUUGGGAAACAAUGAAGCUUGGGAGCUCUUCAGCAAGAAAGCAUUCUCAACUUACGAUAAUAAAUCUUGUCCACCAGAGCUUGAAUCCUUAGCAUGGAAACUUGUGGAUAAGUGUGAAGGCCUACCUCUGCCAGUGGUAACUUUAGGUGGUCAAAUGUCUUCCAAGAGGUCAUCAUCGGAAUGGAGAAGCGUAUAUAGCAGCUUAAAUUGGCACUUGACUAACCAUCCUAUGCUGGAACCAAUGAGCAACAUCUUGUUGCUUAGUUUCAACAAUUUGCCCAACCGGUUGAAGCCAUGUUUCCUAUAUUGUGCCCUUUUCCCAGAAGAUUAUCUCAUCAAAAGAAAAAGGUUGAUCAGGUUGUGGAUAGCUGAAGGGUUUGUUGAACCAAUUGAUGGGGUCACACCAGAAGAAGUUGCAGAGGGCUAUCUUGUGGAACUUAUUGUUUGUAGCAUGCUACAGGUUGAAAAGAAUGAAGCUGGAGGACUAAAAGCAUGUAAGAUGCAUGAUCUAUUGCGUGAGCUUGCUUUGUCGACAUCAAAAAAGGAAAAGUUUGGUGCUACGUAUGUUGGCAGAGAAAUAGUAGAUAACGGUGAAAUCCGCCGACUGUCAAUUCAAACAACUGAAAGAGAAAUUAAUUCUUGCCCAGGUAUGUCAAAGCUUCGCUGCUUUUUUGUCUUUGGCGCUGGCAUAUUUAUGUUCAAGAAAUUGCCUUCUGGAUUCAAGUCGUUGAGAGUUCUAUAUUUGGAGAAUGCUCCAAUUGAAAGAUUUCCAGAUGAACUAGUGUACUUGUUCAACUUAAGAUAUUUAAAUUUGAAGGGAACUUUAAUUGAGGAGCUUCCAGAAUCCAUCGGACGGCUGCGCAACCUUCAAACCUUGAACAUCCGUGACAGUAAGAUAAAGGCACUUCCAAAAGCAAUCUCCAAGUUCGUAAACCUACGCCAUCUAAUCAUGUAUUGUUACGCUGUUGAUUUGAUGGCCUUUAGAUUUCUCAAUGGGACAAAAGCAGCAUCCGAUCUAAGUACAUUACAGAAACUGCAAGUUUUGCAAUCUGUUGAAUCAGAAGCAAAGAUUAUUAAGGGCAUCAGGAAUAUGACCCAACUUACAAGCCUUGGUAUUACAAAUGUGAAAGCAUGUGACGAGAUGGACCUCUGUGACUCCCUUCAAAAGUUAGAGCUCCUUCACUCUUUGUUUUUAAUGGCUAGUGAUGAAGAGGGGUUUCUUCAAGUUAAUGCACUACAUUCGCCUCCUCCAGACCUUCAAAAGGUUAUUUUGGCCGGAAAACUAGAAAAGGUUCCUCUUUGGUUUGGUUCACUCCAUAACCUGACACGUAUGUGUCUACAUUGGUCUAGACUUGAAGAAGAUCUGCUGCCUCACAUUCAAGCAUUGCCGAAUCUUGAAAGGCUUACCCUAUCUAAUGCAUAUGUUGGCGAAAAUCUGUGUUUCUCCAGAGGCUUCAUAAAGCUUAAGCAUUUGCUGUUGGGCAGCUUCUCGGUAUUGAAUAGUAUAGCUAUAGAGAAAGGGGCGAUGCCAAAUCUCCAUGUCUUAGACAUUGGGAACUGCAUGGGGUUAAAGGCAUUGCCGCAGGGCAUUGAGUUCCUUGCUAACGUAGAACGCCUGGAUCUGUAUUCUGUUCCAAUGCAACUUAUAGAGUCCGUAAGAGAGGCAUGGAUCAUCCAAAGGUACAACAUAUUCCUGAAAUCCACCUGUAUUAUGAGAGAGAAAAUAUGUGGUGUCAUGAAAGCUUUUCUAGUAUUCACUCAAGGUACACACUUUUGUCCUUGCAUAAACAUUUGAUUAAUUCUAGACUUAUCAUAUUUUUUGUAUCAUAUUUGUACUAUCUCUUUUAUAGAGGUAGGGCAAUGGGUCUUAUUUCUAUUAGAGAGGUGGUAUAAAUGUGGUAUGAAAAAUGUGGUAAAAGUAGCAUUUUUUUGUAAAAAAAAUUCCACAACAUAUUCAUUUGAACUAUUACGUUAGAAAGUUAAAAGGUUGAUGAUUUUCAUGCUCCUAUUUUUUUUUCUUAUGCACUCCUUAUGUUUUUGUUCGUUAGUGUUUUGAUUUAUUCAAUUGUUAGGCUACGAAAAAGAGGAAGUAGUGUAUCGGAGUGUAAAAAUCAUUUUCCCUUACAAUUUGCAUGACCAAUCUUAUACAGAAGUCUAGCAAAGACAUAAAAUAUGUAUGCAUUGAGAAUAUGUAUCCAUUGAGAUUUUAUUUGGUAACUGUGUUUCUUUUGUAUUGUAAUAUCCUUUUUGUAGAAUCAAGCCUCAGAAGCACUUGUGAGACUGCAGUGAGUUCUCCUUUGUGCUAGUUGAUUUUGCGGUGAAUCUCGACUUUCGUUAUAAUAACAGAGCUGACUAUAUACGUGUCGAGUCAUUCGUCCUGCAAGGAAGAAUCCGUUCGUUGUUUGUGUGUUGUGUGAAGUUGCAAACAUUGAUCGAUCUUGGUUUCUUAUUUGCCCUUUGUGAAAUUGAAUAAUGCCCAAGAUUCUAUUUGUGUAACUGAAACUUAUAUUAUUGAUUGUUUGCGUGUGUUUUGAUGUAAUAAUAUUGGUUUGGAACUGAAUCUGUCACUGAUGAGAAUAAUUCCCAAGAUUCUGUUUGUGUAACAGAAACUUAUAUUAUUGUUUGCUUGCGUGUAUUUUUGAUGUAAUAAUAUUGGUUUGGAACUGAAUCUGUUAUUGAUGAGACCAAUUCUAACUAAAUCAAUAAUUAUGACCCAUUUUUCAUUUUCAAUAUUUAUUGUUUUUUUUAUCAAGUUUUCAAAUAUAUUGUUUUUGAGAGGCAAAUUUUGUGGCGGAUACUUUAGCUCACCAUGAUUUUACUUAAGAAAUUAUUAGAUGGUACGGUAUUACCACGUCAGCCAGUCAUACUUCUAUUCAAAUUUUUAACAUGUCUGCAGUUUCUUACAGCUGAAUUAAAAAGCUUUUUCAAUUCAAAAUUAAUUAAUUUUUUUCAGUUUAAACAAAAUUAAAAGAGUUAAAAAUAAGAGGCGUUUUGACACAUGCAUAGCUUUUAAAAUUUUGAGUUAACCUCUUUUCCUCCCCUCCCUCCUCUCUCAUGGCGACUGCAGUGCUGCCAGUAUCCGAGCCCGCCAGAAAGCAAUCCCGACCGGGUCGGGGCGGAUUCGAGGCCCAAUGAGCAGCAUCUUGUUGCUUAGUUUCAACAAUUUGCCCAACCGGUUGAAGCCAUGUUUCCUAUAUUGUGCCCUUUUCCCAGAAGAUUAUCUCAUCAAAAGAAAAAGGUUGAUCAGGUUGUGGAUAGCUGAAGGGUUUGUUGAACCAAUUGAUGGGAUCACACCAAAAGAAGUUGCAGAGGGUUAUCUUGUGGAACUUAUUGUUCGUAGCAUGCUACAAGUUGAAAAGCAUGGAGCUGGAGGACUAAGAGCAUGUAAGAUGCAUGAUCUUGUGCGUGAGCUUGCUUUGUCGAUAUCAAAAAAGGAAAAGUUCGGUGCUACGUGUGUUUCCAGAGAAAUAGUAGAUAAAGCUGAAAUCCGCCGAUUGUCAAUUCAAACAACUGAAAGAGAAAUUAAUUCUUGCACGGGUAUGUCAGAGCUUCGCUCCUUUCUUGUCUUUGGCGCGUUAGAGAAAUUGCCUUCUGGAUUCGAGUUGUUGAGAGUUCUAGAUUUGCAGGAUGCUCCAAUUGAUAGAUUUCUAGAUGAACUAGUGUACUUGUUCAACUUAAGAUAUUUAAAUUUGAAGAGAACUUUGAUUGACGAGCUUCCAGAAUCCAUCGGACGACUUCGCAACCUUCAAACCUUGAUCAUCAGUAACAGUAAGAUAAAGGCACUUCCAAAAGCAAUCUCCAAGUUAGUAAACCUACGCCAUCUAAUCAUGUUUCGUUACACUGGUGACCAUUAUGGCUUUAUAUAUCUCAAUGGGACAAAAGCAGCAUCCGAUCUAAGUAAAUUACAGAAACCGCAAGUUUUGCAUUCCGUUGAAUCAGAAGGAAAGAUAAUUAAAGGCAUCAGGAAUAUGACCCAACUUACAAGCCUCGGUAUUACAAAUGUGAAAGCAAGUGACGAGAUGGACCUCUGUGACUCCCUUCAAAAGUUAGAGCUCCUUCACAAUUUGUUUUUAAUGGCUGGUGAUGAAGAGGAGUUUCUUCAAGUUAAUUUGACUCCUCCAGACCUUCAAAUUGUUAAUGUGACUGGAAAACUAGAAAAGGUACCUCUUUGGUUAGGUUCACUCCAUAACCUGACACGUAUUUAUCUACGUUGGUCUAGACUUGAAGAAGACGUGCUACCUCACAUUCAAGCAUUGCCGAAUCUUGAAAGGCUUUCGCUAAUUAAUGCAUAUGUUGGCGAAAAAUUGUGUUUCUCCAGAGGCUUCAUAAAGCUUAAGCAUUUGAGGUUGUUCAAGUUCCCCUUAUUGGAUAGUAUAGCUAUAGAGAAAGGGGCGAUGCCAAAUCUCUAGGUCUUAUGCAUUGCGUACUGCCUGGAGUUAAAGGCAUUGCCGCAGGGCAUUGAGUUCCUUGCUAACGUAUAACGCUUGAAUCUGUAUUCUGUUCCAAUGCAACUUAUAGAGUCCGUAAGAGGAGGCAUGGAUCAUCCAAAGGUACAACAUAUUCCUGAAAUCCACCUGUAUUAUAUGAGAGAAAAUAUGGAGUGUCAUGAAAGUUUUUCCGGUAUUCACUCUAGGAGAAGGUACGCACACUUUUAUCCUUGCAUAAAAAUUUAAUUAAUGUUAGACUUACUACAUUUUUUGUGUCACAUUUGUACCACCUUUUUUAUAGAGGUAGGGCCGAUUGACAUAUAUGGGUCUUAUUUUUAUUAGAGAUGUGGUAUAAAUGUGCUAUGAAAAAUAUGGUAAAAGUAGCAUUUUUGUUAAAAAAAAAAUUCCACAACGUAAUCAUUUGAACUAUUACGUUAGAAAGUUAAAAGGUUGGUGAUUUUCACACUCCUAUUUUUUUUUCCUUAUACGCUCCUCUUGUUUUUGUUCGUUAGUGUUUUGAUUUAUUCAAUUGUUAGGCUACGAAAAAGAGGAAGUAGUGCAUCAGAGUGUAAAAAUCAUUUUCCCUUACAAUUUGCCUGUCCAAUCUUAUAUAGAAGUCUGGCAAAGACAUAAAAUAUGCAUGCAUUGAGAUUUUAUUCGGUAACUAUGUUUCUUUUGUUUUGUAAUAUCCUUUUUGCAGAAUCAAGCCUCAUACGCACUUAUGAGACUGCAUUGAGUUCUCCUUUGUCCCAGUUGAUUUUAUGGUGAAUCUCGACUUUCGUUAUAGUAACAGAGCUGACUAUAUACGUGUUGUGUCAUUUACCCUGCAAGGAAGAAUCCGUCCAUUGUUUGUUGUGUGAAGUUGCAAACAUUGAUCGAUCUUGGUUUCUUAUUUGCCCUUUGUGAAAUGGAAUAAUGCCCAAGAUUCUAUUUGUGUAACUGAAACUUAUAUUAUUGAUUGCUUGUGUGUGUUUUGAUGUAAUAAUAUUGGUUUGGAAUUGAAUUUGUCACUGAUGAGAAUAAUGCUUAAGAUUCUGUUUGUGUAACAGGAACUUAUAUUAUUGUUUGAUUGCGUGUAUUUUGAUGUAAUAACAUUGAUUUGGAACAGAAUCUAUCACUGAUGAGACCAAUUCUAACUAAACCAAUGAUUAUGACCCAUUUUUCAUUUUCAAUAUUUAUUGCUUUUUAUCAAGUUUCAAAUAUAUAUUGUUUUAGGUAGGCAAAUUUUGUGGCGGAUGUUUUAGCUUACUAUGAUUUUACCUGAGAAAUUAUUAAAUGGUACGAUAUUACCACGUCGCCCAGUAAUACUUUUAUUCAAAUUUCCAGUAAUACUUUUAUUCAAAUUUUAACAUGUGUGCAGUUUCUUUCAGGCUUACAGCUAGAUUAAAAAGCUUUUUUAAUUUAAAAUUAAUUUUUUUUUCAGUUUUAACAAAAUUAAAAGAACUAAAAAUAAGAGGCGUUUUGACACAGAUGCCUAGGGUUUAGCUUUUAAAAUUUUGAGAUAAGGCCAUCUCCAAUCGAAAAGUCCAGAGGGCUGAAAAUGGCCCAAAAACCAUCUCCAACCGAGGACUAGGCCAAAAGGCUCGUGGGCCCCACUGAACAAAAAAAGGCCAAAAGGAACCCAACCAGCCAACCUCGGGCAGAGCCAGAAAUUUGAAUGCAACGGCUAGCUGAUGUAAGCGUGACGCUAACUAGCCAUUAUAUUUGAAUUUUUUUUUGGGCCAAAAUUUUAAAAAAUAUAUAUUUAAUUAUAGGCCUAGAAAGGUGAUUAGUUCAAUGUUGGGCGUUGAGAUGUUCCUUUUAUAAGCAUGUUUGGUUACUCAAAUCUCUCCCACGAACAAUGUGGGACAAAUAUAAUGGGUGCCACACAUGCAAGCUUUUGCUUGCUCAAAUCUCUCCCACGGACGAUGUGGGACAAAUAUAGUGGGUAGUUUUUAAAUUUAAGUUGUUGUAGUUUUUAAAUUUAAAUAACAAAUUAUGUUUGGUCCUAUGACCCUCAAUUGGAGAUGAUUUUUGUCACAUGGCUAUGUUUGAUAAAAAAUUAUAGUCAUGCACUGUUCAUUAAAGUAUUAAUUUCUUGGACGGCCACACCUUCGGUUGGAGAUGGCAUAACCUCUUUUCCUCCCCUCCUUAUUCUCUCCCAUGGCGACUGCAGUGCUGUCAGUAUCCAAGCCCGCCAGACAGCAACCCCGACCGGGUCGGGGUGGAUUCGAGGCCCAUGGACUAUCAGAAGAAGAGGCCUAAAACCAUAUUUUAUCUUAAUAUUACAUAAUUACUGUUUUGUCUUCCUUAUGUAAAUAUUGUGAAUCAAAAGUGAGGGUAAAAUAGGAAAAAUAGGGAUAUGAUUGUCAUUUUAUCAAAAGAUAUAAAAUUACUAUUUUGCCCUCCUUAUGUAAGUAUUGUGUAUCAAAAGUGAGGGCAAAAGAUACAAAAUUACUAUUUUGCCUUCCUUAUGUAAGUAUUGUGUAUAAAAAAUGAGGGUAAAAUAAGAGGAAAAAAAAAGGCAAAAAGUUGACAAGAAUGAUUCUCUUAAUAAUAGUAUAGAUUAUAAAUAAUAAAUAAUAAUAAAAACUGAUAAGAAAAAAAAAAAAAAAAAAAAAACCCUAUCGUUCAAACUUCAAAGUUAAGGGGAGGGUAAUGGACAAGGAUUGUCUGCCCUCCCACUUUCCAUGCCCUCCCAUGCCUUCAUGUUUGUGUGGUCACGGUUAAGCCACGUCAACAUUUUAUAUUACUAUUCAUUUUUGUCUUAUUAUCUCUAUAAAAGAAACAAUAUAAAAUGUUGACGUGGCUUAACCGUGACCACACAAAACAGAAGAACACAGGAGGACAUGGAAAAUGGGAGGGCAAACAAUCCUUGUCCGAGGGUAAUAGACCUCUCUUUCUCUGCCGCAUAUCUCCUGGUUUUAUUUUUAUUUAUUUUUGGUAAAAAAAACCUUCCUGAUCUCUUUAUUCUCUAGAAACUCAUGUGUUAUUACCAUUUAUCGGACGAUAUGUUUUCCCGCUUGUUCAUAUUGUUCUCACGCUUGGCCAAUGGGGGAAAAAAUUGUUUUCCACAAUCUAAUUUAUCACUCAAAAUACUAGGAAUGAAGACUUAGGAUUUUGGGUUUAGUUUUGUUUACCGAACAAAAUAAUUCAAGAGAUCGAGCGAUUGCUUGAUACGCUUUGUGUGCUUUUUAAUUUUGUAUCAAUCGAAUCAAAUCGACAUGUAGUAAAGACGGAUUUUCUCUCCUCCUCCUUACGUUCGUGACCAGUUGAUUUUUUUUCCUAUUGAGUUUUAUUGGAUUAAUUGAUUCUUAUUCAUUUAAUAUAAUUGUUUAUUUAUUACUUAUAAUUCACAUCAUCGUCCAUGUCACUUAAGGUUUAAAAUUUUCAACAUUAGUCUUAAUCAAGAUCAUUGAAUGUUAUAAAAUCUAAUGACUAAAAAAGAGUGUAAAAAUACUUGUCUCCUGAUCCUAUUUUAUAUGUAUUUUUAUAUAUGAAUAUAAAUUAUUAUCUAUUAAUUUUUCAAUACAGUAUGAUAAUAUUGUUGGUAAUAUUAUGGAAUACUAAUCACAUACCAAAAAUUUCAGUUUGCUACAAUAUCGUGUCAUUAUUGAUUAGCACAAAAUCGAUAUGGUACGAUUAUCAAUCGGUGGCACGAUAUUGACAAAAAAAAAAAAUCACCCUAGAGUUAGUAACUCACCCGUGACAAGUGUUGAAUCAGAGACUAAAAAAGUAAUUGAAUUCUACUGGAAGUGUAUAUAAACUUUUGUAAUGUGAAUUAAAAUUAUAGUGUGCUUGAGUGAUUUUUCAAAAAGAAAACUAAGGAAAAGGGCUUGAAAACUUUGAGUUUUAAUGAUAAGGACAAAAUAAAGGGUAAAGUGAAUAGUACAAGGAUUGACUUUUUAGUGUAAAAAUGUGAUUUUUCGUUAAAGUAAACAGUACCGGGAGCUUUUCGUUAAAGUUCCCUUUUUCAAAACCGUGUUAGUUAUUUGAAAUAAGAAUUUUCUGUUAUAUUUUUAAUUUAUUUGUGCACCAAUUAUUUUUCUGCCGACACCAAAUUCGAAGCGCAACUUUAAUAUGACCCCACCUGGCAAGUACUGCGAGCAAAAUACAUCCCCACGAUUUACAAAUUGCCACACACAUCACAUUAUUAUCUUUGUCCAAAGGUUUUUGUCUUCGUCUGAAAUUAUUGGUCUUUGUCAGAAAGUAUUCGUAAGAGCCAUAAAGUAUUGGUCUUUGUUUCAUGAAACAUGACUUCCAUCCUAACGUGCAAUUGUUUCUAAUUCUAAAGUGAUUGUCUCUAAUUUUACUUGUUUCUCUGUCGGAUCGAAUGAGAAAAGAUAAAAGGCUCAUGAAAUUGACGUGUGGGGUUAGGAAUGGUUAUAUUCUAUGAGUGAGCUCCAGUCCCUUCGUCUCAUAUUUGAUAUUUUUAUUUUCGUUGACAAGGGAGCCCAAAAAUAACGACGUCGGAGCAACUGAAGCAUGUAAUUGCAACUCUUUUGUGAGCUUCCAUAUGUCCCAGGGUAUGUUAUUCUGCAAUCUUACUACCAUAUCAAAUAUCCUUCUAGUAAUUUUCUGGAAGAAAGUAUAGGGGCUUAUGAGCUACAUCUGACUUUUGUUUCACUUUUUUUUCUUAUUAUAUAUGUAAUUCAGAUUCUGAGCAUUCAUCAUCGAACACAAGACUUCAAAUUCGAUUUCUUCUUCAACAACAUUGCCUGUAUAAAAAAAGGGGUAAGUUAUUGAUUUAUACGCCAUUACGUUGAAUUUGGUUGGAAGUCUAGUCAAUAUUAUUUGGUGUUUUAUUUUAAUAAUUUAAGCAAGCAAACGAGUUAUAUUUAUCGUGUUUUCAUUGUUUUGUCAUAUUUGUCAUUUUAACAGAUAAUAUUGUGUCAAAUAUGUUAUCCUAAUAAAUUCUUCACAAAUGACCCCAAUAACGACUUAAUUCGUUAAUGAAUUGUGUCGCCUCACGCAGUGAUGAAGCCAAAAAUUGUCAAGAGGAGGGGCAAAAGUUAAACGGUUUAAGGUCCCCAAAAAAUGUGGACAUCCAUUCGAGGCCGAAGUCUAGUGUUUACAUGAAGAAUAUGUGAACUACCUCGAAUAUUUGUAGGAUAAUUUGCACUAACUGAAAUAUUCAAAGUAGGAAUUGGACAUGACCUGACCUAGGAGGAUUAGGCGAAUUUGAAUUUUUUUAAUUAUAUAUUGUAUAAAUAAGUGUCUAUUUAUUAUAUACAUAUAAUAUCUAAGAACAUUGACUAUAAAACAUAUAAUAUAUAAAAAUAUAAAAAAAAAAUUUUACUUUGUUGUAUUUAACAGUAGGAGAUAAAAAUUUAAAUGAUUACAAGUUUUUAAUACUUUACAAAAUAUUUUUUAAAGUUCAUAUGAAUUUAUAGUAAAUUUGAAGAUAAAUAAUAAUGUAAAAAAAGUUAAAAAAUAUUGAAAAAGUGGGCAAAUUAUUCAAACAAUAAUUAAAAAACAAAACAAAUCUCAAUAUAAUCAGCAUAUUAAAUAGCUAGCUAUGUGGCCCAAACUGAUUGGGUACAAUAAUUGAAAAACCAAAUCAAAGUGGGUAACUUUGAAACGGCAUGUGGGGUGGGGUGGGUAAGAGAGAAAGUUACCUUUUAGUAGCUGAAAAAUACAAAGCUUGGGUAUUUUGAAAAAAAAAAAAAAAAAGGAGAGCCUGGGAGUAGGAAACCCAGAACACCAAAAAAUCAGAUGGGACCAAAGGGACGGAACCAUUGAUCCUAGGCUUGAUUUUCGGUUUGGGGAGGGGCGACCCUUAUGUAGCUUUGCCCAUGAUCUCAUGCCUAUUUAAUAGGUUAUGCAAGAAAUUAAUAUACCUAAUAUUAAUUUAAUAGUUGGGAACUCCCCCGUGAUAAGUGUUGAAUUGAAUCAGAGACGGAAGUGUAUAUAAACUUUUGUAAUGUGAAUUAAAAUUACAGUGCGCUUGAGUGAUUUUUCAAAACCUUGUGUUUGUUAUUUGAAAUAAGAGUUUUCUAUUAUAUUUUUAAUUUUAUUCGUUCCUUGGUUUACAAAUUGCCACGUACAUCACGUUAUCAUCUUUGUCCAAAAGUUUUUGUCUUGGGCUGAAAUUAUUGGUCUUUGUCAGAAAGUAUUCGUAAGGGCCAAAAAGUAUUGGUCUUUGUUUCAUCACUUCCAUCACAACUUGCAAUUGUUUCUAAUGUAUUUUAAAAGCACAUCCAAACAAGCCCAUAUAAAUUAUAAAGUAUUAGAACAUAUUGAAAAUAUGAGAACAAGCAUAUAAUGUGUCACAUCCCAUUCCAAAUUUAAUCGUAUUUUAUUCUCUAACAUUAGAAAAUUACAAAAAUGCCCCUGACGGGGUGAGUGGAAAUCCUAGGUGGACAUUUGGGUCCUUGUCACUCUGUACCUUUUUCAUGUCUUUCUAGGUAGUACUUAUCCUUAUAAACAUGUGAGCGCGAACGAGGAGUAAAUCGAAUGAUUUACACACAUUUCCCAAUAAGGGGCAAAAAAGUAAUUAUGCACCCUCACAAAUCCAUAACUUGUUUAUCAAGACAACAAUAGGUUGGGACACUGUGAUAUUGAAGGCCUAUUUGUUGGGUUCGUUAAGUAAGUGGGCAACUGGGCCCCAUCUCCGUUAGUAUUUAAUUAAUUAAGCAUGAUGUCUAAUUAAUUAUUGUUUGGGUUUGACCCAAAGAUACACACACAUAUACUCUCGUAAUGCUCAUCACUACGAGUGCGUGGAUGCAAACAACAUAGAAUUUGGAGCUAUGAACCUCAAGGACAUUAUGGUCAUCCUACUCUUCUUAGUGCACAACAACCAAUUAUUGAACAUUUUUAAAAAUCAUUGGUCCCACCCCACGUGACCACUCCUUUUCGCCAUAUAGCUUCCCCUCACGUUUCCUUCAGAUAUGUCACACUCAUUCUUUAAAACACUCAAACUCUCUCAUUCUCACUCCUCUGCCUUAAUUCUCUAUCUCCCCCAAUGUCUCUUUCUCAACUCUCGCUAUCUCUCCUUUCUAUGUGUUCACAAAGAAAUUGAGAAAUACUUUGUUCUUUAAGAAACAUUGAAAUUUCAUCGUGAUACUUAAAUAAGCAAAUGAUUUCGAAUUCAAUUGAAUUUUCGCAACGAUGAUCUAUGAAUCAAGAAUUAUAAAAAUAGACGGUUCGGAUCGUUAAAGUUCGAUGUAGAAUGUAUCCCACAACUAAUCCCCAUUUUUUAAAGGGCAUGUAUAAGAUUGUUGAAUCUUAUAAAGGCUACAAAGAGUGAAAAUGUUUGUCAAAAUGUUUGUGUCUUGAACUAUCCCACAAAUGUGUGUAUGUAUAUAUUCCCUUUAGCCAAAAAAUUGGAGGAUGCGGGCAGCCGUCCGAUCUCUUUUAAUCGAUCGUGCGGCUGGGACUCAACCAUGCCUUGUUGCAAUCUUUUACAUUUUAUUUUUCUUUCUCCGGCUCUCGAGAAGGAGACGCGUAGCCAAGCCACCCAGAGAGGUUCAGUCAAACCCCAAUCCUCUCCUCCUUUCGACGAUUCUGGACAAUUUGGAGAAUGGGUUUAAGGAUUUGGGUUUUUACUUUCAAGUAAUACUUUUCUUGGAGCAUGGAGUCAGUGAAUACUCCUUGGUUCAAAUUGUACAUCUCAGUUUCUGAACUUUUUUUUCCCUCCGGUUUUAUUUAGAUAAGAAACUCAAUCACCAUCUUUUUCAUGAUGCAGAGACCCAUACUAAAACUCGCAAAAAAAAAAAAAAAAAAAUCCCAAAUCUUAGUCUCUCCUUUUCUUUUAACAAUCAGGUUCUAGGACUUUUUUCAAGUUACUUUUCUGAAAAAUGGGUUUUGUGAUUUGGGUCUCCAUUUGAUCAAAAUAUAGGUACAGAUCAAUCCCACACUCGGCCAUAUUCAUACCCUAAUUUUGAAACAUGCAGACACCAUUUUUUUUUUUUUUUUAAGAUUCAGACCCCAAUUGGCUUCUAGCUUUCAAAUUCGCAAAGAAAAAACAAAAUGAUCUCUGAUAUUUUAUGCUUAUGAUUGGGUCUACUGAAGUCUGAAACUGUGGUCGCGAUGGAGAAGUGGUGCUCCGGCAUGAAGCUUUGUUUGUAUUCAAAUUAGGAAGGAGAAGGGGAAACAAAAGAGAAAAAGUAGUCAACUCCCAGCCACACGAUCUCAUUAAGAAAGAACGGACGGCUGCCUGCAUCCUCCUUUUUGGCUAAAUGGGGAUCCUCUCUCUUUUUUUAUUUUUUAUUUUAUUUUUAACAAACUUUUCGGUAAUUUCGGUUUGGGAUCGGGAUUUUUUUCGAUUUAGUUCAGGAUUUUUGGGAAUUUGCAAAUCUCGAACCAAACCAAAUGAUGUGUCACCAAUAGGAAAUAAACACGUUAAUCAAAACUUAAGUGAUAAUCCAAUCAUAAAAAACCAAAUCAUUUCGUUUACAGAAUUUGUUUUAAAAGUUUAGUCUCUCUAGAAUUACCCUUAUAUAUAUAUAUAUAGUUUUCCUCAAUAACUGUUUAUGCAUAAUUGAUGUGACAUGCCAUGUUUAGCUUUACAAAUACUCUUUUCAUACACUUCAAGUUUAUAUUACUAUUUGUAAGUAUAAACAUAUGGCAUGACAUCCUUGUAUCUAAUAUGCUCAUUAUUACAUGUUUGCACAGUGUCUUUUAGUUAUUUGUACUGUUCUAGGCCAAUGACCAACUUCACAUGUAUCUUCACUUGCACCAUUUACGUUCGCUUUGAAUCCAGAGUUAGGUGUCAGCCUAUCUCUAGGUUAGAUUUUUGGACUCGUAUAUGAUGCGCUUAGCACCAGCUUUCGUGAUAUAGAACUAGAACGUAAUAUCUACACCCAACCUGUUCCAUUGUCAGAAUACCUCUGCAAUGAAUUUGUGUGCCUACAUACAUUAAUGAGCAGUGACUUAUGCUUUUGAGAUGACUGUUGUAUACUAGUAUACGUAUGCCAUAUUCUUCGACUUACGAUAUUUGCUGGCUGCUAUAUAGUAUUACAUAGUAUUAUUAUUUUUGGGAAACACAUUUUCGAAAAGGUUUUCAAAACUUUAUUUUAUAGGUCUACUCACCCUUGUUUUUUGCCCAUCUAGGAUCUAGUGGCAGAGCUUUUGUGACGACGAGGAUUGCUGGCAAGAUCUGACAUGUAGGAGGAUUUCUCCUUUCGGUAUAAAUGUUCUUACUUUAUCUUUUACUGUAAUUUACUUAUACUCUGACAUCACUUGUGUGAAGAGGUUCAACCUCGUUUACAUGCGUACUCUAGAAUUAGUUACUUUAGGUUUAAAUUAGUCAACACUUUUCACAUCACCAUUACUUUAUGGCUUCGUCACCUCCCAGGUAUUGGCUAGCAUAGCUCAAUUCGGUUGUCUAGGUGGACAUUUCGGGUUGGGUUGUGUCAUAAUGAGUGCUCAUCCAAGCUAGUAUUCAAAAAGUCUAUUACAAUUUGUUGAAAAAAUAAAAUGCAAAAUGAAAUUUAUCUAUUUUCUGUGUAAGUGAGAGUUGUGACUUAGGCAAGUCUAGGCAACACCUAUGCUACGUAGGCCUAAGAACCCUUUCUUAAUUUUCAAAUGUUUGAGAUUAAUCGGGUCGGUGGCCACUCCUAGGCAGCGCUAGAUGGAGAUUUUUAGAAUAGUAAUUAAUGUGUUGACCCAAAACUUGUAAUUUUUCAUGUCGUUCUGUGUCUAAUUAACAGGUCGUGCAAAAAAUUAUGAGGCCUUUGUGUAGAGUUCAAUCCGCUAUACCCAAAAUAUUGGACGCCUACAAAGAAUUGAAACUUUUUGUUAUCCUUAAUACUGACAGAGAACCAUGACAUUUGAUGGAAGAAUUAGAUUGAAUGAGUUUGAAACAUUUCAACCACAGAUUUUUGUUCUUGAAUCAAAUUCUUUAAUUCUGUGUUCUUGGAAAAAAAGACUCGAGAAAGUAGUUUUCGGACUAAGUUUGGCUCUUCCUUUGUUAAAAUGAAUGAAAGUUAAAAACAGAUUUAAGUUUCUUGAUUACUAGACAAUUCGGGUACCUUAUUUAGAUCUUGAUUUCUUUUGGCUUGUGGUUUCGUUUGAAAACUAAGCACAUAGUUUGUAAAAUACCAAAAUUUAUCCAUUGCGUUCUCUUUUUUUUCCCGUUGUUUUGAAACUUUUCCUUUCUGUAGAUAGAUUGCAUACCAAGUAUCGAAGGCCAAAAUGGAGUCAGCUGCAUCACUGUUGAUUGGGAAAAUUGCGGCCAUUCUUGAGAACGAAGCAUCUUCCAUAACGGCAGUCCGUGAUGAAGUUGAUGAGCUUAAGCUGAAGCUUAUAAGCAUGAAAUCUUUCUUAAUAGAUGCUGAAGGCAAGGAACCACAAACAGAAGGAGAGAAAACGUGGGUUACAAGCGUCAGAGAUUUGACCUGCGAUGCUGAAAAUGUCAUUGAUGAGUUCCUGUAUCACAUAUAUGACAAGCAAAGUGCCACUCCAUUUACAAAAUUGCUCCACAGAACCAUUUACUUUCCAAAGAAUCUUUGGUAUAGGCAUCGAAUAGCCAAAAAAUUACAGAAAAUCACGAAAAAGAUGAAAGCCAUUCCAGAGAGGAAUGAGAGAUAUGGUGUCUCUACAAUAGAAGGAACAAGUUCGGGUAGUGUUCCCAGAUGGGUGAAGAACAAAGCCGAGUCUUCUCUUUAUAUUAUGGAAGAUGAAUUAAUCGGCAUUGAAGACAAGAAGCAAACGUUAAUGGGAUUGUUGAUGAAUGGCGAGGAAAAUGAAAUGGUUGUGUCUGUGGUCGGGAUGGGAGGAUCAGGCAAGACAACUCUAGUUGCCAAUAUCUUCAACAACGAAAAUGUAAAGCGGCAUUUUGACUGUUAUGCAUGGAUCACUGUUUCUCAACUUUUGUGAUCGAAGACUUAUUCAAAAAUCUGAUCAAGCAAUUCCACCAAGGAAGAAAGGAAGAGGUGACAGCACAAUUGGAUUCCAUGAGUUACAAAGAAUUGUUAGAGAUGUUGUCGGCAUACUUGAAGUCUAAAAGGUACCUCGUUGUAUUGGAUGAUGUGUGGGAUAUUAAACUUUGGCAAGAAAUAAAGAUACCACUUCUUAAUAGGCAUCAUGGAAGUCGAAUCAUGCUUACAACUCGAAAGAAAGACAUAGCAUCCUAUUCUUUUGAAGUUGAAAGUCGUCCUAUUGAAAUUGAACCCUUGGGAAACAAUGAAGUUUGGGAGCUCUUUAGCAAGAAAGCAUUCUCAACUUACGAUAAUAAAUCUUGUCCACCAGAGCUUGAAUCCUUAGCAUGGAAACUUGUGGAUAAGUGUGAAGGCCUACCUCUGGCAGUGGUAACUUUAGGUGGUCUAAUGUCUUCCAAGAGGUCAUCAUCGGAAUGGAGAAGUGUAUAUAACAGCUUAAAUUGGCACUUGACUAACAAUCCUAUGCUAGAACCAAUGAGCAGCAUCUUGUUGCUUAGUUUCAACAAUUUGCCCAACCGGUUGAAGCCCUGUUUCCUAUAUUGUGGCCUUUUCCCAGAAGAUUAUCUCAUCAAAAGAAACAGGUUGAUCAGGUUGUGGAUAGCUGAAGGGUUUGUUGAACCAAUUGAUGGGGUCACACUAGAAGAAGUUGCAGAGGGCUAUCUUGUGGAACUUAUUGUUCGUAGCAUGCUACAAGUUGAAAAGAAUGAAGCUAGAGGACUAGGAGCAUGUAAAAUGCAUGAUCUUGUGCGUGAGCUUGCUUUGUCGACAUCAAAAAAGGAAAAGUUUGGUGCUACGUAUGUUGGCAGAGAAAUAGUUGAUAAAGCUGAAAUCCGGCGAUUGUCAAUUCAAACAACUGAAAGAGAAAUUAAUUCUUGCACAGGUAUGUCAGAGCUUCGCUCCUUUCUUGUCUUUGGCGCGUUAAAGAAAUUGCCUUCUGGAUUCAAGUUGUUGAGAGUUCUAGAUCUGGAGGGUGCCCCAAUUGAUAGAUUUCCAGAUGAACUAUUGUACUUGUUCAACUUAAGAUAUUUAAAUUUGAAGGGAACUUUAAUUGAGGAGCUUCCAGAAUCCAUCGGACGGCUUCGCAACCUUCAAACCUUGAACAUCCGUGACAGUAAGAUAAAGGCACUUCCGAAAGCAAUCUGCAAGUUAGUAAACCUACGCCAUCUAAUCAUGCAUCGUUACACUGGUGAUCAUUAUAGCUUUAUAUAUGUCAAUGGGACAAAACCAGCAUCCGAUCUAAGUAAAUUACAGAAACUGCAAUUUUUGCGAUGUGUUGAAUCAGAAGGAAAGAUUAUUAAAGGCAUCAGGAAUAUGACCCAACUUACAAACCUCGGGAUUACAAAUGUGAAAGCAAGUGACGAGAUGGACCUAUGUGACUCCCUUCAAAAGUUAGAGCUCCUUCACUCUUUGAUUUUAAUGGCAAGUGAUGAAGAGGAGUUUCUUCGAGUUAAUGCACUACGUUUGCCUCCUCCAUACCUUCAAAAGGUCUGUUUGGCCGGAAAACUAGAAAGGGUACCUCUUUGGUUUGGUUCACUCCAAAACCUGACGUGUAUGAUUCUAUAUUGGUCUAGACUUGAAGAAGAUGUGCAACCUCACAUUCAAGCAUUGCCGAAUCUUGAAAGGCUUGAGCUAUAUAAUGCAUAUGUUGGCGAAAAAUUAUGUUUCUCCAGAGGCUUCAUAAAGCUUAAGCGUUUGGAAUUACUUGACUUCCCCUUGUUGAAUAGUAUAGCUAUAGAGAAAGGGGCGAUGCCAAAUCUCCAGGCCUUACGGAUUAGGCGUUGCGCGGAGUUAAAGACAUUGCCGCAGGGCAUUGAGUUCCUUGCUGACGUAGAACGCUUGAUUCUGAUUUCUGUUCCAAUGCAACUUAUGGAGUCCGUAAAAGGAGGCACGGAUCAUCCAAAGGUACAACACAUUCCUGAAAUCAACAUGUAUUACGAGAGACAAAAUAGGCGGUGUCAUGAAAGCUUUUCUGGUAGAAGGUACGCACUCUUUUAUCCUUGCAUAAAAAUUUAAUUAAUGCUAGACUUACUAUAUAUUUUGUAUCACAUUUGUAACCUCUCUUUUAUAAAGGUAAGGCUCAUUGACAUAUGUGGGUCUCAUUUUUAUUAGAGAAGUGGUACAAAUGUGGUAUGAAAAAUAUGGUAAAAGUAAGUUUUUGUAAAAAUUUGUAAAAAAAAAUUUCCCCAACGUAAUCAUUUGAACUAUUAUGUUAGAAAGUUAAAAGGUAUGUGAUUUUUAUACUCCUAUUUUUUUUUUCUUAUGCUCUCCUCUUUUUUUUGUUUGUUAGUGUUUUAAUUUAUUCAAUUGUUAGGCUACGAAAAAGAGGAAGUAGUGCAUCGGAGUGUAAAAAUCAUUUUCCCUUACAAUUUGCUUGUCCAAUCUUAUACAGAAGUCUGGCAAAGACAUAAAACAUGCAUGCAUUGAGAUUUUAUUCGAUAAAUGUGUUUUUUUUUUGUUUUGUAAUAUCUUUUUUGUAGAAUCAAGCCUCAGAAGCACUUGUGAAACUGCAGUGAGUUCUCCUUUCUGCCAGUUGAUUUUGCAGUGAAUCUCGACUUUCGUAAUAGUAACAGAGUUGGCUAUACACGUGUUGAGUCAUUUGCCCUGCAAGGAAGAAUUCGUUCGUUGUUUGUGUGUUGUGAAGUUGCAAACAUUGAUCGAUCUUGGUUUCUUAUUUGCCCUUUGUGAAAUUGAAUAAUGCCCAAGAUUCUAUUUGUGUAACUAAAACUUAUAUUAUUGAUUGCUUGCGUGUGUUUUGAUGUAAUAAUAUUGGUUUGAAACUGAAUCUAUCACUGAUGAGAAUAAUGCCCAAGAUUAUGUUUGUGUAGUAUGAACUUAUAUUAUUAUUUGCUUGCGUGUAUUUUGAUGUAAUAAUAUUGGUUUGGAACUGAAUCUGUCACUGAUGAGAUCAAUUCUAACUAAACCAAUGAUUAUGACCCAUUUUUCAUUUUCGAUAUUUAAUGUUUUUAUCAAGUUUUCAAAUAUAAAUUUUGUGGCCGAUGUUUUAGUUUAUUAUAGUUUUAUCUGAAAAAUUAUUAGAUGGUACGGUAUUAUCAGGUCGGCAGGUGAUUCUUCUAUUCAAAUUUAAACAUGUGUGCUGUUUCUUACAGCUGAAUUAAAAAGCUUUUUGUUGUGAUAAUAUGUGGAUGGCCCACAUGAAUAGUUUGUUACUAUUUAUGCACAGUAUUUUCACUAUUCAUUUGUGGAAAAUUUGUAAAGUGAAUAGUGCUUUCUUUUGUUUAUAUAAAGGAAGAAGAGGAAUGAAGUGAGGAGAGUUCACGGGAAAGAAAGAGAGGAAGGAAGGAAGAGGAAGAGAGAGAAGGAAGAGGAAGAGAGAGAAUAGAGGAAGAUGAGAGGAGAUAAUAGAGAGAGUUAUCUUUGUACUCCUAUUAUUCUAAAUUAUAAUGGAAGCACCACUGCUGCCCCGAGGACGUACUCCAGUCACACUGACUGUAGAGGAACCUUGUAAAUUUUGUGUCUUGCUUAUUUAUUCCACUGCACACACCGUCGAUUUCACAACACGUUAUCAGCACGAGAAGCUCUCAUGUCAGUGGAAAGCACAAUAUCAUAAAUCUGGUGAAGCAUUAUCUACCUCUCACCUCGGUCAGCUAAAAUCUCACAGAGUAAAGACGGCAAGCCAGACAUGUCAAACAGGGAAGAUCAUCUUGUCACAAAAAUCCAUCAACCUUUCUUUUAUCACUUUUUCUUUUAUCACUCUAACUAUUGAUGUGCUAAUCCUUAUCCCUGCUAGACCUGCAAUCUAUUUUUCUCUCGUGGACAAGAAAGAUGGAGAGAUCUUACAGACAAACAAAGGUGCAGCAAAACAAGCAAAGGUAUGUCCAUUUUUCAUUUCUCCCACCGUGCCAGAAGCGCCCCACCGAAUUCCGGUGCGAAUUGAAAUUUCCAACGACCUGAAGUCGUCACGAGAUAAGAAAACUCGUACCUGACAACUAGUUUCCAGAGAUCCAAAAGAAUCUCAUUAGACUUGGAAACCCAGAUCGUGUCGUUCUCAAUGGAUCUCGAGGACCUCCAUGAAUCCUCAGUUGUCUGAGAUGGUGAUGGCAUGACUGACCCCACACAGGCCUCCCUCUCUUGUGCCUUCGUCAACCUCACUGUCAUCUAUGUCUCUAUGGAGAGGUUCUUGCUUUGCGAUGCCAUGUUCUUUGGGCCAUGCAAGAACAACGCCAGUCUCUGGUAGCCUUUUUGGAUUGAAUUGGUUUUGUGUAACCCCCACAACAACCCAGCUGGUACUGGGUUUCGAGACUGGUAGAGAUAGACAAAGAAAAGGGGAAAUGGGGCCAAUGAUUUAGAAAGGUGCGUUGCACCAUGUAAAAUAAAAGAAAUAAAAACAAAAGUUGUUGGAAUGUUGUAACAUGUGAUUGAAUAAGAAAAUAAUAAAAUAAAAUAAAGGUAAAGGUUUUUGGAUGGUGUUACACCAUCUGAAAAGAAAGAAGAAAAUAUGUAUAUAUUUAUGUGAAUGGUGUUGGCUUAAAACACUUUCACAAGUUCUAUUUAUUUAAAGCAAUUUAUUUACAGUGGGUAGAAUUAUUACCCUUUGCUUUAAAGCUUUGAUAUUUAUGUGCAUGAUGUUGGUUUAAAGCCCAUGUCACAAGUUCUAUUUACUUUAAAACAAUUUAUUUAUCAUGGACGGUUUUACCGCCUACUGCUUUAAGUUUUGAUUUAUGUGAAUGGUGCUGAAUUAAAGCCCUUGUCACAAGCUUUAAUUUAUUUAUUGUUCAAUUUAUUUACUAUGGCUGGAAUUACCGACUAUUGCUUUAAUUUAUUUAUUGUACUUAUCUUUUGUUACAAUGAGUAUAUAUAAGACCCAAAGUUCCUUGAUCAGAUCAGAACCUGCAGUUUCUUGAUCCUCAUCAUAUAAAAUGAUUGGACCCGAAGUUCCAUCAUACAAAAAGAUCAGGCAUGAAGUCCUUUGAUCCUGAAGAUCAGAACAUGAAAUUCCUUGAUGAGUACCUUAAGUUUGAAGUGCCACAGUGCCUCAACUUAAUUAUAAUAAAGGUCAUAAAAGUCUCAGUCCAUAGACUAUUUAAUAAGGACCAGAAGUUCCUUAUGUCCAUACUUAAAAUGGUUUAGCAGAAGCAUUUAUUAAGCGGAUGAAAUUGAUUACCCGCGAUCUGCUCAUGAAAACGAAAUUACCAGUUUUCUACAUGGGGACAUGUCCUUUUACAUGACGCAUUUUUAAGUUCGGAUGAGACCAGUUUCCAACCAUCAAUAUUGCUCAGUACAACUCGUGUUUGGGAACUAGCCAAACAUUAUACAUUUACGGGUUUUUGGUUGUGUUAUCUAUGUGCCUGUAAGACUGCCACAACGUACUGAAAUGAGGCAUCAUCGUAGAUUAGGCAUUGAUGUUGAACACCAUCUAUCAUUCAAUAUUUGGAACCCUUAACUGGGGAUAUGUCUACCGCAUGAUUUGCGGACUAUGAUUUUGAUAAGACAAUUUUCCUGCCAUUAGGGGGAGAAAAUAACAUCGUUCCAGAAGAACGAUGAGAAAAUAUCAUUCCAAAAUAAUGAUGAGAAAAGACCGUUCCAGAAGAACGAAGAGAAUUUGUCUUAUUUUGAUUCACGAAGCAAUCAAUGAGAAAAUGAAAUAUGAAUAAUUGAAUGAUGCAACGAAAGUGAUGAAAUCAUAUAUACUUACUGCAAAUGUGCCUACAAGAAUUGAUGUCUCUGUUGGAUAAAAUAAUGAGACAGUAAAUGAUUUAUCUGUUGCACGCCUGAAGCAUGGCAGAUUUUUAGACUCAAAAGGUUCAGUUAUUCGAAAGAAGAAUAAUAUGACACUAUUGAACUAUUGCAUUCCCGAAGCAUAACUGUUGCAUGCCAGAAGCAUAACAGUCACUGCAUGGAUACACGUCCCAGAUAGGACAAUCCACAGACAUGGGAAUGUUGAUGUCUCAUACAUGGAGCAUAAUAGACAUAUAGGUUCCAAUGACUCAACUCCCGGAAGUGGAGAUUAAAAUCCAAGCUCUAUAACGCUCAAGAGGAGGUUAUGAUCCACAUUCUCUAAAUUAUGACUAUCCUGGAAGAGAUAGCGUCAUGCCCUUGAAGAGGCAAUGGAUAUCCAAAGAAAUGAAAAGCUUUUAUGCAUGCCCAUGCACAUGAGAAUAUGGGAUCACGGAUUGAUGAUAACCAAUGGUAAUUUUGGUUUUUACAAGUAGCUACUAAAUUCAUCAAUGAGCUAUGUUAAUAUUGAGCCACGUUCUUUUGUUUGUCGACAAAAGAAAAAUUAUUGGCCAAAAUGGAGAAAGGCAAUUUCAUUACAAUUUUGUAAGAACGUGGGCAAAUGAACCUAUAUAUAUUUGAAUACAAUACAAAUAGCCAAAAGAUGUUGAACCCAGGAGGUUACAUUGGGCAUUUGUAAUACAGUGAAAUACACUCACAUGAUAUGACACAAGGUUGUAAACGAGUUCAUAUGAAUGGAGAAUUAUAUACGAAGGGUUGUGAGUCGCCCACAUUAUAUCUCCAUAAGUAAAUCCCUCAAGUAUACAUGAGAGCAAAUUGCUCUGUAUAAAUUCCAAAGGAAAAUGUGUCAUGAAGUGUAGAAAACCCUUGAAGGAUUCAAAUUGCUUGAAGUAAGCCUCUGAAGGGUAAAACAUAAAAUAUGUACUCAAUACCAAUGGAUGAUAUAAAUUGCCUUAGUGAGUACUAUCAUUAUGAUAUUGUUGCAACAUACUAAAAUCUCUUGCAAGAGUCAAUGACAUUAAAUUAUAACUCUUGAAGAGUUGAUGAUAUUAAAUUGGGACUCCUGAAGAGUCUAGAAAAAUUAUAAAGUGUUGAAGGAAUUAUUGUCUCGAGCUGCAGAUCGAACAAUCUACCAACACGAAUCUUAUCCAUGAUAUUUGUGAUAUUAAAAGAACCAUAUGGAUUGAAGAUUAUGAGUUGAAUACUCAUAUGAUUUAGACACUAAGAACGAUCAUUUAUCUUCGUGAAUGUAAAGAUAAAUUGAUAUUUGGUCCAGAAGUACCACAUCUUAGUGAAGUAUAUGCUUUAUUGUAUUUGGCACAAUACAUUGAAUGAAAUAAAGCUUAUUUAUUAAUAUCUCCAAGAAAUUACAGAUAUAUACAUACACAUGAGUUAAAACAAACAAACAGGAUGGAGCCUUCAUAAAGGUUGCUCAUGUGAAGCCUCAGUACUCGGAAGUACCCCAGAAGGGGGAGGCACUGGAGAUUGAUCAUGUGGCACCCCAGUACUUAGCAAAACACCAGAAGGGGAAGGCAUCAGUUGCUUUCGGAAUCUAGCAACGAACCUCUGGUGAUCACUUUGAAUCCGAUUUUCGGAUUCCUGCAGUUGGACGAGCUUUCUUUUCAUGCUCAUAGAGUAACUAUUUGCAAGCACGUGUAACACCCUAUUCUCGUGCUUGAGCCCUCUGAUCUCUUGUUUAAGACUUGCCACCUCCUCCAUCAAUGAUUCAACUUGGCGAGUUUGAGCAAGUAGGCGUUGGCCCAUAUUGGACAUAGAGCCAGCACACUGAACACUGAGAGCCAAGAAGUCUUGAACGGCCGACUCUUCAGACCGUUCUGAAAGGAUCUUGUUAUCCCUUGGAGUAAGAAGAUUCCUAGCUACCACAGUAGCGGUUAUGUUAUUCAUCACAGAGUCCCCAACCGUAAGAGGACCAUUAGAAGAUAAGAAGGACGGGCGCCAUAUAUUAUCUUGAUGCUGCUCGUCUGUAUCACUCCUAAGACUCAAAUCUAAGCAAAUGUUAGAUGGGCAAGUCAUUUUUCAGAAAUGAUGAAGGAAAAAUAGAGGUCAAAUAAAAUUUCAAAGGUGCAAGAUAGAGGAAAUUUCUACAAGCAGCAACUUUCUGAGCAUACUCUUGAACAUAAUUGAUGUCUCUAUAAAAGAAGAGGCAGCAGAGCCACUCGUUCAAAGAUCGAAGAGGCACCGCUCUUCGAAUUUCAAAAGCCAGAUUUUCCUGAAUAAAGUUCGUUGGCAUUUUUCAGACGUAAUCCCAGCUUUUUCAGAUGUCGCGUGCAAUUUUGUCAAAGAUCUCUGACAAAGUUGAAAACACGUAAAUCUUACUGUUCUAUUUACACCACAGUUGCUGACAGGAGUAAAAGCACAGCACCACCACUUGCUAUUGAGAAAUCUCUAUAUAUGUCGACCUCUGUUCUCCAUAACAAGGCAGACCUGCAACACUGCAAGAAUACUCAACUCUUCCUCAUCUCCGAGAAUGCAUCUUCAACAUAGCAUCUCGAAAUACUCAGUUUUCUUCCUCUCCGAGAAUACCUCUUCAAACAUGUCACACCAGAGCAAGAUUAUCACAUAUCUUCAGGGACCAGAGCAAGAUUAUCUCAUAUCAUGCAAUCUCCCUGUCUUUUCUUUUGUCCUUGUUCUUACCUGCAAAGACAAGGAUAAAGAAAGCAGUAUGUCGGAACCUCCACUCAAACUCCAGGUAAGGAACAAACUGCUUGGAACCUUUCCCGAUUGCUUACCUAGCUCUUGAGUAGUCAUCUUCAACUGUUGUUGGAACUGGGUCUCCGGUCACCAAGAAGUGAUGAACCAUCCAAAUGCAAGGGUUUGCAUUCCACUUCUGCACCAGGGGACAAAUCCUACAAGAGAAGAUGCCACAUAUGCAUGGGGGGAAAAGCAGUGAAAAUACUACUUAAGCAAGGGGAGCAAGUAAGGAAAGUGAAAAUGAUGCAUUGAAGCAUGUGGAGACAAGUGCAAUGAACAUAUGCUGAUUCAUCCCCAACUAAGCCGAAUAUCACUUGUCACGUGAAGCUCCUCAUGGUCCAAUUUCAUUCAAGAUCAAGCCUCGAAAGUCCUUGAAGAAAUCAAAAGUCGGAUUCAAGAUCAAGUGUCCACCACACUUGAAUCAAAUCUGCUCCAGAUCAAAGGAGUAAAUUCAGACCUUUGGAUGCAAGUCUAGUAGAAAGUCCUACAACCCAGUUCAAGAAAAAGCCUGUGGAAAGUUAACAACAAGUAAAACACCUUUUUCGGCAACUCUCCCCGCUAAGAGACUGAAGCAGAAUGAUCAGUGAUCAGCCUAAAUGAUUUGAAAUCAGGGGGAGAUACUCAUCAAGGGAAGCAUCCAAAAACAGAUCAAGAUUUUAACGAAUCAAUCGAAGACUUAUGACCAUCCAAGGGGGGGUGUUGUGAUAAUAUGUGGAUGGCCCACAUGAAUAGUUUGUUACUAUUUAUGCACAGUAUUUUCACUAUUCAUUUGUGGAAAAUUUGUAAAGUGAAUAGUGCUUUCUUUUGUUUAUAUAAAGGAAGAAGAGGAAUGAAGUGAGGAGAGUUCACGGGAAAGAAAGAGAGGAAGGAAGGAAGAGGAAGAGAGAGAAGGAAGAGGAAGAGAGAGAAUAGAGGAAGAUGAGAGGAGAUAAUAGAGAGAGUUAUCUUUGUACUCCUAUUAUUCUAAAUUAUAAUGGAAGCACCACUGCUGCCCCGAGGACGUACUCCAGUCACACUGACUAUAGAGGAACCUCGUAAAUUUUGUGUCUUGCUUAUUUAUUCCACUGCACACACCGUCGAUUUCACAACACUUUUUGAAUUAUUAUUUUUUUAAUUAAAAGAACUAAAAAUAAGAGGCGUUUUGACAGACUUAAAAUACCUCUUUUCCUCCCCUUCCUCUUCUCUUCCAUGGCGACUGCAAUGCUGCCAAUAUCCGAGCCCGCCAGAAAGCAACCCCGACCGGGUCGGGGCGGAUUCAAUGCCCAUGGACCAUCCGAAAAAGAGGCCCGGGUUCAAGCCAUCGCCGAAAUCGUCAGCUCCAUGGUCGACCUCUCCCGGAAGGGCCAAAACGUCGACCUAAACGGCCUCAAGACCACCGCGUGCCGCAAGUACGGCCGUUCACGUGCCCCCACAUCGCCAUCACCGGGAAUAUUUGCGUGUACUGCCCCGGUGGUCCCGAUUCGGACUCUGAGUACAGCACUCAGUCUUACACUGGAUACGAGCCUACUAGCAUGCGCGCAAUUUGGGAAAGGUAUGGCUUUCUCUAGUUCAUUGACGCAUUUUAUCGAACACUUGAUGGGGAAUUCAAGUUUUAUUUAUUCAUCAUUCGUUUCAAAGCUUAAAGUUUUUGGCUUGAUUGAUUUUUCACCAUGAAGUUGAGAGCUUUGUAAUGAAGAGAUUAUUUGAAGGAAUUGGUGUUUAAAAUUGGAUUAGUGAAGUUAAUUUGGUAGUUAAUCUUUUGGUUUUGUGUGCUUAGAUACAACCCAUAUGUCCAGGCUAGAAGCAGGAUAGAUCAGCUGAAGACAUUGGAUCACAGUGUAGACAAGGUUUGGCCUGUUCUAUGUUUAGAGCUUAAAGAAUUUAUUUUCGGGUUUGCAGAUUUCCAUGAUAGAGUAAUAUGCAUAGUUGUCGCCUCAUAACUGGUACUGAAUUUAUGUUUUCAGGUUGAGUUCAUCUUAAUGGGCGGUACUUUCAUGUCGUUGCCCGCGGAUUACCAUGAUUACUUUAUUAGAAAUCUGCAUGAUGCGUUAUCGGGACACACUUCUGCCAAUGUUGAAGAGGCAGUUGCCUACUCUGAGCAUGGUGCUACUAAAUGUAUUGGAAUGACCAUUGAAACGUGAGUUUUUAGUUUAUUUUAGAAGCCAUUAAUUUCUCAUUCUUGUGUUUAACUUGGUUGACAGUAAUUUUUAGCUUACAUUCUAGUUUCCAGUUCAUCUGGUUGGUCCAGAAAGUUAACGAAGGUAGUUGUAACUUUUUAUUCUGCCGGAGGCCAGAUUAUUGCCUUGGACCUCACUUGAGACAAAUGCUUUCUUAUGGUUGUACAAGACUAGAAAUUGGAGUUCAGAGUACAUACGAGGAUGUGGCUCGGGACGCCAAUAGAGGUCAUACCGUAGCUGCAGUGGCUGAUUGUUUUUGCUUGGCAAAGGAUGCUGGUUUUAAGGUCAGCCUAGUACCUCACAGAUUUUGGACCUUUUAUAUCAUAAAACUCACUUACCUUCACCAUGGGAAAAGAAAGGAUUUUGGACCUUUUAUAUGUACAGUGACAGGAGAUUAAUCUUUCAUCAAAACAAUUUGUGAGCCUGGAUAUAUUUUUCAAAUUAUUGUGCUCUCCCAUAAUUCAGCGUGAAUAUUUUAUCAUAAUCUAGUUGGUUUUGGUAUUACCAUUCACUUUGUCUAAGUUCAAGAAGAAGCAUUUGUUUGUAAUUGUAUGACCGUAAUCUUUAUGAACUGCAAUAUUAAAAGCCUUGAGGACUGUUUACAAUAUGCAUUUUUGCUGUGUAUUCCUGUCGUUCAUUCUGAGUUACUUUUGUUUCACACUAAUAAUUUUAUGCAUUUGAUCACGUCGAAUCCUUAUGAAAAUGAAUUCAGAACAAAAUUGCGCUAAAGCUAGGGCGUCACCCGUAAGUGGCGCGCUGUGUGGCCCGAGCACAGUGAUAAGUGAGCAAGGGUCGCUGUAUCUCCAUUGGCACCCGGAUGCAGUGUUAAAUGAGCAAGGGGGCCAUAGAAACUUUUUUUCGAACGACUCCACUCCAAGUUGUUUGGGAGCAUAUGCUCCUAUCAACUUUACACGGGACACACAAAAGAAGUACUUUGAUCCUAUUAGACGGGGGAGGGUGAAGAAGCUAGGACAGAAGGGUAGAGUUCAAGAGAGCAAAAUGCGUUUAGGAACGUGGAAUAUAGGAACCUUAACGGGAAAAUCUAUGGAAGUAGUGGAAGUUAUGGUGAAGAGAAGGAUAAAUAUUAUGUGCCUACAAGAAACUAAGUAGGUUGGUAGUAAGGCAAAUGAUCUAGAAAACUCAGGGUUUAACUUUGGUAUUCGGGCACAAAUAGAACGAGAAAUGGUGUUGGCAUCAUCGUGGACAAGACCUUGACACAAGAUGUUGUAGAUGUCAAGAGGGUAGGAGAUAGAAUCAUGGCAAUCAAGAUUGUAAUAGGACAAGAACUUAUCAAUGUGAUUAGUGCGUACGCACCUCAAGUAGGGUUGGAUACGAGUUCGAAGGAGAAAUUUUGGGAAGACCUUGGAGACUUGGUGCAAGGAAUUGCUCAGACGGAGAAGUUAUUUAUAGGAGGAGAUUUAAAUGGACACGUGAGCAGGGAGACAGGCAACUAUGGAGGUUUUCAUGGUGGCCAUGGUUUUGGGGAGAGAAACGAGGAUGGGGAAGCUAUCUUGGAUUUUGCAAUGGCAUAUGAUCUCUUCUUAGCCAACACCUUCUUUAAGAAGAGAGAAGAACAUGUGAUCACCUACAAGAGUGGGUCGUAAAAAACACAAAUAGAUUUUCUUCUAAUAAGGAAAGGGGAUCGUAUAACUUGUAAGGAUUGCAAAGUUAUACCAGGAGAGAGCGUGGCUAAUCAACAUCGCUUGUUGGUGAUGGAUGUACAUAUCAAAAGAGUGAGACAAAAGAACAAGACUUGGAAGUGCCCAAGGACUAGAUGGUGGAAUCUAAAAGAAGAAAAACAAGUCAUUUUCAAAGAGAAAGUAAUCACCCAGUGUGUGUGGGAUAGAGAUGGGGAAGCUAGCCAAAUGUGGGAUUCCAUGGCUAGUUGUAUCCGAAAAGUAGCAAAAGAGGUAUUAGGAGAGUCCAAGGGCUUUGCCCCACACCAAAAGGAAUCUUGGUGGUGGAAUGAGGAGGUACAAACAAAGGUGAAGGCUAAGAAGGAAUGUUGUAAAGCCUUAUACAAGGAUAGGACUGAUGAAAAUGGUGAAAGGUAUAGAAAAGCGAAGCAAGAGGCGAAGAAAGCUGUGAGAUAAGCUAAGUUAGCGGCUUACGACGAUAUGUAUAAACGACUAGAUACCAAAUAAGGAGAGUUGGAUAUCUAUAAACUAGCUAGAGCAAGGGAAAAGAAGACAAGGGACCUAAACCAAGUGAGGUGCAUCAAGGAUGAGGAUGGAAAGGUUCUUGCUACAGAGAACGCGGUUAAAGACAGAUGGAGAGGUUAUUUUCAUAAUCUUUUCAAUGAAGGACAUGAAAGGAGUGCUUCUUUAGGGGAGUUGAGUAACUCAGAAGAGUGUAGAAACUACUCUUUUUAUCGUCGAAUCUGGAAGGAAGAAGUGGUUGUAGCUUUGAAGAAGAUGAAGCAUAGAAAAGCAAUAGGCCCAGACGAUAUACCAAUCGAAGUGUGGAAAGUUUUGGGAGAGACAGGUAUAACAUGGCUCACUGACCUUUUCAAUAGGAUUUUGAAAACGAAGAAGAUGCCAAAUGAGUGGCGAACGAGCACUUUGGUGCCUAUCUACAAGAAUAAGGGCGACGUACAAAAUUGCAUGAACUAUAGAGGUAUUAAGCUAAUGAGUCAUACAAUGAAGCUCUGGGAGAUAGUCAUUGAGCAUAGAUUGAGGCAAGAGACACGGGUUUCGGACAACCAAUUCGGGUUCAUGCCAGGGCGCUCAACCAUGGAGGCAAUCUAUCUCUUACGAAGAUUGAUGGAAAGAUAUAGAGAUGGGAAAAAGGAUUUACACAUGGUCUUUAUAGAUUUGGAGAAAGCGUAUGAUAGGGUCCCAAGAGACAUUCUUUGGAGGAUUUUAGAGAAGAAAGGAGUACGAGUAGCAUAUAUCCAAGCUAUAAAGGAUAUGUAUGAAGGAGCAAAGACUGCCGUAAGAACUCAUGAAGGACAAACUGAAAGCUUUCCCAUAACUGUAGGAUUACAUCAAGGCUCAUCCUUAAGUCCUUACCUUUUUGCGUUGGUAAUGGAUGAGUUAACAGGACAUAUUCAAGAUGAUAUUCCUUGGUGUAUGCUUUUCGCAGACGAUAUAGUGUUGAUAGAUGAAACUCAGGAAGGGGUAAAUGCAAAGCUUAACCUUUGGAGAGAAGAGUUGGAAUCUAAAGGUCUUCGCCUAAGCCGAUCAAAGACAGAAUAUAUGGAGUGCAAGUUCAGUGCAAAUGGAGGCCAAAACGAGUUAGGGGUGAGGAUCGGAGAUCAAGAAAUACCAAAGAGCGACCGUUUUCGUUACCUAGGAUCUAUCUUGCAAAAGAGCGGAGAAUUAGAUGGAGAUCUCAACCAUAGAAUACAAGCUGGAUGGAUGAAGCGGAAGAGUGCAUCUGGCGUGUUGUGUGACCGCCGUAUGCCACUGAAGCUCAAGGGAAAAUUUUAUAGGACGGCAAUAAGGUCGGCGAUGCUGUAUGACACAGAAUGUUGGGCGGUGAAGCGUCAACACGUACACAAAAUGGGUGUAGCAGAGAUGAGGAUGCUUCGUUGGAUGUGUAGGCACACGAGAAAGGAUAAGAUUAUGAAUGAGGAUAUCUGGGGUAAAUUAGGAGUAUCCGAAAUUGAAGGAAAGAUGAGAGAAAAUCGGUUACGGUGGUUUGGACAUGUGUAAAGAAGGCAUACUGACGCUCCGAUUAGAAGAUGCGACUAUGGGACAGAGGUUCAGGGCCGAAGGGGUAGAGGAAGACCUAGGAAAACUUUGGAAAAGACUCUAAGAAAAGACUUAGAGUACUUGGAUCUAACGAAGGACAUGACACAGGAUCGAGCACAAUGGCGUUCUAAGAUUCAUAUAGCCGAUCCCACUCAGUGACUUGGAUUUUCCAAGUCUCCAACCGAGAAGUUUUCCUCACUCAGGAAAUUAAGGGAACACUACCUCAACCUAUAUGCUCCACUCACAAAGCUUCAACAAAAGAAAAUUCAAAGAACUUAGCGAAGAAGGCUUUGGUGUAUUUAACACAAUACGUUGAAAUGAAGGAGAGCUUAUUUAUUGAUAUCCCCGAUAAGCUACAAAUAUGUACAUAUACAUAAGUCAAAAUAAACAAACAAGAGGGAGCCUUCACAAAGGUUGCUUAGGAGAAGUCUCAGCAGUCGGUAGAGCCCCAGAAAGAGAAGGCACCAGAGGGGGAUCAUUCGGAGCCUCAGUACUGGACAGAACCCUAGAAGGAGGAGGCAUCAGAGGUUGAUCAUUUGGAGCUUCAUUACGCGGUACAGCCCCAGAAGACGAAGGUAAUAAAUGCCUUUGGAAUAAACCCACAAAUCUCUGAUGAUCAAGUAAAACCUGACCAUCAGAUUCCUUCAUCUGGUCAAGCUUCCUCUUCAUGUUUGUAGCAUAGUCAUGUGCGAGCCGGUGCAACUGUUUAUUCUCAUGCUUGAGCCCUCUAAUCUCCUGUUUGAGACUCAUCACUUCAGUCGCCAAUGAUUCAACUUGGCGGGUUCGAGCAAAUAGGCGUUGGACCAUAUUAGACACAGAACCUGCACACUGAACAUUGAGAGCCAGAGAAUCCUUAACAGCUAACUCAUCAGACCGUUUGGAAAGUAGUCUGUUAUCUUUGGGAGUGAGAAGGUUCCUGGCCACUACCGCAGCGGUCAUAUCAUUCUUCAUCACGGAAUCCCCAACGGUAAGAGGACCAGUAGGGGAGACGAAGGAUGUACGCCAUAUGUUGUCAGGAGAAGGCGGGGCUGCCUCUUCAACAAGGUUCAAGUCAAAACGACGGUCGGAGGGGCCAGACAUUUUCAAAGGUGUUGAAGAGAGAAGAGGUCGGACAAAUCAAGAUCUUAGAAGUGCAAGAAUGGAGCUUCUACUGGUGGAGAUUCAAGGGUGCUUUGGAACUUAAUGCCAGCCUCUAUAAAAAUCUGCACUCGACGGAGCUUCAGAAAUCGAAGAGGCGCCUGCUCAGAAAUCGAAGAGGCGUUUGCUUUCUCAAAAGCAAGGCUGCUCAGAUACCACGAGGGUCGAUCUCAGAAAUCGAAGAGGUGUUUGCUUUCUCAAAAGCUGGGCUGCGCAAAGACCACGAAGGCCGAUCUCAGAAAUCGAAGAGGCGCUUGCUUUCUCAAAAGCUGGGCUGCUCAGAGACCACGAGGGCCGAUCUCAGAAAUCGAAGAGGCACCUACUUUUCCAGCCUUGUCAGCACCUGUCACACGCACACUCAGCUUUGCGGAAAUUAUGGGCAUUCGGUCGAAGACUUCUGGUGAAGUAGAAAGCACAUGAGUCUUACUGUUCAAUCACCCACUUCCCACACGCAACAGUAGCUCAUGGGUACCACAGAUAACUUUGCCAAAGUUCUCUGCCAAAGUUGAACACGUGAAGCUUGCAGCUCCCACUACAUCGCUCUGACCAAGAAGGGUAAAAGAAUAGCAAAGAAACAACACUAACAAAGUUUAGACACAUAAAUUUUGAAGGUCUAGCUACCAUAUUAUUACCCACAAGGGUAAAGGAACAGUACCACCACUGGAUAAUUGGAAAGUCCCUGUGUGUCAACCUCUGUGCUUCGUGGCAAGGUAGAUUAGCAAACAUGCCCAACCUUUAAUCACAUUCGAGAAAACACUCCCAACAAGAUUGCUUGCUCCAAAAUCGAAGAGGCACCGUCCUCCGAAUCUCGAGAGCCAGACUCCCAACAUGCCUACUUUCUCAAAAAUCGAAGAGGGUAAAGGAACAGUACCAUUGCUGGAUAAUUGGAAAGUCCCUGUGUGUCAACCUCUGUGCUUCGUGGCAAGGUAGACUAGCAAACAUGCCCAACCUUCACUCACAUUCGAGAAAACACUCCCAACAAGAUUGCUUGCUCCAAAAUCGAAGAGGCACCGCCCUUCGAAUCUCGAGAGCCAGACUCUCAACAUGAUUACUUUCCAAAAAAUCGAAGAGCCACCGCUCUCCGAAUCUCGAGAGCCACACCCCCAGCAUGAUUGCUUUCUCAAAAAUCGAAGAGGCAUCGUUCUCCGAAUCUCGAGAGCCAGAUCCCCGAUAGGAUUGCUUGUUCGAAAAUCGAAGAGGCAACACUUUCCCAACUUCAAGAGCCGGAUCUCCUUGGAUAAAGCUGUCUGUAAUCUUCACACGCAACAUCAGCUUUCCAGAUACCACAAACCACUUUUUCAAAGUGCUCUGACAACGUUAAAACAUGUGAAGCUGGCAGCUCCCACUACUGUGCUAUGACCAAGUAGGGUAAAGGAAUAGCAUUACUACUUGUUAAGGAGACUCCUAUAUAUGUCGACCCCCAUCCCCAACGGACAGGCAGACCUGCAAAAAUGCUCAACCCUUCCUCAUAUCUGAGAGGGCACUCCCAACGAAGCCUUUCGAAAUAUUCAGCUUUCUUUCCCCCCGAUAAUACCUCUACAAACAAGCUAUACUAGAGCAGAAUAUCUCAUAUCAUCAAGGUUAAAAGCAAGAGUAUCCCAUAUCCUGCUUUUUCCCUGUCUUUUCCUUUGACCUUGUUCUUACCUGCAAGAUAAGGAGAAAGAGAGCAAUCAGUCAGUACUUGGAAUCAAGCUUCCAUCCAGGAACUGACUGCCUGGAACCCCUUACCUGAUUACUUACCUGACAUUGCUCUCGAGUACUCAUCUUCAACAUCUUAUGCUUCCAGGGAAGAUACCGCAUCUGCCUGAGGAACAGAUAGGGCAAGGGAGAAGGAUACAAGGAAGCAUGUGGAGACAAGCGUAACAGCACACGUGCCGAUACAUCCAUUACUCUGUCAAAGCAAAAGUAUCCCAUAUCAGCAGGGUCGAACGUACUCUAGAUUUGAUGGACUUGUUUUGACCCUCAAAUUCUUCAGUCGGCCUUAUACUCUAGAGGAAACCAGAAAACCCUUCAGCUCAGUUCAAGAAUAAGCCUGUGGAAAGUUACUUCUUCAAAAGCAAAAGUAUCCCAUAUCAUCUCUUCUCAUUUUCUUCUCUUUAUCCUUCAUGCUGCCUGCAAGAUAGGGAGACUGUGAACAAUCAGCCGGAGCUAUGAUUGCUUACCUUGUCUGUCACCUCUUUCAACAGAUCCCCUAGCUCGGCGACUUGGGGGACUCCUACUACAUGGUUUGUAUCGUGCUUGACCAAGCCUGAAACUACAAGUAAGCUUCAAGUGAAAUUGAUACAUUACCUUGUGCAUCUCCACCAGUUAAAGAUACCACCCCUGGAUGGAGGAAGAGUACUUCCAGAGAAGAUGCCCUAUCUACUUAUGAGACAGAUAAGGCACGUCAAGACGAUACCACACUCCGAUACUUAGAAGUUUCGUGAUUACGAGAUCAUUCUCCCACAAUAUUUCCUAAUGUCAUUUGUACUAAAUCAUUCACUUGUACUCACUAAAGGAGAGCUUGAACCUAUGUACUUGUGUAAACCCUUCACAAUUAAUGAGAACUCCUCUAUUCCGUGGACGUAGCCAAUCUGGGUGAACCACGUACAUCUUGUGUUCGCUUUCCUAUCUCUAUCCAUUUAUAUACUUAUCCAUACUAAUGACCGGAGCAAUUUAGCGAAGAUCACAAAAAGCGACCGUUUUUGCUACCUAAAAUUUAUCGUGCAAGAGAACAGAGAAUUAGAUGGAGAUCUCAACCAUAGAAUACAAGCUGGAUGGAUGAAGUGUAAGAGUGCAUCCGGCGUGUUGUGUGACCGUCAUAGGUCACUGAAGCUCAAGGGAAAAUUUUAUAGGACGACAAUAAGGCCAGCGAUGUUGUAUGGCACAGAAUGUUGGGCGGUGAAGCAUCAACACGUACAAAAAAUGGGUGUGGCGGAGAUGAGGAUGCUUCGUGGGAUGUGUGGGCACACGAGAAAGGAUAAGAUUGGGAAUGAGGAUAUCCGAGGUAAAGUAGGAGUAGCCGAAAUUGAAGGAAAGAUGAGAGAAAAUCGGUUCCGGUGAUUUGGACAUGUGCAAAGAAGGCAUACUGAUGCUCCGGUUCGAAGAUGUCACUACUGGACAGAGGUUCAGGGCCGAAGGGGUAGAGGAAGACCUAAGAAAACUUUGGAAGAGACUCUAAGAAAAGACUUAGAGUACUUGGAUCUAACGGAGGACAUGACACAAAACCGAGCGCAAUGGCGUUCUAGGAUUCAUAUAGCCGACCCCACUUAGUGGAAAAAGGCUUUGUUGUUGUUGUUGUUGUUGUUGUUGCUCUAGGUGGUUGCAUGCAUGAUGCCUGAUCUUCCAAAUGUAGGGGUGGAGAGAGACAUGGAGAGUUUUCAGGAGUUCUUUGAAAGCCCCUCGUUCAGAGCAUAUGGGCUUAAAAUUUAUCCAACACUCGUGAUCCGUGCAACUGGACUCUAUCAGCUUUGGAAAACGGGCAGGUAUAGAAAUUACCCACCUGAGCAACUUGUGGACAUUGUAGCUCGGAUCGUAGCCGUGGUCCCCCCUUGGACGCGUGUUUAUAGAGUUCAGUUAGACAUUCCAAUGCCUUUAGUUACUUCUGGGGUUGUGAAAGGAAAUCUUCGGGAGUUAGCUUUGGCUCGGAUGGAAGACUUGGGCUUGAAGUACCGUGAUGUUCGUGCACGAGAGGCUGGAAUUCAGGUAUGUGGGUAGUCAUUCUUGUUUGAACGUGUUUUAUGCAACUGAGGCCACAAACAUGACCCCUCAAAUCCCUAAAAAAAUCUUUAUAGAACAUUUUUGCUGGUUCUAGGACAUACAUCACAAAAUUAGGCCAGACCAAGUGGAGCUUGUUUGUGGGGAUUAUAUGGCAAAUGAAGGAUGGGAAACAUUUCUUUCAUAUGAAGAUACUCGUUGGGUAUUCGUUCUUUUUAUGUGAGAGAGUGCUUCGUCACACGAAAUGUGUAGCGAUUUGUAUAGAUUAUAGGGAUUAUAUUUGAUUAGCCUUAUUAGGUUUUUAUUUGUUUCCCUGUAUAGUCUACUUACUUGUAUAACACUCUUUGUAAACCCUAUUUAUACUCUAUUCUCAAAGAGAAUAAUAUAUCAUAAUUUUACCCAUAUACUGUUUGACUUGGCAUCAGAGAAGUAAAGUUCUGGUGACCGUGCGUGCCCACCAAAACCAAAAAAAACCUCCUACCCGUGCAAAACCCUAAUUUGAGAAACUCUAAAUCUUGCCGUUGCUGUGGAAAUUUUUCUGUGAAAAUUUUCUGCGUUCGUGUCUUGUUGUGUUGAUUGUUUCCGCUGUUAUUUGGUGUGUGUGUUCUACAACCAUGGCUGGUGAUGAUGUUGUUAAACCCAACUUCGGUUCAUCUGGUACCAAGGAUGAACGACCCUACCGUGAUUAUUCUGCUCCUAUUGCACAAGAGAAAUUAGAUGGCUCCAACUAUGUCUCCUGGUCUCGUAACGCCUUUCUUACGAUAACUGGACCACGUAUGGCGGGGUUUAUCAAUGGCAAAAAACUUGCUCCUAAGGAUGGUGAUUCUGUGGAAUACUCCGAAUGGGAAGAGGAUAAUUGUUUGGUACAAAUAUGGCUUCUCAACUCUAUGACUCGGAGUGUGAGAAGUCUCUUUGAGCGUUGUACUUCAGCAUAUGAUGUGUGGGAGGCUGCAAGGAAGACUUUUACAGUCACCCAAAACAGCUCCUGGUUGUUUCAACUUCGAAGACAGUCCGUGACUACAACCCAAAAUGGUGAAUCUGUUGCUAUGUUUUAUGAGGAGCUUCAUGUUAUCUGGGAGGAGAUUGACAAUCUUCGUGCUAACCCACAUACCAAUCCUAAGGAUGUGGCUCUUCGACAUAAGGAAAUUGAAUCUGAGAGGGUGUAUGAUUUUCUUGGAGGGCUAGAUCCACAGUUUAAUGGUGUUCGUAGCCGUAUCUUGGCUAUGACUCCGGUGCAUUCUGUCUUGGAGGCGUAUGCAUUGGUCGUGGAAGAAAGCACACGUCAAGUCACUAUGCUUGGGGUGCUGCUGCUUUGAAGAUUGGUACAAGCCAGCAUCAGACAAAUGGUGCUUCCUCAACUGGCGGUGGUGGUCGUCAGUCGUCCCUUGUGAGUGCACGUUCCGGAGGCUCUUCGAACUCCAAGUCUGCCGUCUCCCGCCCUCCUGCAGCAAAGGCUCAACCUGGUUCUCGUGAAUGUGCCCAUUGUAGAGGUGAUCAUCUUUUAGAAAAAUGUUUCCAGCUUCAUGGUGUUCUAGAUUGGUUUCCUGAGUACAAGGCCCAUAAGUUUGGACCCAAAGCUGCUCAUGUCGUGACUGCAGACGAGCUUGAGUCGCCUCGUCCUUCCAUGAAUUUGAGUGUGAUAAAUUCCGUACCAGGUAACAGUUCCAAUACAUGGAUAAUUGACACUGGUGCUACUGAUCAUGUGACUUAUAAUUUUAAGAUUUUUGAUGAGUUGUCUAGCCAAACUUGUGACCCUUCUAUCACGUUUGCCAAUGGUAUGCCGUCUCCAAUUACUGGAGAAGGCACAAUCACACUUACCCCUACCUUGUCCCUGGCACAUGCGUUUUUGGUACCCAAUAUUAAUUGUAAUUUAUUAUCUGUGGGACGAUUACUGGACUCACUAAAUGCCUAUGCUACUUUCUAUCCUACAUGGUGUAUGUUUAAAGAUCUCAAAACCCACGAGACGAUUGGACGUGGUAAAAGGAUAGGGGGUUAUACUACUUGACUCUACCAACAGACGUGGUUCAUGGUAGUCUUGCUAAUAAAGUUCAGAGUGGCAGUGACAAGGACAAGCAUGAGUUGUGGUUAUGGCAUCGUCGCUUGGGACACCCUUCUUUUGGAUAUCUUAAACCUUUAUUUCCUUCACUAUGUCGUUCAUAUGAUGAGACUUGUUUUAAGUGUGAAACAUGUGUAUUGGCCAAAAGCCAUUGUACUGUUUUUCCGUUAAGUAAUAAUAAAGCUCUUCAGCCAUUUGCGUUGGUACAUUCCGAUGUAUGGGGUCCUGCUAAGAUUACUUCAAAUGGAUUUCGUUGGUUUAUCACUUUUAUUGAUGAUUGCACCUGUUUAACUUGGGUUUUCUUGAUGAAGAAUAAAAAUGAUGUGACAUUUAUUGUACAAGAAUUUACUGCCAUGGUAUCUACUCAGUUCUAGACUAAAGUCAAAGUGCUUCGGUCUGAUAACGGAGGAGAAUAUGUGAACACUGCCUUGAGUUGUUUCUUUCGUGAACAAGGUAUUAUUCAUCAGUCGACUACUCCGUUUACACCCCAACAAAAUGGUGUCUGAGCGGAAGAAUCGUCAUUUACUUGAAGUUGCUCGUGCUUUGCUCUUGGGAAUGUCGGUCCUUAAUUAUCUUUGGGGACAUGCAGUUUUAGCCGCAUGUUAUUUGAUCAAUCGGACUCCUAGUCGAGUUCAUGAUUUCCGCACACCUUUUGCAGUUUUACAAGAACAUAUCUCACCUAUCGGUAUCUCCAAGCUUCCUCCCAAGGUGUUUGGAUGUGUUGUGUAUGUGCAUAUUUAUUCUCAUCAACGGAGUAAGCUAGAUCCUUGUGCUCUUCGAUGUGUGUUCAUUGGGUAUUCAAAUACUCAAAAAGGUUACUAGUGUUAUCAUUCUCCUACUCAAAAGACUUAUGUCUCCAUGGAUGUCACCUUCCAUGAAGAGGUCCCGUAUUUUGCCUCAUCAUCUCCUAUCCCUCCACUUCCCGAUGAGAGGGUUUGCGAAGUGUUUAGUGAAGGAGCAACAGAAAGUGCAGGAAAUAGUGAUAUUGUGAGAUUGCUCGAGCCACCUUGUCUUACCAGACCCCGGAAAUGUGGGAGGAGAGCUUGAGGUUUACGGUAGAAGCUUGUCUUACCCAUGUGUCAGUUUAUGAUUUGCAAGUCGAACAAGGCACGAAAUUCGGGUUGUCGUAAGUGGAGUGAGUGAUGAAAUCUACGGUUUUAGUUUUGGAAUGAAUUUGGUCCUGAAGUUGGAGUUUCCGUUGCCUUCAGAAACGCGGUCUGCUGAGUUUUAUAAGAUGGCAUCUCGGACACUUUCGGAUGCAGGUUACAACCUCUAGAAAUUAGCAGUUACUGCAAGAGUGGAUAUCACUGCAAACACAAUCCAACUUAUUGGAAGAACAAGCCUUUCUAUGCUUUUGGCCUUGGCUCCGCUGGCUAUGCCGAUGGCGUUAGGUUUUCGAGACCAAAGAAGAUGAAAGAGUACACAGGACGAGGAGAGAAGGGACAUCGCUGCAGGUGAAUUCAACACCUUGCUAGUAAACGAGGACGAAACUGAAAGAAGUCCUGCCUACAUUCGGUUUAGUGAUCCAGAUGGUUUCCUUUUGUCGAACGAAUUGAUAGCACUUGCAUUUGCGGUUGUAGCUCCAUAAGCGAAGAGCAAUUCCAUGUACCUGCAGCAUCUGGUGGUAGAGUAUACUUGAACACAAGCAUUCAAGUAGUGUCAUGGCAUCGUCCAAAGCUGAAGGCUUCGAAUUUUCUGUAUAGCAUAGCAUCAGAAGAGAGAUUCAACCCUUGCGCCUAUCGUUGCCAUAGUCAUCGAGAAAAUGGUGCAGCAGAGAACCAUGGCCGGGACAUGCGUCAUUCAAGUGAUAAGCGACCAGCUGAGCAUAUCAAGAAACUAACAGGUUCAAGUUCCCGGCAUUGGAGAGGCAUCGCGGAGAAGAAUAUGUUGAGGUCGAUUGAAACAUGAGUAGUAAAAGGAAGGCUUGUAAGAUUUGUAAUCAAAUAUCGUUCGCAAAGGCAUUUCCUUCAGUUUUUUGUUUGGUCAUCCAACCAGAAUCAAAGUACUUGUUGUCUUAUAUAAAUUAAGAAAAUCAAUGUUCCACAAAACGUACCAACAUGAGGCCGAAUUACAAGUUUAGACGAUGAACUACAACAAACUAUAGACGAUGAAUUACAGGUGUACGGAAGAAUAGAUUGUUAGCACCUAGUUCUACUUUCGUCAUCCACCAGCGGCUAUUAAGGGAAUGAUACGUCACGUCAGGAGCAACAUACUCCUCCACGUGACGUAUAGCAUGCCGAUCUACAAGGAAAUAUGUUGAACGGCAAGUUUGUGCCUGAAAAAUCCUUGAUGUUCAUUUCAUCGACACCAAGUCCCUGAAUUGAAACAUAGGAAACAUAUAGAGUUUGAAAUCCGAGUCGCAUUUUGUGAUUUACAAGCGACUACGAGGGUUUUGUUUUCUGCCCAACUUUUGAGAUGCGCCUAAGCUCUUGGGUUCCUUUCCUCAUCUCUCAGCAAAUUGCAAAGAAAUUAGGAAAAUCUUGCAACAAAUCCAAAUGUGAAAUCUAAGUGUCCGAAAAAGUGAUACCUUUGGUGCAAAUACACCAUCAGAUAGAAAAUAGGGAGCAGCAUCAAAGUCAGUAUGGAGAUAGCCAGGUAGAAUACACUUAUAUGUUUCUGCAAAAACAAAACAACGUGACAACAUAUUCUCCGUGACGCAAAAAUCCUCAAAAGAAAGAAAAAUACGGAAAUAGAAAACAACAGACAAUCAUGGCAAACUGCAAUGGAACAUAAGCCAGGAUUGAAACUGCGGCACAAUUCAUUCUUUAUAGCGAAACCAACUGCAGUAACAGACUGAGACCUUACCUCUCCUCCUCUGGGAAAAAGUUUCCGUUUCCCCGAGCAAGUAUGAGCGUGACAAAAUUGGUGCAAGAAAAACUCUAUAAUAAACCCAAGUAUAAGCACAAGUACAAUAAAAGCAGUAGUGGUAGAGCUUCGGUUGACAACAAAAAAAAUACCAUUAAGACGGCGUGCUGAAGGACUUUGAUUAAUCGGGAAACAUCUAUUGGCAAGACCCUGCAUUAUAAAAGGGGAAAAAAGUAAAAAAGAUUAAACAAGGUAUGUAUAAGAAUCAACAAUACAAACAAAUAAAGUGCCUUGACGCAACCUCACAUAGGUGGUGAUUCCAUGCAACAGAUGCAGGAUUGCAUUUGGUUUUGCUCGACUUGGUAUUCAUCACAGCAUCGCAAUGCAAAGCUCCGCAUAAAUCAGCUAAGCACUUGCUGCUACUCUGCAUUCAUCAAAUUUUUUUCAAAGAGCACAAGAGAAACCAUAUGACGGAAACAAAAAUCAUACAUACGAUUAAAGAUAUAAUAGAAAAGAUAGAGAUCAAAUAAAUUUAUAAUCAUGUAUUGUUGUAUAAUGCAACCAUGCUUGAAGCAGACGCAGAAUAGCUCUUCGGACUUUGAAACAACUCCAGAUGCUAACUACCCUUCCCCGGAGCACCAAAGUACAAAAUACACAUCUUAAGAAAGGAAAGAUUAUCACUUGGAUAUUUCUUUAUCUGUGUUAUACAAUGCCAUCUUGUACAGAAGUUUAAGCCAUGUAAUUGUUCUUCGUCAUUUUUUAAGAAAUAGUUUUAUGAUCUAAUUUAUUGCAUCAUGCUACAAGCCUACAGCUAAAAUGAUAACUUUAAAUUUGCUUAAUUAUUUUUUUGAAAGCACGUUUAUGAAACCCCAACACAACAGGGAACUGAUAAACAUGGACUAGAUGCAAACGCUUUUAAAAGAAAAGUUCUUUCAUUUGCAGAUAAGCUGAAUAGAGAUAACUAGUAAUAUGCCCACGCGAUGCUGCGGGACUUGAAUGCACCAGCCUUAACUAUAUGAAUAAGACACGUUUAACCUAAAAAACAUUCAAUAUAAUCAUGAACGAACAAACAUGAUAGAUCUAGGAAAUUAUAAAAAGCAUUGUAACUCCAAGAAAUUAUAAAAAUCCAUCCAGUCAAGAGACAAUAAAAUAGUUGUGGGAAGGUGAGUAUGCAACCAAGAAUCUAAGAUAUACUUGACUUGCAAUUCCAUUAUAAUUUCACACACAAAAAUAGAUCAAAUUUUGAUUGAAACAUCAAACAAAACAAUCUCGUAGAUUGGACCAACUAAAUAAAGAAUAUAUCAAUAUGAUUUUCAACGUAACCAUAAAAAAGAGCUUUAUAAAUUCCAUAAAAAAAACUGAUUGCAUGUUAUCAAUUCCAUAGGUAAUUUGAUUUUGCAGUCUCAGACACCCAACACCUCUCUCCCUCAAAUAGAGAAACAUGCAGUCUCAGACACCCAAGAGGGGAAAUAUCUAUUUAUAAUUCCAUAGGUAAUUUGAUUUUACAUAUCAUGAACGAACAAACAUGCAGUUUCUCUAUAUAACUUUUUCGUUCCUCGAUUCUUUUCAUUGUUUCGAGCCUCAAUCAGUUUCUUUAAAUUUUUAACCAAAACUCCUAGAAUUUGUUGUUCGCUUUGAUCAAUCUUUUUCACCAUUUCAUCUACCUUGAAUCACAAAUUAAAUAUAGCGUUAAUAUUUAUAUUUUUUAGAAAAAUCUGUUUAGCUUGUAGGUCUUACAAUAACAAAGUUAAAAUUUUCAAAAAUUUAAAUAUGGAAGUUGUGAUUUUUUUUUGGAAAUAUGUCUGGUUUGUUGAGAGAUUGCAGUUCUUAACAACACUUAUUAAAGCACUUCGGGGCUGAUGAGACAGUUGACUACUAGAAAAACCUAACGAAAACAUCAACCAACCAAAGUAACCAACCUUCAAAGAAUGAUUUGGAAAAGUUAGAACACAAUAAGGAAAGGAAGCAACCAACAAAAAACAUAUAAAACGCCUAAUAACAUUUGAUAAACAAUUAAGAACACUGGGUUAAAUAAGAAUCACAACAUGAAGAGACCUUCAAACAACAACAGAAUUGCAUAGACAAAAUUUAAACCAUAAAAAAGAAAGAACUAUCAGACCUCUGGACAAUCAGAGGUCACAAAGAUAAUCAUGAAUGAGAAACAAAGCACAGAACAAACAUAUAAUAUAAGCUGAAAAAAAACCCAAACAGUGAUUUUUAAAAUUACAAAAUCGCAUUGUUUGAAAUGGAAAGCAUAGGGAAGUAACGUAUUCAAGUUCAGGACAUACCAAAGGCUUGAUUGAAAUGUAAUGGCUCAGAACCCCUUCAUCAAAGGCAGCAGCAAGAGCAGAUUAUGAUUCAACGAUGUGGGCCUGAUCUAAACUGCAAAAAAGUAAUGAGAUUGCGAUUAAGAAUUCGAAGUGCAAACAAACAGAUACAAUAAAAGUAACUUAAAUUGUUAUGGUAUAAAGGACUCAAUCUGUGAAGUGCACCAAAUAAAGGGUAAGUCUCAGAACAUUAAACAUAAAAACUAAAACACCCCCAUCUCUCUACAAAUCUUACAAACAAAAUCCUAAACGUAAUCGUUGAAAUCCAAACAGACCUAAUUUUGAAACCGUUUCUCACCCCAUACCAUAGAAAAUGCACCCUAUACCCCAAAAAUAAUGCUCAGUGGCCAGAUAGCAAUCUGUGCACGUUGAUCAAGAUGUCACUAAUUAGUUUUUGCUAACAGAUGGUUAACCAUUUUGCCAAUAUUUUUUUUUAUUUUUUUUUUGCAGAAAGUGGAGCAUGUUUAACUUUAAAAGACGAUCUCUAUUUUGCCUAGACAGAUUGCAUGACCAAUGCCUUGCCAUACAUUCACAAAAAUGAGCAGUGCCGAUUGACAAAUGGACAUACCUGAAUGGUACUAACCGAAGCACAACAAUCCUCCCAAGGAAAACAAACAAUGAAAUGACUUCAAGAAAAAUCUGUAUCAUUUAUUCAAUGAAACACCCUAAGUUGGAAAAGAGUGAAAUUAAAAUUGAAAAACAAUAAUCUAACAGAGACAAAUUUAAAAGCAAUUAAGCAUUAGAAUCUUUACAAAAACCAACAAAAAUGGUUGCAAGUUAAAAUUUGAUAUAUGGCUGAAUUUCCCUAAUGUUUAUAAUAAUUAGUGAAAACAAAAUUGGAUACAUCAGUUAAGAAUACACCAAAGCUUAAUACACCGAUGUAACAUGUUGCAACCAUUAAUACAUGUACAUAGAGACACACAUUUGAGAUGGGAAACCCUCCCCCCCCCCCCCCCCCCAAAAAAAAAAACACACACAUUUUGAAAAUAUAGCAAAAUAAAUUUAUAAAAGCAAAUGUGUGCUGCUUCACCUAUCUGAAAUGAAAUGAAAGGCUAUACUGAAAUGAAAGCCUACCAGGUGCAAAUAGAAUUAAACCAUAUAGAUGGGCCUUGUACAUGGUUAAAUCCUUGGUCUCCAGAAAUUAUGGUAAAAGGAAGACUAAUCAAAUGAUUACUCUUAGAACUAUACUAUUGUUUCAAUUUUUAAAAAGUGUUAACUGAGUGAAAAACCACACUAUUUAAAGAACCAGCAGAAAUCAGAAUAACAAUAGAAUACUACAGAGGUAAAUGAACAACCAUUGAUAUAAUUUUUUUCUCAACAUGGCAACAACAAUCAGAAAAAGAAAAGGAGAAAAUCUAUGGGAUAAAUGUAAAGUCUGUUUGAAAAGUUCAAUAUAUCUGUUUGUUAAACUGGGUUAUCAAACUUCACACCCAUGCUUUUCAAAAAGAAAAGAAAAAGAAGAACUGAAAUCAUUGACAAUUUCAAGUAAUAUAGCAGCUAUUAUUAAGAUCGAAAAUGAAUUCUGGAAAGUAUGGAGACCAAAGACUAUUAAAAGUUGGAAAUAUAUGCCGAUGCAGCUGUUUGAGAACACAGUUUGGGAAACUUUGUGUAGGAAAUAUGCUCGAAAGGAAAAUCAACAAUAGGUGAGUAUCACUGUCAAAGCUGGUUUAUGUUUAAAUUACUGAAUCACCAUAAUCGUUGUUGGUUGGUUUUCACUCAUGGUCUACUUUUUAUUCAAGUUCUUGUAAAGAAAAUUGGUCUUUUAACAUGCUCUUUUCUAAAUUUAAAAAAGGAUCAUAAUUUUGUAAAUACAUUCAAUUCCCAAAUUGAAAUUGCAGUAUAAGCAAGCCACAGUUGAUCACAUGGUUUUUUAUCAUAGCCAUAAUUAGACUAAUGUGAUUUAUACUUAGAGACAAAUAUGUUUUUUCAAAUGGUUUUUUCUGUCAAAAUUAAUAGAAAUAUGAAAAUGAUCAUCACAAAUUUCAAAACCCGAAUUAACCAAAAUUAAAAGGAAAUGGACACCAUGAGUGCUUGCAAGAUGAGAGAAGGGAAACAAAAAAGGAAAUGGUGCGUUUGAACAAAAUGAUGAUAAUUUAAAACCUUAGGUAUGAAAAUGCUUAAUUUUCAUGUGUUAAAUGAAUGAGGAUAUCUUAAAACUGUAAUUGGAAUGACCAGAAUGUUUUAAAACCUGUUAAAAAAAACAGAAUCACAGACAUAAUUAAAAAAAAAAAAAAAAAGAACCCAUCCAACAUCUGGAUAAUCAGGGGAUCACAAAGAGAAGAGAGAAAAAAAAGGAAAGAAAGCCGAAACCAAACGAAUAACAUAAGGUGAUCAAACUGAACAUUAAAUAAAAAUUUCAUAAAGUCGCAUAGUCUGAAAUGGAAAGCACCGGAAAAGAAAAUUACAUUUGUUAAAACAAUGGACUUAUAAAGCUGGUUUAUUUUUGCUUCAGGUUAAUAGAGUGGUAACUACAGAACUCAAAGUUAACAUGCACUGUGAGGCUUGUGCAAAGCAACUCAAGAAAAAGAUAUUCAAAUUAAACCCUAUUACCAAUGCAGAAUGUGAAACACUUCUGUAUAUUUGUUUUGGUUUUGGUGUAGUACAACACUGCACGUUUGUCAAACACUUAUGCAGAAUGUGAAACACCUGUGCAAAGGCAUGUAUUUAUCGUGCUAUAAAUAGCCUGUAGUUUGUCAUUUGGGAGAGUUUUUUUUUUUUGAAUUUUUUUUUUCCACAACUCAAAGUUCAUUUGCCAUAGCAUAUCUGCCCCCCCUCCCAACCCGUAAAAAUAACCUUACAAAUAAUAUUAAGCAGCACCAUUUAAGAAUCUAAAAACAGCCCAAACUAACCACACAGACAGGACAGACACCGAAACACGGAGACAUGCAACACAAAACCUGUAAUUAGAUCUCAAUCACAAAAUGGCAAAACAAAAUUCCUAAUCUAACUAUCCCUAUACUAAUAGCCCAUCCAAGCAAAUACAAUUCUAAUGGGGUUUAGAACAAAUAAACCAAUCAUCCAAUUCAAAUGGCGUUUGGAACAAAUACAGCAAUCAUUCAAUUGGAACAGGGUUUGUUACAAAUACAUGCUAAGCUAUCUCAAGCUUUGCAUAAAUAGAGAGAUACAGAUACGUGCACAAAAUAGAAAGAAGCCCAAUUCCAUUCUAAGGUAAAACAACCAAAUGGAUGCUUAAUUAUCUCAAUCGUGGCAUAAAUGGACAAAUACUGAUAUGUACACUAAAUAGAAAGAAACUCAGUUCCAAUAUAAGCUCAAACGACAAAAAUUGAAUUAUAUAUUUAAAAUCUAAGCAUGAAAGCUUCACAAAUAUAAAAUAAAAAAUAAAAAAUAAAAAAAAAGGUAGAUAGCUAAAUAGCCUUUGAACAAAGAUGAAGGGGUAUAAUUAUAUACCUCAAAACGGCAUGGAACCAACUUCUUCCUCAAAUGAUCCAAAUUUCUAUAAUCUGCACAGAAAAUAGAUCCAUUAGCAACUUAGACACUUUCAAAUUUAACAGAGAAAAUCUAAAAAAUUCUUGCUAAAUGACCAAAAUAUAUGGAAGAGCAACAAAAAUGAUAUCCAUUGAAAUUGCAGUUCCUCUGUUAACAGAACGAAAACAGAACAUGAAAAUGAGAUUCAGUUUAUGAAUCCAAUUUGGUGCAUAAGGGAGAAUUUCAGCAUUCAGUCAAUUAAAUGUGUUCAAUGCCAUUUCUUCAAAUUAAACCCCUACCAAUUUGUGAUCAGCUAAUUGUUUAACUCAAGCAUCUGAUUCCUCUGUGUUUAAGGUGAGUGCUUUUGUAUAUCGAAAUUAAAUUCCAAUCCAAACUCAAAUUCCAAGACAAUUUGUUGUGGUGCCCUUCGUGCAUAUAUAAUCCAUGUUUCCCUCUUUUUUCAUCUGGUCUAUCAGAUAAAUGUGAGUACUUAUUGAGUGCAUUUAAACCAAAAAUGUUGACAGAGGCAUAAUUGGAGAAAGAAAAGGUCUUUAUAUCAAUAAAAAUCAAAAGAUACUUAAUAAUUGGACAUAGAAAUGAGUCUCUCUGAACCCUCAGUUGAGAACUUUGUUAUCCGACUAUUAUAUCAUCUAUAAGCUAGUCUGCUAUGCGAAUCGUGUUUCCGGUGUCUUCUAAGUUUCAAAAAACUCUGAUGUGGAAAUUAUUUAUUGUGAAGGGUAUAACAAUUAAAUAUGAAAUUUUUUUUAUGGUGAUGCACUCGUAAUGUUUGUGCACCUUCGUGAGUUCGGAGUGCAUCACCACCGUCCCCCAUAUGACCCACUGCCAAACCCACUCAAACACCAUCUUGGUAACCUAACCCUGAUGCUACAUGCCCAAUCCCCCCUCUACUAACCCCUCGCCCCUCUCCAGAUUUCCCAGUCCUGUUGAGCCACCCUUGACAGGCAUUCUCAGCAAGUCAAAAAACAGAGGCAUUCGCAAACAGAAGAUACAAUAUACAGUAAAAGGAAAAUAACAACUGAGGAGAAAAAAUAAAAACCAAAAAAUAUAUAAACAAACAUCCCUCCCUACUUAAAAGCUUGUGGUGCCAACUAUUUCAUUUGAUUGAAAAUUAUAUGUUUGAAUACUCACAACCUGCUUGCUUGAUAGCCAUUUUUUCUAUCUUAGUGUUUUUCAAAAUCACUCAUAAUCAUUUUGGUCCAAUUCUAAAACAGAAAAAUGGCAAGAAAAGGGCUUUUUACAAAAGCAUAAGUACAUACCAAUUCGGCAGUGAAUCCUCGUGAUUCCUCCUGGGACCUUGAUGAGAUUAUUGCUGGUGAUCUGAAGAUAGAAAGCUUCAAUUAGGGUGGCUUGUUUUCCGAGUGCACAGAAAGACAAAAAGGGGAAAUAGGGUUCCUAGCAUAACACAAAACAUAUUAUUGUAUACAAUGGAAUUCCUACUGCUAAAUAAGAGCAAUGCUUUAGAAGUAAAAAGUUGAAAUUGUUUACCUUGAGCACAGAGGGCUUUCUAGGCUGCAAAGAAAAGGCCCAAAAAACGAAAAACCAGAGUCUCCUGAAACUGAAAACAAAACCAAAUUAAAUACACAUGUAAGAUCAAAACCCCUAAAAUUACAAAAAGUAAAUUUGAAUAGAAAACCCUCUUAUUGUUCAUCUUCAUCUGUGCCAAUCAAAACUGAUUCUUUACAGAAUGUGUGUGUGUGUGUAAAAUUUGCGUUUUUGAAAUAUAUAGUUACCCCUAAUUGGUUACCCUGAUUUCAUAGUCUCCAUUAUUGUUAAGACUUGGAAGCCCACUUCCUACAACCAAUUUCAAAACAUGCAUAGAAAUUUUGCAUGUUUGAUUUCUGAAAAAUAAUUUGUACCUAAGCUAGUAGAACUUUAGAAAUUUAUCUUGCAACCUAAUCUAUUGCCUAGUUCCAUUCUAACGUAAAACUACCAAAUGGAUGCCUAGUCAUCUCAACCCUGACAUAAAUGGACAAAUACUGAUACGCACAUUAAAUAAAAAGAAACUCAGUUCCAAUAUAAGCUCAAACGGCAAAAAUUGAAUUAUAUAUUUAAAAUCUAACCAUGAAAGCUUCACAAAUAUAAAUAAAAAAAAGGUAGAUAGCUAAGUAGGCUUUGAACAAAUGGAACCAACUUCUUCCUCAAACGAUCCAAAUUUCUGUAAUCUGCAAAGAAAGCAGAUCCGUUAGCAACCAAGACACUUUCAAAUUUAAAGCCACAUUAUGCAAUUUAAGCUAAGUAAAGUUAAACCCUCAAUUAAUCCCCAACUACAAACCUGAAUUAAACCUUCAAUUAAACUCCAAAUUAAACUAUUAACAAAACCCAAAUUAAAUCAACAAUUAGGAAAGAUAAAAAUACACCUAUUAAAAGCAUUGCAUAACUGAGAAAGCUACAUUUCUAAGAAAGAUUAAAACCUUUUUACAAAACACACCUACUGAAAAGCCUCACAGUUUUAAAGAUUGGAAGUUUUUGCUCAAAUUUUGUUUCCUUCAUUUGUUUAAAGUUCAUUUUCUCUCUCUGUUUUACAACUCUACUCACACAUAUAUCAACACUCAAAGUUCACUCUAAAGCACAAUACUAAAUCAAACUAAAGUUUUACCGUGCUAAAGCUGCAAACAGGGGAGCUUGGAAAUUAAAAUUGUUGUGGCAUGUGAAUUCCCAAGUGGUAUUAAACUAUCAAUGAUCAUAAGAAAGCUAAUGAUGAAAAAGAAACUGACGAACGAAAAACAAUGAUGCAUUUGAACACAUAGAGAAGAAACUUGUUUCAAAAUUAUACUACCUAGCAACAGAGAAGCAAAACAAUAAAUAAAACAGCCUUCUAACACCCUUAUCACACAAAUAGAGAAGCAACAAAACAUGGAGAAACAACCUAGCAACAGAGGGAUAUUAAAAGGAUGAAAAGCAGAAAAGGAACCUGAAUUCAACUUGUUGAGAAGGAAACAACAGCAAAGCAUGAAGAAAACAAAAAUGAGCUUAGUGCAACACCCCAAGUUUAAAAGACACAACCUUACUUUAACAGUGUACAAAAUAGUGCACCAAACAGACUUAUCUUCCUAACACCCAACUAAACAGGCUAUAAACAUCCAUUACAAUUUUGCCGAAACAAAAAAAAUGCCAAUCAUAGUUUUAACAAAACAAAUGGGAAACAAACAAUAAACAAUGAUUUCUGAACAGUGUUUUACCUGUUGAAUCAGAUGACAAAACUGAAAACCCUCUCCUCUCCCAUACCUCCCUCAGACAUCCUCUGCUCACCAACCCCGUGGGGUAAGCCCGUUAACCCCAGAAAAAUGCACAGCAUGCUCUCUGCCCUCUCUCUCUCCCUGUCCAUCUGUCUCUCAAAAAGUGGGAAAAAAAUCUCCAAACAUCUCUCCCACUCAUGAAAUCGAGGAUCUGCAGCAAUGGCGCUGAAAUUCCCACUCCUCCCUGUCGCUCUAUCUAUCACUCUCUCUCUCUCUCUCUCUCUCUCUCUCUCUCCCUCUCUCUCUCUCUCUCUCUCUCUCUCUCUCUCUCUCUCUCUCUCUCUCUCGGAGGCAUGGCCUCUCAUCCCCGAAACCCUCACUGAAUGACAGCAAACCCAAACCUACCCCAAUCCGUCUCAAACGCACAGGACAAAAUUACCCUUCCAACCCAACCCCAAUACCACCCCAAACCUCACGGUUUUGUUGUAAAUAGCAUGAAAUCGAGUGGCUCCCUGAUAAGCCAUAUGGACAAAAUUACCCUUUGAAUUUUUGAGAAUUACCCUCCCAACCUAUGCAAUUCGGCCGGUAUUGUUGUAAAUAGGGUGAAAUCGAGUGGCAAAGAAUGAGUCAGCUACAGUGCCGUUCCCCCUUCAAUUUUAGAAUAGACGAGAAAAUAUGCCCGCACGUUGCUGCGGGAACCUGUUGUUUCAGGUGUAAUCGGAUGAAUAAAUUCAACACAAUAAUGAACAAAUAGUUUUUUUUAUAUACAUUCAAGUGAGCUGGCAUAUAAACACAUUGUACAAUGAGUGGUAAGAAACUUAUUGUCUUUGAUUAGAAAGAGAUGGUUUCCAAAAAAGUUCUGUUUCCUUAAGAAACAGAAGAAACAUACAUAAAAUUUCAGUUACAAAUCCAAAAAAAUAAAACAAAAACAAAAAUGUGACUCUAUGGCUUUCUUACUACACAAAAAUAUCCCUUAGUUAAAGCAUGCCACACAUCAUCACAUUGCUAUUAUAUGAAGUAUAUUCCUCAGUGGCAAGUAAUAUACUCUCCUUAGCAUGACCUCUCAAUCCCCUCUCUUUAUCUCCCUAGAAUCGUACAACAACCCAUAAAUACAGUGCCCCUUUAAAAUCCAAGCAUACAUUAAGCCAAGUAGUCAAGUUUGGAGAAGUCGUUAAAUAAUCACUAUCUGAGGAUUGAGAAUAACCUACAUUCACAUUGCACAAAGUUCUAUGGAAAAAGGGGACAAAUUAACAUAAUUAAAAUAAGUAUUAAGAUGCAAAUAUUCUUAAUAUAAAUUAAGCAGAAAAAUGAAUACACUUUACCAAUUGUCAGACAUUGCUAAUUGCCAAUAUAGCAAGAUAAUGAAUUCCAUGAACAAAAAAAAUGAUUUGCAACUUCAACUUACCAUGCCAAAGAAGCUCCAUAAUAGUAGCUUCCUCCUUACUUCAUGCAUCCGUUGAUCAUGGAAAUUAUAAAAAUCCAUCCAAUCAAGAGACAAUGUAAAAGUUGUGAGAAGGUGAAUAUGCAAUGAAGAAUCUUAAGAUAUACCUGACAAAUUUGAGAUUCCAUUAUAAUUUCACACAAAACAAUCUCAUCUGUUACAGAUUGGACCAACCAAAAAAAAUAUUCUAUUAACAUGAUUUUCAACUCAACUAUAAAAAGGAGCUUUAACAACACAAUCAAUAUCAUUUCAACCCAACCAAAAAGAAACUAAUUGUAUGUCAUCAGUUUGUAAAGAGAAAAUGUAUCAUAUUUCAUGACUAAUGAAAAGCUUACAAAUGUCAUGUAAGAACCUACUUAAGUUCAAAUGCAAGAAUGCAAAUGAAGACAAUUCACUCCAUUGUGUUCAGCAAGGGAAAAAAAAGUUACGAAAAUAGUAUGACAGUGAUUCGUACCUUUAACUUGAUCUGAUGGCAGGGCCUUGAAUGUUGACUGAACAAAACUUUGCAAGUAAUGAGGUUGUGUAAAAACUUUCACCUGAAAAUUUAAACCCACCAUUAUAUGAAGGUAAAUAAGGAAAAUCCAAUCCAAUAAUCACAGCAAUCUGAGAAGUGUAUUUUAGUUUAGAGAGCAUGCAUGUAUUUUCUAACAGCGAAAACAUGAGCAAAUAUGAUUGGGCAGAAACAUAUAAUGGGCAGAAACAUGAGUGUAAAAAUUCUAAACCUCAAGAAUAUGAUUGUAUUAUAGCAAAUAUGAUUGGGUCGUACUCGAGGAUCAAAUGGGGACUUGAGAUUUUGGUAACUGUGUAGAAGAAAAAGAACACCAAUGGAACAUUCCUACAAACUAACCCUCAAACCCAUCCGAAUCAGAUCAACUAAUCAACCAAAUUAGCCCAAUCAAUAACCCUAUAUUUACUCAACCAAAUUUGCCCAAUCAAUAAUCCUCAAGGAUAAGAUUAUUUUAACUAUACACAAAUUCACAUGCUAGUCAUUUGAUACAUUUAACUAAUUCUGCAAGUUGUAUUUCUGUAAAUGGGAAUGAAAAUGUAACUUUUGGUCAUAUACUUUCAAAACCAAUACACAUCUCAAAUGUGGGAGUCUCAAAAGUUGUUUCAUUUGUUUCAUUCCAAAGAAAUUUUUUGUUUAGACAGAUAUUCUAACAAAAUACUCUCUGAUUGACACUCACUUUAACCUUAGAAGAACUCACAUUUCUCUAUCUGAAAAGGAGUUCAGGGAUAUGAAAAAAAUACUUAAUACCAAAAGCAUAAACCACACUCAAUACAAUCAAUAACUAAACUAACAAUUUAUCAAAAACACCAUCAAAUUAAACACCUUUAAACCAUAAAAACCAAAGGAACAAACCAUCUAAUUAAUGAGUGGUGAGUGCAGACUUUCUGGCAUUCAGGGCACCAAUUAUCCCAACAGAGAACGCGUUUUGGUCCUCCUCCUUUACCAUUUCCUCCUCAUACCCUGAAUCCUCAUCCCCUGCACGUUCCAAUGCCGUCUCGAGAAGCGCCUUAGCAAACACCGGGGAAGGAAAAACUAAUUAAUUUUUUUAAGACAAAUAUUAGUGCACUACAGAAAUACAUCAUCUAUAAUAAGGAAACACGUGAAUGCCUAAAAACACUAUUAAGUCUAAUAUAUCCUUGCAUUUCUAUUUGAAUUCAGAGUACGUGGAAAUCACAUCAACAAAUGAAAGCCCUAAAUUUUUAUCAUCAUGAAUUGGAAAAAUCUGCAAAACCUAAAAAAUUUCACCGCAUCAAAAUAAUUACAAAUUAAACCCCCCAUUCUCUUAUAUAGCUGAUAAUCAAAACCAAAUUAGUAAAUUACUCAGCUAAAAGCCUUUUUUCACCGAAAACACGGAAGGCAAGCCUGAGUCCUAAUAAUCCAAAAUCACGUCAAAUGGAGGAAAAUGAUAUAUCAGAAUCGAAUACUCAUAUAUUAAUAGAAAUUUUUUCCUUAAUUUAUCUAAUUAUAGAAAUAAAAAAAAUUAGAUCAAGAAAACCAAGAGCCAGAUACAAUUUUGAUGCAAAGAAAGCAAAGUUAGAAUACCAAGAGCCAGAUUAUGCUAUUAAAUCAGAGAAAACUGAGAUGCAAUGGAAUAUAUACAAUCUAAUCCAAGAAAGCAAACCAAAACCCUUACUGUCUGAGAGAAAUUGGGAUAGAACAUCAUAGAGAUAAAGCAAGAGGAAAGAUAUACCUGGCUCUGGUUGGAAUUGCUGCCGAUGAAUGUUUGGAGAGAAGCUUUACCUUUCACUCGCUUUUGAUUCCUGUAGCCACAACAGACACAUCACUUGUGACAGUUUCCAAAGGGAAUUCCGAAUUCAGAAUUCUACAACCUAAACCAUAAUUAACUCACAAUUUAGUUCCAUCAAUAUGAUAGACAUACCAAACUGUCAACAAACUAACAAAAGUAAACAUAAACGUCCCUAGAAAUAGCCCAAUGGUAGGAUUAUGUAGUCCGACUGUGCUGAACUAAAUAAGAAAAAAUUCAAGCGAUCAAAGCUAAUCUAGAGCUUUCUCCGCUCCCAAACAUAGCAAGAAUCAGAACGUGCGUCGUCAAUUUCAAGAAAUUCACAGAAAGAGAGAAAGAAAGGGAUAGAGUAGUACAAACCUCAGAUCGAUUGGCCUCGAUCCUUUGGAUUCCCUCAUUAUCUUAGCAGAAAUCGACAAAAGCAUAUAUACAAUGACAUUUUAUCAGCUACUGGUUGGACCACGUUUAUUACCUGCCAUAAACGGAGAAACAAUUUGGUAUAAGAAUCUCAUUCCACAAAACUUCUUCAGUGUUGGCCUAAACAACUGCAAGCAAAAAAAUCCCCAAGAUACAUACUUUCAUCCAAAUCAUCCACUGCCAUUAACAAAACCACACCAUAUCUUCCUCUAGCUAAGAUUAAAAGAGUGAACUUAUCACCCAAAUAAAAUAGGUAUAUUAACGAAUAUGAGUUAAAAAGUGGAGGAAAGCAACAAAACCAAUCAAACAACGAAUUGUCAAUAGAAUAAAACAACAAAUAUAGAUAUCUGAAUCAAAGUUUUUUUUUUUUUUGUCAAAUGAAGACUUAAAUUUCACUCAACAUUGUUUCUAAUCGUAGCUUCCUCUCUACCUGUAAAGCAUGGUUGUCUUAGCCCGACAUACAUUUUGAUCAUGCAGAAUCGAGAUGGAGACGUUAUCUGCUAACAACAGAAAUGGAAGUUCAAAAUAUUAUUGAAUCAUCAAAUGUAGAAAUUACCAAUCAAAUACAGAUAAACCACCACCAGCAACCAAAACAGUUUUUUUUUAAUGAAAUUAUACUCCUCUCAUCCAAGCAGCAACCAGUUUUUUUUAACUGCGCUUCUGUAAAACACAUGAGCACGGAUAUAUUAUAGAGAGCAACAAUCACUAAAUUUCUAACAUCACCAGCAUUUACAACAUUAAGCAUGUAGGGAAACUAUUUCAUUUCAUUUUAAUUUUAGGUGACACAACUGAUAAGAAGGGGUUGAGCAAGUAGCAUGGCAUCAAGAAUAAAGGAAGAUAUUUAGGAUGGAACAAUUAAAAGUUUCUGUAAACCAUUAAAUUUAUGCUUAGUGAGUAUACCAGAAUAUCUGCGUGCAAUGAAAGUACGGCAAACAGGGGUCUGUGGUUAGCUGGAGAACUCUGGAGACACGAAAAUUUCAGGGGUCUGAUUUAAGCGUCGAACGAACUCUUUCUCUCUCUGCAACCAAUUUUAGUUUUAAAAAAAAUCCAAAUUAUGAGCACCGACUAAAAAGGUCAACAAAAAGGAAAAUUCAUACUUCUAGACAUAGUGGGAAAAAACAUGAACUCAGAAUGAAACAUAAUUUUUUUUCCCUAAUAAGCAUAAGAAACAGAACAUUUUCAUUUAACAUUUUCAUUUUUUUCCCCUAAUUUUUAGAAGUAAUGUAGAUAGAUUUGUUUAGUUGCAUCAGGCUCCUCAGUUUCCAAUUGACAUGUCAAUUUAUGGUCCACUGCCCUUUCUUUUUCAGACAAUAAAUCUCAAACAUUUAUAUAACCAAAUGCAUCCAAUAAUAGAAAACUCUGUAAAUUUCCUAGGAAAGUGCACAUUCACAUAGCGAAGGGUUGCGUGAGAAAAUGUAUCUAAAAAAAGUAUAUUGGGGUACCUUAUCUGCAUUAUAUUUCACAGGUGUAGCAGGAUAGGCUUCAAGCAGUAAUCUUUCUUCUGCUAUUUCCUUCACGGUUUGUAACUCAUUGGUGAGUUUCGUUGCAAGGCAUUCAAAAGAAUAUAAAUAUAUUAGAGUUCAUUUUUAUGACACAACAACAAAGUUAUAAAUAAAUUAUCAAGGAAUACCAUAUAUAAAUGACAAAACCAAUUAUUAUAGUUAUUGCAAUGAUUUCAGCUUUGUUUAUUUUUCUUUUAUAAUGGUCUUGUAUAUGUGUUAAUUUCUUAUAAACUAUUAUUUGGUUGAGUCUAUAAUUUUCAGUCGAACAUUCCAACCAUAAAAACCAAACCUUCGAUCAUUCAAACUACGUAUUAAAUCUUCAUGGCCAACAACUUCGCUUCCAAAAUCCAAUUCACCACGUGAGGGAAGGAUUUAUGAGUAGAACGACGGGUACCGUCAUUGAUCAUUGCAAACAAAAAGCCAAGAAGAAUAAUACGACUGGGACUAAAUUUGUGCAAGCAUAGUUUCUUUUGACAAAUAUAUGUUCCCAAUUUAAUAGGCCAUUACUACUUAGCACAACAAAUUAGUUUUCGUAUCGAAACCAACAUAAAUCUAAGCAACAUACACAUUUUAAUAGUAAAUAAAUCAAAAAGCAGAUUAAUAACCACAUCACAAAUUCCCCCAGAUUAAAUAGUGAUGUUACCUCACCAGCAUGAGCAAAAGGGUGGUGUGCAGUUGUGCUGUGGCCUUGUACCAAGAAGGAUGACGACACUUAGGAAGAUAUUUGGUUGCCGUUUAACCAGAAAUUACCCGUCAGAUUUCUGAAACUCACCGGAAAAAUGCAAAUGUGAGGAUUACCUUUGAUUAACCUUAAAAUGAACUCAAAUCCAACAUGCAAUACCUGAAUUUAUCUCUUGGGAGUGAGAGUAGUCGUUUCCAGGUAAUGGCAAGGGCCAAUUCGCCUGAAUUUAUCUCUUGGGAGUGAGAGUAGUCGUUUAAUAAGAAAGAAUUCAGACCACAAUACUAUAGUUGAUUAUUAAAUCAACAGUGUAAUGUCUUGUUGAGAUUAUGUUUCAGCAUGCACUAAGAAUAAUCUCAAUGGCAUAUUCCUCUUCCACAGGUCCUGAAGAUUUCGGAAUGCGGAUCUUGGGUUCAUUUGGUUUGCAAAAUAUGAAUUCAUAAGCUCAAAAUCUCAAAACUUUCCCAAAAUUCUUCAAAUGAUGAUUUUUUUAUUUUUUAUUUUUUGAAAAGUAGAGAACUAACUGACCAUCUUCUUCCUUGAUGAAACACUUGAGAAAGAAAGCGAAGCAGCUUUGAAUCUCAGCUGCUACAUAGCUUAUAUAAAAAGCCAAAAUAUAAAAAAUUAAUCAAAAGGUUGAGAGAACUCACAUCCCAAUCAUGCUCGUUGCUGAUAUUGACACCCACUGACAGCAGCCUUCGAUUUUUGGAAUUCCCACGUUCAACUCCAUGACCUCUGUCUCUGCCAUCCUUCUUUCCCUCACAACCAUACCCAUUUUGGACCCACCCCUCAAUCCCGACACCAACCCUUGAUUUGAGGAGGAAAAAUCAAUCCAACACUCUUUUUGGCAAGCUUCACUACUCCCUCUUCCUUCCCCUCCCUGCCAAUCCACGCCAUAUCCCUCAUUGUAGCCCUGCAACCCACGUUUUUGGCAGACCUCCCUUUCCCUUCCUCUCCAUGACAUUCCACACCCUCCUCCCCCAUUCCAUAAACCCAGCCCAAGCUUUACCUCAACUCCGGCCCCCUCACUUUCUCGAAACCAACUUUCAAACCCUAGAAUGUAGCUCAUUCACUCUCUCGCAACCCACUUUGAGUGACACGGAUGCAACAACCCUCGCCCUCUCUCCCGCAUUCGCCUAACCCCAAAAUCGCUCUCUCCCUCUCCCUCUCUCUCUCUCUCUAUCUCUCUCUCUCUCUCUUUCUCUUCCCAAAUCGAGCAUCACCACUCAAUCCCCUCUCUUUCUCACCCUCAAAUCGUACACCCCAUAUGACUCUGUCUGCCUGCAAGCCGCAUGCCUUCUUCUCACCAAAUCCCUAUCUAUCUCUCCCUCUCUCUCUCUCCUCUCUCUGCUCGCUCACUCUCUCUCUCUCGACAGCAUGGUCUCACCGAGUCCCACUGUAGCUCAGAAAGAAAGGAAAUGAAACUCUCUAACUCACCCAACCCGUUCGAAACCCUACAGACCAAACUGACCAUCGCACCCCUGCCUUUCCACGAUCAUCAACACGCGGCAUGAAGAGCAGCGGCAGAGAGAGUCAGUGGCAACCUCGUAAUAAAGGGAAAUUCGGCUCCAAAAACUAUUAAUUUGUACAGUGCAAUUGAAAAGCUUUCUUUAGACUAAAGUAAUAAUUUGAGGAUUAUCAACUAGAAGAACAAAAUAUAAAUAUAACAGAGGAUAACAAAUGCGAAGAGGGCCAGCUGAAAAUGAAAUUGCUUCUUGCACUAAUUGGACAAGUGUUCCUAAUUCCUAACAUAUUAAGGCAAGGAAAUACAGUCCACAUACUACAUUCAGAAUGUUGUAGUGUCUGUUGUCAAAAUGUUGAUCAAGAAACAUUUCAGCACGGAAGCUUUUCUUACAGUAUCCGCACUGCCAUUCGUUUAUAUCCAAAUGAAUCUUGUGCUCUUCCUGAUCUCUAAAUAGAUCAUUGUCGGGAUGAAGUCGACAGUUACUUGGAAUCUCAUAGUGCUCGUGUUUGUUGGAAGUUUUGAGACUCUUGUCCCACAUUGGGGAAAACAAGAUUCUCAAGGGCCUUUAAUAGAUUUAGUGCUUUAGUCUAGUAAUUAGAAUAUGGGUCAUUUGGAAAUGGAUUGAAGGCUUGGGCCUUAUGGUUGUGUGGAUUAGGCUUGUAUAAUAUAGCCUAAAUACAAUUAAUAUUAAUUAAUCAAGACAAGAGCCUUGGGAUUCAUUAAUUUUAAUUUUCGGAUUAAGUUUUUAAUUAAUUUAUUAUUAAUUAAAAACGUUUUGAUUAAAAGACACAACUCUUAGAAAGAGUUGUGAACCUUCAAAUACACUGAACUGGUAUUUGAAAGGGUGUGAAACAGCCUAUAUAUCUGCAAUCCAUAGUAUCCAAAUAGAUAAUCUUUUUCUUGCUCUUUUCUUCUAUACGAAUUUUCUAGAGAUUAAACACACAAAAAGCAAAUUCGCUAGAGUUCUAGAAUCCAAUGCGGAUUGUAGAAUUUGAUACGCCCCGACCCUGAUAUUCCCCAAAUACCAGGAUAGACAUGUGCUGGCCGACACCCGAGGGUGACGAAAGCCAUUAAAUGAUACAAAAGCUAAGAAUAAGAAGUAAAUAAAGGUUAGAAAUUUUAAAUACUAUGAAUUAAUAAUUUAAGGAACGUGCUCAGAGCAUACAACUAAACCUAGUCACUAAAAAGAAUUAAGAUAAAAUUUAAUGAAUGAAGAAGUGAGUCCUACAUCGAGAGGAUCCGAAGAUGCUGCUGCGAAAGUGUCUUGACGCCGGGAUUGUAUGCCUCGAUUCUAAGUCCUGAAUGGGGACGCAAAACAAAUGUGAGUGGACCAAGUUCAUAUAUAUAUAUAUAUAUAUAAUAAAACAAUGAUCAAGAUACUAACCCCCACAGUUUAUAUAAUGAAAACUACUAGCAUAAUAAAUUAUGGAUUUAAUAAAAAUCCUAGCAUGCCAAAAAUAUAUCUCAAAAGCCAUAUAGCGGAAUAUCAUCGCAGAAAUCAAAAUAGUAAACGUCUCAUAAAUCGUCUCGUAAGCGCGGUGUGCUGCUAGUAAGAUCAUUGAAUAAAUAUAACUCCCGGUCCAAUGCCUGUUCCAUGGUCUCUGUGCCCGUAGCCAAAGAUUACCAACUCCCGGCCCAAUGCCUCUUCAUGUCCCUCAGCCCGUAGCUAGGGAUUAUUUCUCCCGGCCUAAAUGCCAACACCAAAUCCUCGCCCUAGGCGGUAUAGUGUCCACUAGGUACGCACAAAAUGUUACGCCUCUCAUAAAUAACCACUUCAUAGUAUAAAUACCGACCAUCGUUUAUACUAUAAAGAGGGGUUCAAAAACAUGUUCUAGCAUCAUAUCGUCAUCUAUUAGAUAGUCUACCAGUUCAUGAUUUUUAUAGAAAAUACGAUAUAUUAAAAUAUAGCUCAAUAUAGGCCACAAUUAAUUCCUCAUCAAAACACGAGACGAUAAUCAAUAUAUUCCAUAAACAUGCUUAUCAUAAAUCAAAUCAUAAACUCAUAAGGCAUGUUAUUCAUUUAUGCAAUUAAAGCAUAAAAUCAUAUAAUUUUAGAAGGGGUCCACUCACAGUACUUAGUUGCCAAAAGCUGCGCCACUAGCGAAGACGGAAACAUCACAAUAAUUGCCCCUAAGCACAUAAAGGGUUUAGGGUGAAGAAAUGUGGUUUGGGCCUAAGCCCAAACACACACACGCACCACACAAGCACACACACAACAAACACACACAUGCACGGCAUGCACAUGCAUGCAAGCAUGCAUAUACACACACGUACACAUGCACUUAAACACACACACACACGCCUAAUACACACACACACAAACCACAAAGGCCUUAAGGCCUCACACAAAGGACCGGGCUUUAAGCCAUUUCACUUAAAACCGGCCUAAGGCCCCUUGGGCUGCUGAAAAUAAAUAAUUAAAUAGAAUAAAAACGGGCUAGGAUGGGCUAGGCAGGGAAGGCCCAAAGGCCUUGGAUUUUCUGGGCUACAGGAUUCAAAAGGCCGGAAAUUCGGCCGGAAAACCACCCAACUUUAAACGACCAUAACUUUAUCACUACUCAACGAAAUCAAGCAAGACAAAAAUGAAAGUUGUAGCCCUCAAAGAGAUGAAGAGAAUGGUACCUCACGUGACGUCUAACUAGCCGUGUUUUGGCCGGAAAAUGCCUCAAAAGCCACUGAGGUCGCCGGAAACUGGGUAAGAUUCAAAUGCGUAUAACUUAUUCAAUACUCAACAAAAUUGAGUGAAACAAAAAGGAAAGUUGUACUACUCGACGGGACAAAGAGAUUGAUACCUUACACGCUGGCCAACGCACCGUGGUUUGGCCGGAAAUGGCCUCGAAAGGCGUCGGUCUGCGUUGGAGCUCAUGUAUGAGGCUUCCUGGUUCGACUUCCAAGAUGCCAAGACUAAGGUUGAGUUCGUAGCGACGAGAUAAAGACGGGGUGAUGUUUGUUGGUAAGAAAACUCUCGGAUGGGUUGAGAUAGAGAAGGCCGAGAGAGUGAGUUGCGGGAGAGGUGAGGGAGAAGAGAGAACUGAGAGAAGAGAGAGGGAGACCGGAAAACACAAAAAUAAAACAAGGUGGGCCCCAUGGGCUUACCAAGGCUUUAAAACAAUUUUUAAAUAAAAUGGGGUUGGGGUGUUUUAGAAUUGGGUAGUUGAAUCUGGUAGAACAGACGUUGAAGAACCACAAGCACAGAAGUGUGACGUAAAUAUUGUUCGAAGGACAUAGCUAUUAUUUGGUAAAAUAUAUUUUCAUUUCACACUCUGAUAAUGUUACAGCUUAGGUAUAUAUAUACAUCAAACUAACAUGUUAUCUUAACCACUAAGCUAACAACUAAGAACAUUCAUUUACGAUUCAUUUACAGUAUUGCCCUUUAUAUCCCCCCUCAAACUAAACUUGGGUAUCCGAAGUUGAAGUUUGUCACGAAGGAAGAAAAAUCGAAGCUUGGACAGAGACUUGGUGCAGAUAUCAGCUACUUGGUCUUGAGUGCAGACAAAAUGGACAGCAAUCUGUUUAGCAAAGACUUUUUCCCUAAUGUAAUGAUAGUCUAUUUCUACAUGCUUUAUCCGAGCAUGAAAAAUAGGAUUUUUUGCUAGAGAUAUAGCUGAAAGGUUGUCACACCAGAGGUGAGGUGUUGUAGGUAAGCAAUAGCCAAUAUCCACCAAUAAUUGACAGAGCCAGGUUAUUUCAGAUGCAGUGUUAGCAAGAGACCUGUACUCUGCUUCGGUGGAAGAUCGAGCAACAGUCGGUUGCUUCUUAGCACUCCAGCUAAUCAAAGAAUUGCCCAAAUAUACACAAUAACCUCCAGUUGAUCGGCGGUCAAGAGCACAGCCAGCCCAUUCAGCGUCCGAGAAAGCAGUGAGAGUAGGAGGAGUGGAACACUUGGAGAACCAGAGACCAAUAUCAAGAGAUCCCUUUAGGUAUCGGAGGAUACGCUUAACAGCCUGAAAAUGUGAAAUUUUGGGAGUGUGCAUAUAUUGGCAGACAAGAUUAACAGCAAAACUGAGAUCAGGACGAGUUCAGGUGAGAUAUUGCAGAGCACCAACGAGGGAACGAUACUCAGAAGCAUUAGCACAUAAGGGAGAAUCAUGAUCAAGUUUGGAGGUGCUGAGAGGAGUACUGCAAGGUUUAGCUCCAGUCAUGUUGGCUUUGGAUAACAAAUCCAAUAUGUAUUUGGUCUGAGAGAGAAAGAUACCAGAAGAAGAUCUUUUGACUUCAAGACCAAGAAAAUAGUGUAGCGGACCUAAAUCCUUGAUGGGAAACAGGGAACUAAGUUGCUGAAUAACUUGUUUACAGGCAGUAGAAUUUGGACCAGUAACCAAAAUAUCAUCAACAUAGACAAGAAUGAAAAUCAUAUCUGAACCCUUUUUGAUAAACAAUGAAUGGUCACUGGGAGAUCCAACAAAGCCAAGAGAAGUAAGAGCACCAUGAAGCUUGUCAUACCAAGCCCGCGGAACUUGCUUUAAAUCAUACAACGAACGAUGCAAGUGACAAACAUGAGAUGGUUGAGUUAAAUCCUCAAAUCCAGAAGGUUGCUGCAUGAAAACAGAUUCAUUGAGUGUCCCAUGUAGGAAAGCAUUACUGACAUCGAGUUGAUUCAAGAACCAAUCAAACUGAAUGGCAAGAGUGAGGAUGAGUCGAAUAUUGACUGGCUUGGCUACCGAACUGAAGUUUCAGUAUAAUCUAGACCUUCCUGUUGAUUGAAGCCCUUGGCAACGAGCCGAGCUUUGUACCGGUUUAUAGUGCCAUCGGGCUUUCUUUUGAUGUGGAAGACCCAUUUACAGCCAACAAUAUUCUGUGAUAGAGACUGGGGAACAAGAGACCAAGUUCCAGUUUUGAUGAGAGCAAUGACUUCCUCUUGCAUAGCUUGGCACCAAUGAGGAUAUUUUGAAGCUUGGAGAUAAGUUUUAGGUAUGUAAUCCACUGAGAGAUGAGAGGGUAGAAGGUGUUUAGUGGUAGUGAGUGCUUUUGGUUUGAAAAUGCCAGAUUUGGAUCGGGUUUGCAUCUGAUGGGUGUUAGGGGGUUGAAUAGGAAUGGAAUGAAUGGAAUCUUGAACUGGCACUACAGGACUAGAGUGGAUAGGUGGGGAAUUGUUAUGGGAGAAGAUGGAUGGUGAAGUGGAGGGGGAUCGAGGCAAAGUGGUUGUAGGACUAGAGGAUGAAGAAAUAGGAAAAGUAAAAGUAAGGGUGGAUGGUAUAGGUGAUGUAGGCCCAGGGGGCAGGGAGGAAGCUGAAGGUGUGAUGGGGGAGAAAUGAUGGAAUGGAAAACUGGAUUCAUUAAAGAGGACAUGGCGGGAAAUAUACACUCUGUGGGUAGCAGGGUCAAGACAUUUGUAGCCCUUGUGAUUUAAACUGUAUCCAAGAAAGACACAGGCUCUGCCUUUAGGAUCCAGUUUUGAGGAAGAAUAAGGCUUGAGCCAUGGGAAGCAAGCACAACCAAAGACCUUGAGAAGUUCAUAGUUUGGAGCUCGAUGAUAUAGAGAUUCCCAAGGAGACUGUCUGGAUGCAGUGGGCAAUCGGUUGAUAAGAUAGAUGGCAGUGGUGAAAGCCUCCACCCAAUAGAUGUGGGGUACUUUGGAAGUUGUCAAAAGAGUGCGAGCAGUUUCAACCAAGUGACGAUGUUUGCGCUCUGCACACCCAUUUUGUUCAAGUGUGUGGGGGUAAGUGAGUUGAUGAUGAAUGCCAUGUGCAGCCAAGAAUUGAGAGAAAUGAUUGCUCAAGUACUCUCUGCCAGAAUCAGAUCUCAAAGUGAUAAUAUUUGUACACAAAGAAUUUUCAACCAGAGAUUUGUAUUCCAUAAAAGUUGACAGUACAUCAGAUUUGCAUUUCAAAUGAUAAAACCAGCAGUAUCUAGUAAAGUCAUCCACAAAAAUGAUAUAAUACCGAAAACCUUGAGAAGAAGCUAGAGGUGAUGGUCCCCAAACAUCCGUGUGGACAAGUUCUAGAGGUUUGCUAGUUGUACAAGAUGUAGAUACAAAAUGAAGCUUUGAGCUUUUAGCCCAAUGCACAAUCUGAGCAGAAUGACUUAGUUGUAUGAGCCAAAACAGGAAUACAAGAUUGAGAAGCAAGUUUAUGAAGAAUCUUGACUUAUGGGUGACCCAAUCUUUGAUGCCAGACAUCCUUAGAAGCUUUUGCAGUAGCUGUGAGAGCCUUAUGAUUGCCAGUUGCAGAUGAGGAAAAUGAAAAGGAUAGAACCCUUGCUGAACAGGACCUUUAAAAUGCAUCCUCCCCGAAGAAAGAUCCUUCACAGUGAAGUGAGAGGGAUAAAAAUGCAAUGAACAAUGAUUAUCAAGCAGAAAUUGAUUCGCAGAGAGAAUGUUAUGUUUCAAAGCAGGCACAUAAAGUACUUUAUUGAGUUUAAAAGCACUAGUAGAAGUAUGCAAAGUAGUAGAACCAGAAUGAGUGAUGGGCAAACCUUUGCCAUCACCAAUAUACACUUGUUCUGGACCUGUGUAUGCUUCAGGGUUCUGCAGAGUUGCAUAAGAGUUGGUCAUGUGUGAUGUGGCGCCAGAAUCGACAAUCCAAGUAGGAUUGGAUGAAGAAGCAUUAGCAACCAUCGCUGCAGGAGAGGAUUUUCCACUAUAAGCGAGAUUGAGGCGAUGAGGACAAUCACAUGCUUCAUGGUCAAAUUGAUGACAAAUCUGACAAGGUUGUUUCUUGGUGUAGGAAGAAAAAUUGUUGCGACCUCCAUGAUUAUAACGCUGAUUAUUGCCACGAGGAGUAAAAGAUCUCGGAUUGUUAGAAGAUCUGUAAUUGCCAUGAUUGAAAUGACCGCGAUUAUGAGAGCGAUCCAUCCCACGACUUUGAUGACUGAAUGUAGAAGGAGAAUGAGCCACAAAAGCCUGAGAGUUAGGGUUUGAUGCAGGAAGAGGAAGAAUGCCUGCAGAGGUGUUAAGAGCCUGAAACGAGGACAUCUCAGAGAUACUUUUCUUGCGAGUGGCUAAUUGAAUCUCUUUGCUCAGAAGCAAGCCAUGUAGUUCAUCAAUUGUUGUAGAUCCGAGACGAAAUUGAACAACAUCAACAAAUGAGUCAUACUCUGAGGGAAGACUGUGGAGAGUGACAGAGAUCAGAUCGGAAUCGUCAACCGGAAAGCCGGCACUGGCAAGAGCAUCAGCAAUUGCCUCAAUUUGCUGAAAAACUGAGCAGCAGUGGAAUUUCCUUUUGUAAGAGUACGAAGUCGAGAGCGAAGCUCAUGAAUGUGAGACUGAGAUGCCGUGGUAAGUCGAGAUUCCAAUUUCGCCCAAAGAUCGCGAGCUGAAUUCACACCAACAGUAUAUGGAAUUAGGGAUUCCAAGAGCGUGGAGUUGAGCCAGUUGAGAAUAUUUUGAUCAUUCUCAUACCAAGAAACAUAAGCAGGAUUAAGAGUGCGAUUUCCUGAGGAAUCAAGAAGAAAUUGAACCGGCGCUGCCGUAGAGCCGUCUAUGUGACCAGUCAGGUUGUAGCGACGAAAAAUCGGAGCAAAAAAAGCACUCCAGGUCAAGUAAUUUGUGGUAGUGAGCUUGAUUGGCACCAUGGAUCCAAUAUUUUGGAUUGUGAUUGAGGUAGAAUGUGAAGAAUUAGGGUUGGGAGAUUCAGUCGGAAGGGGAUGAACGGGAGAGGCCGAUUCUGACGAAGGAGACGCCAUUGUCAAAAGGAUGAGGAGGAAAGAGCACGAUCAAAGAUCUUCAAACACGAGCGAAGAAUCGAUCAAGAACACAGAAAGAAGAAGCAGAAAAGAUAGGAUCGAAGAACGAGAGUCGUUGGACAGAGAAGGCGGUUGAUACCAUAUUUGGUAAAAUAUAUUUUCAUUUCACACUAUGAUAAUGUUACAGCUUAGGUAUAUAUAUACAACAAACUAACAUGUUAUCUUAACCACUAAGCUAACAACUAAGAAGAUUCAUUUACAAUAUUGCCCUUUAUAGCUAUUACGCUAGCCUCUACCUUCUGUAAUCAAGUUAGUCAUAUUUAUUUCUGUAUUAUUGUGUAAUUAUCAUUUUACAUAGCAAGUAUAUUUUGGUUAAUAAAAUAUUAGAAUUUCUAUUAUUAUUGUUUAUUUCUGAAUUGUUCUCCUACAGUGUUCCACAAAUGGCAUCAAAUACUACAAAACACAAAUUAGAAGUAGCAUUAAGUAGACUAUUAUGCAUGACACGAUUUUGUAAUAGCACUCAACGUUUUGCCCAUACCUUCUCAAUAAUUUGCCAAGCUGCCCUGCUUCUUUCUCUGGAACAAUGCACUUCAUGAGCAUUCUUUGAGUUUCAUUGGCAAGAUUUUAACUUCUGAGAAAACUUCACAACUUGAAAAGAAAAACUCAUUCAUUUUGUAUAUCCUUGCACAUUUGAUAUUUUGUAGUAGACUAGUAGUGUAUUGGUGCUUUUUUAUUAGGCUCUUAUUUUGUAGUGUCGAUGUAGUACUUAACGACAAAUGGUUUUUUUAUGUUUUGAAGUAAGAUUUAUGUGGCAAUGUGGUAUUUGCAAAUUUAAGAGUAAAAAAAAAAUCUUAAUAGGUCAUAAUGGGUGGGAUAAUUUUACUUGUUGGGUAAAGUGACCUAACCUGUUAAAGAUCCGUUAAGAUAAACACGACACGAUCAGUUAAGAUAACAGGUAUUACACGAAACACGAUAAACACGAUUCGUUUGCCAGACCUACGUUUACCUGCCGUAUAAGAACUUGAACGUCAAUUAAACCCUAUAAAUAUGUUGAUGGUGCAGCAUGAGUACACAACAUAUUUGGAUGUAAAAACUCUACAAGUUUGGAAUUUGGAGAUCAAAUUUUCUGCACUCAAAGUGGGUGUGACUUCUCUGCGAUCUCAAUUAUUGACUAACACGUAUUUAUAAACUUAACUUUUCUAAACUUUAUUGUCAAAAACUUAUUAUGUGUCGGUCAAUAAUUAGGACCACAAAGAGCCUACACCUAUUUUUGGUGCAGAAGAUUUGAUCUUUGGAAUAUGAGACCUAUGAGACUCAAAUGCAGUAGUGCUUCGAUUCGAGAAUACUGUUAAAAGGUGAGGUUUGGGUGACGGAAAAAUUGAACACAGGAUUUCGUGGGCAUUGGGUGAAUGCUGUUAGAAGUUCAUUUCAUAUAUCCAAGAAUAUGUUACUCUACAUUCUCACUACUAUCCUUUUAUAAUCUCCAAGAGUAUUUAUUUGGCGAUUCUCUUUUCAAUUUCAUAAGGUUCCUAUCAUGUCCCUGAAUUUUUGGUUCCUACGUUCUCACAUAAAGAUAUGGAAAUGGAGGGUAGAGUCUAAACUUCACCCUAUAUCAAAGAAACUCUAAUAUUUCAGUUAAAAUUAACAGAUUUCGUUGAUAUUUUCGAAAUAUAGGUUAAAUAUCGAAGAAACUCUUAUAUUUCGUUUCAACCAGUGUUUGACAGUUCCUAAAGUUUUAUUUUAAAUUUUCAUAAUUUCCAUCAAAAUGAACCGAUAUUAAUAUCAAUAUCGAUAUAUCCAUAUAUUUCCACAAAUUUAUCGUUAUUUCUACCGAUAUCGAUAUUUUAAACACUGCUCACUAGAACAUGCGGACCUAAUUAAGUCCAGCCAAGGUAUUAAAAAUCGAUAUUAUCGGCGAUAUUUCGCUGAUAAUAUCGUUUUUUUGCCCCAGCGAUAUUUUUUUGACUAAAAAUAAAAUAUCUUUAAAAUAUCGCUAAUAUCGCGAUAUUACCGAUAUUAGCGAUAUUAUCGCGAUAUUCGGUGUCGUCGCCGCCGCCGGGAGGUGAGAAAGGGAGGAGGAAACCAGAUCGAAGAAGAAGGAUGAUGGAGGUGAGAAAGGGAGGAGGAAACCAGAUCGAUUACGGAGAGAGUCGAGACCGAACCGAGGGAGAGACCGAGACAGAGAGACCGAGGGAGAGACGGAGACGGAGAGACCGAGGCAGAGACGGAGACGGAGAGACCGAGGCAGAGAUAGAGACGAAGAGACCGAGGGAGAGACUCCAUCGUCCCAACGGCAACCGAGCUUCCUCUGCGCGUCGCCGUGCUUCCCAGAGACGGAGGAGAGGGAGGGAGAGUUCAGGAGGGUGGUGGAGAUGCAGCGCUGGCAUCGGGGUGGACGGAUUUGGGUGUGCUGGGUGUGGGUGCGAUCGGGGAAAUGGAGUGAGAGAACGAGAGUUCGAGAGAGUUCGAGAGAGAGAAAGCCUUUAGGUUCUGACGGGGUGCAAGUGAGAGAGGGAAAGCCUUUAGGUUCUGACAUGGGAAUGGACAAAAGAGAGCCGUUGGCUCUGGGCUCGAGGUGAGUGGAAGGGGAUCCAAUGUGUGUUCAAGAAUAGCUAGGGUUUUCAAAUGACAGAUGCCGCUGCUACACCAGUUUAAAUUGUAGCUGUUUCUAGCAUUUGACACAGGUGGACUUGUGCGGGUUGGUCAGCGAAUCUUCGCCAUUUCUAGCUCUCAGGUCUUGCGUUCGAAGCCCCGAGGUGUAAUGUAGUGGUUUAUUUUUUCAUAUUUUUGUUAGCUCACCUUGGCAAGCUCACAGUUCUUCUCUUCGAAUCUCUUUGGUGUGUCAAUUUUUUUUUUCCUUUUCUUUUAUUUUCUGUUUUCUGUUUUAUUUUAUUUUCGUUUAUUGUUUUUCUAUUUCUCUUUCCUAUUUUAUUUUCUUAGUUUUUUUUGUUUUAUCUUUGAUCGUCCUUCUACAUUUCCUAGGAUUUCGUAGUUUUGUUAUUUUCUUGUUUGUUUUUCUUUAUUUUAUUUCUCAUACCUUGAGGACAAUGUGUGAUUUAAGUUUGGGGGUGGGAAAUAAGAAAUUUUAGGUUUUUAAUUCUUUGUAUAUAUAUGGUUUUGUUUUGAAUUCUUUAUAUAUAAAUGAUUAUGGUUUUGUGAAAAUAUGAAAAUAUGCUAAAAUAUUCGAACCCCUCCCAUUGUACUAAUUCAUUAUAUAAAUGAUUAUGGUGUGUUUAAACUUCUUUCAUUAUUUACUACAUUUUUUCUACACUCACAAUGUUUGCCAGCUCGCUAUAUAAUCAACUUAAAUCAGUUAAAUCCAUCAUGCAAUGCAUUUCCUUCCAAUUUUUUGUGAUAAACUAAUAGAUAAUUGACUAAAUAAACAUCCUGCAAAGUUUCAAUAAAAAUUUCCAAGUUUUUCUUACAAUUUCCGUGGUUUCCAUGUAAUUUUUAUCGAUAUCGAUAUUAUCCCGAUAUUUCUAUUGAUAUUUCCGUGUUUUCGGACUACCGAUAUUUCCGAUAUUACCGAUAUUUUCUUCCUUGAGUCUAGCUCAAUAGUGCCUCGUGUCGUGCUCAUGCUGGCUCAUUUAAUGAAUAAGAUGGGCCGACUCAUCCCAUAUUUGAAACCUUCAGCCCAGUGCACCCCACAACAAUAAUCUAAUUCUGCAUGUGUCGUGCUUGCCAUGCUAGAUGCUGCUUUUUUUUUUAAAUGAAAAUACAUACUUAAUAUAUAAUCACAUAUUAACGAAACUUUGAGUCAAUUAAAAUCUCAUAAAUUAACAUUAUGUCCCUUUAAUCAAAACUGAACAUAAAUAAAAAAAUAUGGACAGUAAUAUAAUCGCACAAACCAAAUAUUGCUAUUUUUUGUAAAGCAUUACCACAUAUGAUUAUAACAUAUCUCUAAAAUUAAAAAUAAAAUAAAAACCUCUCUCCCCUCUCUCUCUACUCUCACCUUCUCUAUCUUCCUCCCUCCUUCCAUUUUAAAAACAAAUGUUCACAUGCACAUAUACUAGUACUAUUAAUAUAUUUCUCAAAAUGACGAUCAUAUCUCUAUUUUUUCUAUUUUAACCUUACUUUUAAUACACAAUAAAAUGUCCACCUAUGUGAUUGAAGAUAUCUGAAAGAGCGGUCAAGAAAUUUGACCAAGGAAGAAAGGAAUAGAUCCCUAAACAUUUGAAUUCCAUGAGUUAAAGAAUUGGUAAAGACGUUGAGCUACUUGGAGUCUAAAAUUUGGGAAGGAAUAAGAAUACCACUUUCGUAGAAGCUUGGAAGUCGAAUCACGUUCACAACACGAAAGUAAGACAUAGCCUUCUUUUCUCAGUUGAUAUUCGUCGAAGAAUAUUAUUGAUUUGAAAUGUUAUUUGGAUAUUGAUAUAAAAUUAUUAUGAACGAUAAAUGUGUCAUGCAUAGUAAAAUCAUUGGAAAUGUAUCAAUGAAAAUGAAUAACUAUAAUCAUUCGUUGGAGUCGUCAAUUAGAAAGGUAUGAGAUUUAUAGAAACAUGGAAGUAAAAGAAGUUGAGAGACUCUCGAAGCACCAAGAUUUAUGUUCAGCCCAAAGUCACGAAAUAAGGGAGUGAAGUCCUUUCAGUUAGAGUCCGAUAAAAUGACCAAAUCGUGUUUAGACAUUGCAGAUUGAGAGUUAAAAAAAAUGACUAAUAAAAAGAGAAAUUUAGUUAUCUGUUAACUGGAUUAACAUUAUAGAAUGAAGAGAAAACAUUACAUUCAUGUACUAUUAUUGCUCCCGGUGAAUUAAAUGCAUUGUGAUUAUUACCUUAUCGAACUAGUAGCUCAUCCAUGACAGUAAUUGAAUUAGAGACUUGAAAAGUAGUUUAUUUUACCGGUGUUGAAGUAGAGACUUGAUAAGUAGUUGAUUUUUAAUAAAGUGUGAAUUUAAAAAUGCUAAAAAGAUUCUCUCAAAGUUUUCAAAAAAAAAAAAAGUAAGUUCCUCAUGAACUUUCCAUCGGAUCAUAUAUUUUUUUCAUAAUAUUUUAUAAUGUAAUAAGAGAAUUAUGCUAAAAACGUAAUGUGCUGGAAGAAUUCUAUUUUAAAAAAAAAAAUCUCACUAACAUUUAUCAUAAACUUUUGUACAGUAAUUCCAGUGUGCUUGAGUGAUUUUCUAAAACCUUGUGAUGAUGUAAAAUAAGAGCUUUCUAUUUUUUUCUCUAUUUUAUGUGAGUUUUUGAAUUUUUACUAUGCUUUUUCGUCGUGGUCUCAUAUUAGUUUGAUAUUUUUGGGAGCGAACUCCAGUGUCUUCGUUUCAUAUUUGAUAUUUUCAUUGAGUUCAUUGACAAAGGAGUAUCAUUGCAAGUUUUCACAAAAAAAAAAAGGAGUUUCAUUGCAACUCUUUUUGUGAGCUUCCAAGUGGCCCCAAGUAUGUUAUUCUGCACUUUUAUUACCAUAUGCAAUAUGCUUCUAUAAAUUAUCUGGAAGAAAGUAUUACUUAUGAGCUAUAUCUAAUUUUUUGUUUCACUUGUUUUUUCUUAUUAUAUAUGUCACUUAGGUUCGAGCAUUUAGCCUUGAAAACAAGAUUUCAAAUUCGAUUUCGGCUUCAACAAUAUUUGCUAGCAUAAAAAGAGGGUUAAGUUAUUGAUUCGUACGCCGUUAAGUUGAAUUUGGUUGCAAGUCUAAUCAAUAUUAUUUGGUGUUUUAUUUAAAUAAUUUAAGCAGGCAAAUGGGUCAUGUUUAUCGUGUUUUUGUUGUUUUUGUGUCAUACCCGUUAUCUCAAUGGGUCGUGUUGUGUUAAACCUGUUAUCUUAAUGAAUUCUUAACAGGUGAUCCGAUAACUACUUAAUUUGUUAACCAAUCGUGUCGUUUCAUGUCCAGUUAAGAGGCCAUGCAAGAAUUUAAUAUACCUAAUAUCUAGAUAUGGAAAACCAUAUCUUAUCAAGUUCUUAACGGGCUACCUGAUAAUGAACCGCAUUGUUAAUGAAUCACGCUAGGCUCUAGUCUGGUGGUGAACAGAGGCGUCUAGGUGGGCAGGUGCCUAGGUAGGUUUAGGCUUCCUUUCUUAAUUUUCAAAUGCCUAGGAAUUAAUCUGGGCGGUAGACAACCGUCUAGCUCCUAGGCGGCGCUAUGUGGAGAUUUUUAGAACAGUGGUUAACAUGUUGACCAAAAUCCUGUUAUUUUCGUAUCGUUUCUUGUCUAAUUAACGGGUCGUGUAAAAUAUUAUUAGGCCUUUGUGUAGAGUUCAAUCCGCUAUCUUCUUUUCGACGUGUGUACUUUCACUUAACAACAAUUUUGUGGAACUUGUCAACUGCCACCUACAAAGAAUUGGAACUUUUUGUUAUCCUUAACACGGACAAAAAACCAUGACAUUUGGUGGAAGAAUUAGAUUGAAUGAGUUCGAAAAUUAUCAAGCAUAGAUUUUUGUUCUUGAACCAAAUUUUUUAAUUCUGUGUUCUUGGAAAAAAAACUCGAGAAAGUAGUUUUUGGACUAAGUUUGGCCCCUUUGUUAAACUGAAUGAAAGUUAAGAACAGAAAUUUAAAUUUCUUGAGUACUAGACAAUUUCAGGUACCUUAUUUAGAUCUUGAUUUCUUUUGGUUUGUGGUUUCGUUUUGAAAACUAAGCACAUAGUUUGUAAAAUACAAAAAUUUAUCCAUUGCGUUAUUUUUUUUCUUUUUCUGUUGUUUUGAAACUUGUCUAUUCUGCAGACAGAUUGCAUACCAAGUAUCGAAGGCCAAAAUGGAGUCAGCUGCAUCACUAUUGAUUGGGAAAAUUGCGGCCAUUCUUGAAAACGAAGCAUCUUCCAUAGCGGCAGUCCGUGAUGAAAUUGAUGAGCUUAAGCUGGAGCUCAUAAGCAUGAAAUCUUUCUUAAUAGAUGCUGAAGGCAAGGAACCACAGACAGAAGGAGAGAAAAAGUGGGUUACAAGCGUCAGAGAUUUGACCUUGGAUGCGGAAAAUGUCAUUGAUGAGUUCCUGUAUCACAUAUAUGACCAGCAAAGUGCGACUCCAUUUGAAAAAUGGCUCCACAAACCAUUCACAUUCCAAAGAAUCUUUGGUUUAGGCAUCGAAUAGCCAAAAAAUUACAGAAAAUCACAAAAAAGAUCAAAGCCAUUCCUGAGAGGAAUCAGAGAUAUGGUGUCUCUACAAUAGAAGGAACAAGUUCGGAUAGUGUUCCCAGAUGGGUGAAGAACAAAGCCGAGUCUUCUCUUUAUAUUAUGGAAGACGAAUUAAUCGGGAUUGAAGACAAGAAGCAAACGUUAAUGGGAUUGUUGAUGAAUGGCGAGGAAAAUGAAAUGGUUGUGUCUGUGGUCAGGAUGGGAGGAUCAGGCAAGAUAACUCUUGUUGCCAAUAUCUUCAACAACGAAAAUGUAAAGCGGCAUUUUGACUGUUAUGCAUGGAUCACUGUUUCUCAAACUUUUGUGAUCGAAGACUUAUUCAAAAAUCUGAUCAAGCAAUUCCACCAAGGAAGAAAGGAAGAGGUGACUGCACAAUUGGAUUCCAUGAGUAACAAAGAAUUGUUAGAGAUGUUGUCGACAUACUUGAAGUCUAAAAGGUACCUAGUUGUAUUGGAUGAUGUGUGGGACAUUAAACUUGGCAAGAAAUAAGGAUACCACUUCUUAAUAGACAUCGUGGAAGUCGAAUCAUGCUUACAACUCGAAAGAAAGACAUAGCAUUCUAUUCUUUUGAAGUUGAAAGUCGUCAUAUUGAAAUUGAACCCUUGGGAAACAAUGAAGCUUGGGAGCUCUUUAGCAAGAAAGCAUUCUCAACUUACGAUAAUAAAUCUUGUCCACCAGAGCUUGAAUCCUUAGCAUGGAAACUUGUGGAUAAGUGUGAAGGCCUACCUCUGGCAGUGGUAACUUUAGGUGGUCUAAUGUCUUCCAAGAGGUCAUCAUUGGAAUGGAGAAGCGUAUAUAACAGCUUAAAUUGGCACUUGACUAACCAUCCUAUGCUGGAACCAAUGAGCAGCAUCUUGUUGCUUAGUUUCAACAAUUUGCACAACCGGUUGAAGCCAUGUUUCCUAUACUGUGCCCUCUUCCCAGAAGAUUAUCUCAUCAAAAGGAAAAGGUUGAUCAGGUUGUGGAUAGCUGAAGGGUUUGUUGAACCAAUUGAUGGGGUCACACCAGAAGAAGUUGCAGAUGGUUAUCUUGUGGAACUGAUUGUUCGUAGCAUGCUACAAGUUGAAAAGCAUGAAGCUGGAGGACUAAGAGCAUGUAAGAUGCAUGAUCUUGUGCGUGAGCUUGCUUUGUCGAUAUCAAAAAUGGAAAAGUUCGGUGCUACGUGUAUUGGCAGAGAAAUAGUAGAUAAAGUUGAAAUCCGCCGAUUGUCAAUUCAAACAACUGAAAGAGAAAUUAAUUCUUCCACAGGUAUGUAAGAGCUUCGCUCCUUUCUUGUCUUUGGCUCUUUAGAGAAAUUGCCUUCUGGAUUCAAGUUGUUGAGAGUUCUAGAUGUGCAGGAUGCUCCAAUUGAUAGAUUUCCAGAUGAACUAGUGUACUUGUUCAACUUAAGAUAUUUAAAUUUGAAGAGAACUUUUAUUGACGAGCUUCCAGAAUCCAUCGGACGGCUUCGCAACCUUCAAACCUUGAACAUCCGUGACAGUAAGAUAAAGGCACUUCCGAAAGUAAUCUCCAAGUUACUAAACCUACGUCAUCUAAUCAUGUAUUGUUACACUGGUGAUUGGGAGGCCUUUAGAUGGGCCAAUGGGACAAAAGCAGCAUCCGAUCUAAGUAAAUUACAGAAACUGCAAGUUUUGCAAUGUGUUGAAUCAGAAGGAAAGAUUGUUAAAGUCAUCAGGAAUAUGACCCAACUUACAAGCCUCGGUAUUACAAAUGUGAAAGCAAGUGACGAGAUGGACCUAUGUGACUCCCUUCAAACGUUAGAGCUCCUUCAACAUUUGUUUUUAAUGGCAAGUGAUGAAGAGGAGUUUCUUCGGGUUAAUGCACUACGUUCGCCCCUUGCAGACCUUCAAAUUGUUAAUUUGGCCCGAAAACUAGAAAAAGUACCUAUUUGGUUUGGUUCGCUCCAUAACCUGACACGCAUGCAGCUAAAUUGGUCUAGACUUGAAGAAGAUGUGCUACCUCACAUUCAAGCAUUGCCGAAUCUUGAAAGGCUUGGGCUAAUUAAUGUGUAUGUUGGCGAAAAAUUGUGUUUCUCCAGAGGCUUCAUAAAGCUCAAGCAUUUGAUGUUGCGCAUCUACCCCUUAUUGAAUAGUAUAGCUAUAGAGAAAGGGGUGAUGCCAAAUCUCCAGGUCUUAGACAUUGAUGACUGCAUGAAGUUAAAGACAUUGCCACAAGGCAUUGAGUUCCUUGCUAACGUAGAACGCUUGACUCUGCAGUCUGUUCCAAUGCAACUUAUAGAGUCCGUAAAAUGAGGCAUGGAUCAUCCAAAGGUACAACACAUUCCUGAAAUCAACCUGGAUUAUGGGUGGUAUCGUGAAAGCUUGUGGUAUUCACUCUCGUAGAAGGUACGCACCUUUUUAUCCAUGCAUAAAAAAUUUCCACAACAUAAUCAUUUGAACUAUUACAUUAGAAAGGUUGGUGAUUUUCACUCCUAUUUUUUCUUAGGAAAACUAAUGAAAAUGAUUUAAAAACUUUAAAACCUUUUUUCUUAUGCAAUUUUCCUUCUGUUUUUGUUUGUUAGUAUUUUGAUUUAUUUAAUUUUAAGGCUACAAAAAAGAGGAAGUAGUGCAUCAAAGUGUAAAAAUCAUUUUCCCUUAUAAUUUGCCUGUUCGAUCUUAUUCACAAGUCUGGCAAAGACAUAAUGUAUGCAUGCAUUGAGAUGUUUUUAGGUAAGCGUGUUUCUUUUGUUUUGUAAUAUCCUUUUGUAGAAACAAGCUUCAGAAGCACUUGUCGUGAGACUGCAGUGAGAUCUCCUUAUUGGCAAUUGAUUUUGCGGUGAGUCUCAACUUUCGUUAUAGUAUCAGAGCAGACUAUAUACAUGUUGAGACAUUAGCCCUGCAAGGAAGAAUCCAUUGUUUGUGUGGAGUUGCAAACAUUGCCCUUUAUGAAAUUGAAAAAUGCCCAAGAUUCUGUUUGUGUAACUGGAAUUUAUAUUACUGAUUGCUUGCGUGUGUUUGAUGUAUUAAUAUUGGUUUGGAAUUGAGGAACUUAUAUUACUGAUUGCUUGCGUGUGUUUUGAUGUAAUAAUAUUGGUUUGGAAUUGAAUCUGUCUCUGAUGAGACCAGUCCUAGCUUAAUCAAUGGUUAUGACCCAUUUUUCAUUUUCAAUAUAUAUUGUAUUAGAGGAAAAGAAGUGAUUUUUGUUAAGUAAAUAAACAAUAAGAAUAAUGCUAGGUACACUAAAUGAUGUGGCUAAUUACUUUUUUAUUUUAAUUCAAAUUAGAUUUGAUUAAUAAUUAUAAUAAAAAUUUAUAUAGUGUAAUACGUGUGACAUUAUUUAGUACAUAAAUUUAAUGUAUAUAACAUCACCCAAAUAAUAAUAAUAACGAUUGACCAAUUUGUGUAAAUAUUUUACUGUAUAAAAAAAACUAUAUUCAUUAAAAACCCACAAACCUCAACAUUCCUAAGCAAGUUAUUUUUAUUUUUUCAACAAACGAUAUUAUCUACACUAAGAGGGAAGGGGGUAAGCUAAGCCUCAUAAUGGGCUAGCAAUAAUGUGGUUCAAAUUUGUCUUUGGCAGAAUCAAAUCUAAGAUCUCUCACUUACAAGUGAAGAGGAAUACCACUAGACCGUAGUACUAAGCGGCAUGAAUUUAUGUACUUUAUCUUAAGACUAUUAACAAUGAGCGCAUUCUAGAAUUUAGAGGUUAUUGUGUUCAGUCCUACUCUCAUAAUGUCCUCAUUAGUCAUAAGAUUGUAUUAUUUUAGAUCUAAAGAUUUAAAAUAUUUGACAACUUAAUAGAGCAAAAUCAACUAAAAAUCCAUGAAGUCAUUUGGAAAUGCAUACUACACACCUGUUAAUGUAUGCAAGAGGCAACACCCAAGGUAUUCAUGGACAUUCAUCGGGUUUUGGUAGCCCUGAAGUCGGUUGGAGGUCAUGUAUGAAGCCAACUCUAAUCUUCAAAAUGGCAGCACUCAAGGUAUCCAUGGACAUUCAUCGAAGUUCAGAGGGUCAGCACCUAAGAUUUCUAUGGACGUUCAUCCAAGUUCGGGGGGUCAGCUUGUAACGCCCCGGUCCCGAAAUAUUUAUUUUAUUUCGAGAAAUAAUAAUAUUAGUGAUAGGCCCAAAAUAAAAAUCUUAUUUAGUUUAUUAACUUUAGCUAACAACUCCAAUUCAAAUCCUUCAUUCCACAAGCAAUUUAUAAGCAUUAUUCAUUCUUCCAAAACAUCCAAUUUAAAUUCCAAUUUAGUACCAUUUCUUUGUAAGGACCAAUUUCCAUUAUGUAACCUUUAUUCUUGAAUUAAUUUAACUUCACAUAUUUUAUGGCUGCAUCUAACGUCUUGUUAGACUGCCUACGUACCCUCAACAGGGAUCAAGCCUUUCGUAGUUCAAAAGUUCAAAGUUUCGAACCAAAGACAAACUAUUCAUUUAAUCCUACAUACACCACAAUCAUAUUAAUAUUUAAACCAUAAAAGUUAGAUAAAAAAAAAUAACCUACUUAAAAUAACGAAAUUCAUAUAACAACGCAAAUGUUAGCUCCUUGGCCGUGUGCCACCGCCCCCACCGCCGCAGGUGGCGGUUGGCUGCCCGACUCGCCGGAAAAUUCAACUAUUUCUAAAAUUUCUCAAAAAUUACAGAAAUGAAGAUCUCAAUGAGUAGAGAAACUUUCAUACCUGAAACCAAGGCCAAUUUUGCCUGGAAAGGAUCCAAUUUCAUCAAAACCCAUUGGAACCCUAGAAUUUGGGUGUCCUCAAUUUGACUCCAUAGCAACUCCGACGCCCAAACUAAUGAAUGGGCUUUGUUCCAGCUCUUAAGGGGAGUCUAAUGGUAGUGGCAUUGGACGUAAAUCAUUUCAAAUUUUGGUUAAUUUGGAAACCAUGCCACCGCACCCCCAACGUCCGGAUCUACCCAUUUCAAGCUCAAAUCCCAUGAUUUUUGAGGUGUAGUAAGAUAAGGGAAGGUUAUGGACGGUUUUACAAUAGUUAAUUUGGUGUAAUUCACGGGAAAAAUGACUAAAUUUUGUCGUACAAGGGCAAGGAAACACGACCGGGUCGGGUUUGGCCACUUGGGUCACGGGAUCCUCCGCUUCCCCCAUCCUCUCCUUUUUCCUCCUUUCUCUCUCUCUCAUUGGUCACCUCUCAUCCUCCCCUUUUCUGAUUGGCCCAUCUCUCCCUCCUUUCUCUCCUUUAUCUUCCAUCUCCACCGCCUAACUUUUCUUACUUUCAAUCUGGGCCACACACGUGGCCUUCCAGAUUUGGCUCCAAAAAUCUGGAGCAUUCUAGUAAUGGUAAAUUUACAAUUUUAUCCCCAACUUUAAACGUUAAUAACUUCUGCAUUCUAACUCCGUUUCAUGAACGGUUUGCGCCUACGCGUUCGUGAGGUCGAGCUCUAUUCAAAAAUAUAAAUCUUGACCUCGAAAGGUCUACGUAUUUUAAAAAAUAAAGGUCCAAACUUUAAACCUCGUAACUUGUUUAAUUUAAAACUAAACUUACACAAAUUAUUAUAAAUUCUUGAAAAAUCAUAUAAAAGCUCAGUUAUAUUCUCGAUUUAAUUCUUCAAAAUCAUCAAUCGAUUUAUUUUGAUUUUCUACACAUAUUCAUAUAUUUAAAAUUUUCAGGGUAUUACACAGCUGGCCCCCAUUGCCCCUUAAUGGAUCCGUCAGUGAUCUAAACUAAUAUAAUUUUGUGGCUAAUAUGCAUUUGGUCCUCACAAGUCAUCAAAAUAAAGACCUUACGAUAGCAUGACUCUAUGGUGUUUCCAACGAGUCCAGUUGAUAAUGUUCUCAUAUGAUUAACAACGAGCGCAUUCUAUAAUUUAUCAUCGGCCAACAUGGUCGGUCGAGUAUAAAUGUUUAGAAGACCCUAAAUUAUAUGUGCCUGGAGCUAGAUAGACCCCUAUUAGGAAUGGACACAAGAACAAAUGUUUGAGGGCGUAGGGUGAGAGAAUGACUUACAUAAUUUAGGUAUACUGUUACGUUUUAUGCCAAUAAUACAAUGUUGAUAUGUGUAAGUUUUUAUCUACAAAACAAUGUAUCACAUCAAUAAAAUGUCACAAUAAUAAUAUACUUGUGUCAUAUAAAUUACUAUCAUCAAGAGCACACUAAGCGGUGACACUACCAAUUAUUAUUUUAAAGACACAGUAGAGUAGGAUUAGGACAAAAACUCCGUAAUUACUUAGUGUUGUCAUUAAAUCUUGACCAUUCGAUCGAUCUAAGGGCUGUAAUCAAAAUCCGGGAGAGAGACGGACGCAAUCUCCGACCAGGAGUAUGAGUACUUGGCUUCGACAUCCUAUAUAUACAACGAGACACACCAUUUACAUGCAUACAUACAUCAUCGACGUUCAAGUUUCAAACCCUAACGUUGGCUCUUUCCGUCUUGUCUCGUCGUCUGUUUUUGUUCCUUCCAGAAAGGGGAAUCUGAAGAAUCCGACGGUAACGAUGUCGAUGAUAGAUAACGUGUUCAGGAUGAUGAUAACUUCGAGGACUGGUUUAUAACCAAACGCCAAGAGCUUCAGAACUCUGCGAGAGUCGCUAUGGAAGCUUUGCUCUCGGAACCCAGAAGUUUCCUGAACGUUUUGAAUUUGGCAAUCAAAUUGACCAAGGCAAUCGUAUUGGUGCCCCUUUGUGUGCUGGCCUUCUAUGCUGUGAUCCUGAUUAGGGUGGGAAUCGCUUGUUUGAUCUGCGUCCCAAUACUUUUUAUUAUUUUCAUCGUCCUUGUCGGUGUCCGUAAGUUACUGACCAUAGACUUCGACUUGCAAAUUAUGUAACUAUGAUUUCUAGUUGUUUGUUCGUUGCUCACCAACUGUCUGUUUAAAUGACUGAAUGAGCUUUUUUGUUUCGUUUCUUUUCUUGCAGGUUACGGUCGGGCACACUAUCUGUUCUUCACAAGACGAAACCGCGCGGGGAUGUCGUAUGCCGACUUCAUUGACAAGUUCGGCGCGUGGUUGACAAACAAUCCUCUUCCACCUUUCGAAUCAUUUGGUGAAUCCGCUCAACAUUGGGCACAUCACGUGUGGGGCUUCAAAUUGGAAGAAGAUUGAGGAAGAUUUCAGAGUUACUAUGGAAUGUAUGUAGAGAUUAUUAGGUUGGAUGACCAUAAAAUGAAAAUUGCUGCUUCUGUUUAUUUUUCUCUCUCUCUAUUAAUUUAAUUUUUCUUUCUAAAUAACUACGCCAUUUAUCGGAGAGCGUAUUGAACGACAUAGUAUCCGUAAGAACGACUUGUGACAUUACAAUACAAAAAAAUAAAAAUAUGAAGACCAGUUUGUGACAAAGUAUCUAGGAUUAUGGUUAAAGUAUAGCAUCUAUGUGUUAUUCUUCAUCACUUGGAAGCAACUUUUUUCAAUUAAUUACAGAAGCACGACAGUGAUUGAAACUUUAACAUAGAUAAUCGAACUAUUAGAGUCUAAGAAAAUUUAUUUGGCAAGGAAUUCGGAUUGCGAGGGUUAAAAGAGAGGCCAUACCCUCACUUUUUGUUAGAAACAGACUCUAUGUAUGUUGUUCAUCUCCUUUCAACUUGUUCUAUGAAAGUCCCCUUGUUUCUCAAAGCUGUUUAGGGCAAAUUGCUUAUGAUAUAGUGCUCGCUUAAGCUUGCAUUUUUUGCAUAAAUGUAAGGAGUGGAAUUGUUUGGCCAAUGAUUUUGCUAAUUAUGGUUAGGCAAUUUGGCUAACCGUCUUAGGUUUUAAAACGAUCUUUCACAAUCUUUUUCAUCACUUCUUGUUGCUUUUUUUAUUUUUUUUUUCUAGCGGUUGAUUGAAUAAAGAUUCCAAUAAAGCGUCGAUGUUAUUCUUAGGCUAAUUAGAUGUCUUGAGUUCAUUUUUGGUAGUUGUAUGACGUAGGUUGAUUGUUGGAAUCUAAAUUAUCUACGUUACGUUAAUAGAUCAUUGUAUGAAUUGACGAUCCGACCGUUGGAUCGUCACCAAACUUUAGUAGCUUAUAAUACGUAAUAUUUGAGGACCAUAGGAACUUACGGAUUGAGAAUCCAAUAUAUGGACCUUCCCAAAAUUGGAUUUGUAAGUUCAUAAAAUAAAAGGUUAACCGCCGCUUGGUUUUGACAAUUUGCGGAGAUCCGACCGUUGAGUAAUGGGACUGUAGGAUGUUGUUCUAGAAGUAUAAUGUGGAUCUUUGGAAGCAACGGAUUGGAAAUCCGUGAUGCAGAUCUUCCGAAUUGAAUUACGUAGGGAUGUGUUUUAUGUAAAUUGUGUAUUUUAUCGUUAUGAACUCUAAGAUGUGAUUUGAUAAUUGGUUAUAGGCGACGAUGGUUCGUGAUGUCUCGAUAUGCGUGCUAGAGAGUCGUGGCGCGGACCUCAGUUAAGUGGGUCUUUUUCUUUUUAUCGUACAUUAUAUAUAUAUAUGAUUGACAAUUCCACAACGUUUAUAAAAUUGCUUAUUGCGUAUAAUUAUUAUGAAUGCUUUGAAGUACUAAUGUGAACUACGAAUGGCUUGAUCCUUGUUUAGGGUACGUAGGCAGUCUAACGAGACGUUAGAUGCAGCCAUACAAUAUUUGAAACAGAAAUCUUGUUUGGGAAUUGAGCAAUGUGAACGAAAUUGGUGAAAAUAUGAGAUUUAACCUUAUAUUUUUAGUAAUUGGAUGUUGGUCAUAAAUCAAUGUGGAAGGAAUCAAGAAAUUGAAAUAAGGAAACAUAAGUAAUGAUAGUUAAUUAAACUAGUGUUUAGUUGGAUUUAUCCCCGAUAAUUAUUUCCGAAAAUAAAUAAUUCGGGAGUAGGGCAUUAUAGAUUGUGCAUUUUACACCACAUUAUAUAUAUAUAUAUAUAUAUAUAUAUAUGUAUAUAUUGGAAAAAUAUUAUGAUAUGGUUGAGUUUUAGAUUUGCAUUAUGGCAUAUCCAUGUAUAUAAUACCUGCACAUAAUUAUUGUCAACGCUUGAAGUGCAAGGGUGAAUGCAGGACACCCAGGUAAGUUCAGGUAAGUUUAUGGUAUUAGUUGAAAUGAUGGAGUUAUGGCAUGACUACAUGCAUGUUUUAAGCAACUCUGACACUGUCGUACGAGUUGCCCAUGAGUCGUACAUGUUAUGUUGAGAUACAUUGAGAGCUCAUAAACUUGCACCCCGAUGUUAGUGCUCCCGCCCGUGGCUAGGGCACAGUCCUUCACGUAAUGUUCACCUCCCACACCUUACGCUCACCUUAGAUCCAAGGUAGGUGCACAGUUCUAUCGUGCAGACCACUAUAGGUGGUUCUGACUCGUAGGUGACCUGCGAUUAUUCACACAGUCUUCAUGUGAUCGUAGCACUUAAGCGUAUUUAUUUACACUCAGUCAUGUCGUACAAACCGCUUUAGGUGGUUCCAACUUGUGUGCAGAGCUAUGGAUAAGUCGUACAGGUCACUAUAGGUGACUUCGAUUUAUGAGCUAGCAUAUGUGAUGAAAUAUGUAAUGAGCUAGCAUAUAUGAUGAGCUAGCAUAUGUGAUGAAAUAUGUGAUGAGCUAGCAUAUGUGAUGAAAUAUGUGACGAGCUAGCAUAUGUGAUAAAAUAUGGGUAAGUCGUACAGGUCACUAUAGGUGACUCCUGUUGGGUUUUUUUCUAGCCCAUGAUAAGUUGUCCUAAGUCUAUUAGGAAUUAAUAGUCUUAGAGGAUUAAAUUGUUUUCUCAAUUGGAGUUAGUUUCUCAAUUGGAGUAGGAUUCAUAACUAGAUUCCAAUUAGGAUUAAUAAUUCUUAUUGAAGAAGACCUUUAUUAUGUCUAUAUAAAGGGGCUAUUGUACUAGUUUUGAGGAGGGAGCAAAACAAUAAUUGUAUACCACUCUAGGGAUUAUAGUGAGAGAAUAUUGUAAAGUGUGUGCGAGAGAAAAGAAAAGAGAUAGUGUAUUACUUGUUCUUGUUCUUUCAGGUUUUUCGUCAAAUCCUAGUUCUAGAGAUUUGGCAAGAUUAUUGGUUGUACUCAUUAUUGAUAUAGUGAAAGAUUGUUGUUGCUGUCCCGUGGACGUAGGCACUGAAGGAUUAUUUUGUGAAAACAUGUUCAUUUAAGCAACAUCACAUAGCAUGCAAUUAACAAUUAAAGGCGGAAUCAUGCUUGCAUGCACUUAAAAACAAAACAUUAACCAAGAAAUUCAAAGCCUAGUAGAUUGGUGAACCAAGAUUCAACUCAAAUCAAAGUGAGUUGAGAAAUAUACCUUUGUAGAUUCCUCUUUGCAUAAGCAAAGGCUAAUCACCCAAAGAGAGGGCCUUCAUUCCUUGCAUCUUAAAUCUCUGGAUUUGGAUGGAUGAAAAGGUUUCUCCAAGUUCCCAAAAUUGAGAACCUCUAAGUAUCUUCACCAAGGUUAGAUUGGAGAAGAAAUGAGUGACCUUGGAGUAGUUAGUAUGGCUAGAUACACCCUCCAAGGGGCCGGCCUCUUUAGAGAGAAAAGGAGAGACAAGUUCUCACCAAUUUUCUCUAAAAGAAACCCUAAAUGAAUUUUGGCUAUAAAGUCAUAUUUAUACCUUUAUUCAUUUGAGUGGCAAACUUGUAAAUAAGUCCAAGUUCACUACCCUUAACAAUAUGGCCGGCCUUAGGGUGUAUUUGGGUUGUUUGGACCUUUGUGAAUAUUUAGUCAUUAAGUUGUCAUACAACUUAAGUCAAUGGGCUUAACGUUCGAAGCCCAUUGGGCCUUAAGGUCCAAAACUAUCCCGAGGUCUUUAACGAACUUAUUCGUUUGAUUAAUUAACAUAUUAAUUAAUCUUUGCCAUAAAUAAUUAAACCAUUUAAUUAUUUUUACUCAUCUCCAUUGUUUCUUCAAUCUCCACCUUACACGGUGUACGAUCCAUUAGGUUCCUUUUAGCGAGGCAGUGAGCGAUUCAAACUCUUUCAAAUCGAUUGUGAAUUGAAACUUACUUUCAAUUCUCCCUUUAGUGAUUAUACACGUUUAGGGCUUCCACAAACCAAGAGUGACACCUAGCAGCAUAUCAUGGUUACCCAAGCUAAUCAGAAGAGGUAGAGAACCUAUUCAGUUUAGGAUUACAAAUGCAAUACGGUCUUUCUCUAAUACAAUACUCUUGACCACAUUGUUUGGUUUGAUAGUUUAUUUAUUCAUGUCUACUAUCCAAUGUGAUUCGUGUGCUUAUAUGAUUACCUUGAAUGUGAUUUGGAACGCUUUCCUAAAUCUCAUUCAUACUCUGGCCAGAGGUUCUAAAUAUCAUAGAGUAUUCUCCCUCAAACAGUUUGAAUGUUAGAGAUCCCUUGUUGCGCAUUCACUUGCCUCCAUGACUAAGUGGCUUAACCCCAACGAUGCCAUGGACACCCCGAUGGGGUGACUUUGACAUAAUCAAAGAUCAAGGACUUAGCCACAAGACAACUGUGAUGCCUCAGGUCAAAGAACUACUUUGCAUUAUCCCAACCAUGAGUUCUCAUGUGACAUGAAUAUGAGAACUCUUCAUUGAUCGUGUUCAGUGAACUCAUUCUCUAUUGAGCACCUACGUACUUGUCUUGAUGUCACACACACCAAUAACUCGAGACUAGUCACUCUCCCUGAGAGAAGACACAGUGCGUACUGAUCUUAACGGACUAUCAAUGCCCAAUUGGCAAUCCUAUGAUCAGGAACGUUUAGGAUGUGUCUACGAAAGAAUGGUCUCAUGAAUCUAACUUCUUUAGAUCGUAUUCUCCCAAUCACAUAUUCCUUGGACUUUAUCGUUUAAGCAUAUAACAUUUAUAUGAGACGGCUUAAACAAUAAUCUUUGCCCUUAAUAUUAAACUAGAUUAGUUUAACAUAUGAAAUGUCCGUAAAGUAUCAUCAUAUGAUUGGCUUUAUGGCACAUUUCCAACAGGCACAUAUUGCCGAACCACGUAAAUUCUUGGUGUUAUUUAUAUUGGUUAUUUGUUUUCAAUUUCCAGAGUUUAUUCUAUUUUUCCCAUUCUUAAACGCGAUAUUCUCAACAACUCCGACUUAUGAGUUAACAUCAAUUAAUGAGAUAUGGGUACAAUCGUACAGGUCACCAUAGGUGACUCAGACUUGCAUGCUAGUAUGAGUUAUUAAUCACAUAAUUAUUGAUAUUGCUGAUGAGAUGCGGUGUUGUGGUAUAUUUAUGAUUUUUCUGGAAACUAUACAGGUGUUGUAGCGAGGGGUUAUAAUGUUUUAUAUGGUUUCUAUUAAAAUUUUAUCUCUAGGGCCACUCACCCUUGUUUUGUUUUCACCCUCCAGGUUUUAUUAGCUGAGCUUUCUUAUCAUCGAAGAUUCGUGGCGAUUCUUAGUAUUGGAGAUUCUUUCGAGGGUACGAUUCUUAAUCCACUCUACUAUACUUACUUAUGCUCUAAUGUCACGUGUGAAGUGGGUUCCUUCCCGAUCACUAGCGCACUCGGGUAUUUAGGCACUCUUAGGUUUAAAUUUAUUCACAUGUUUUCACAUCAUCACACUUUAUGGUUUCGUCACCUUCCAGGUGUAGGCCAGCGCAGCUCGAUUUGGAGUCCAAGUGGAUAUUCCGGGUCGGGGUGUGUUAAUGUAUCAAAAAAAGUAUUCAUUUAUUUAUUUAUUUUAUCUAAUAUAUAAAGCCAAUGGCCUAAUAAAUAGUGUUUUUGGGUGUCACAAGCUUCACCAAAAAAAAAAGGACAGAAAUGCCCCUCAAACAAAAAACUUCAAAAACAAUCCAAAUAAUGCAUCAAAUGUGGUAGGGGUAUUUUCGUCAUUUUAACAAUGUUUUUUAAUAAUUAAUUUUUUUGUACAUUUUUUUUUAAUAAUUAGUACCCCACAAUAAGCUAGCAAUAAUAUGAUUCAAUCAGUUGUUCAUUAAAUAUUAUUUUCUCUAUUUUUAAACACGUUCAAAACAUUUUAAGAGGCGUGUAAUGCCGAUUAUUAAAAAGGUCUUCCCCACGCGGAUAAUAAUGUGAUUAAAUUAGUUGUCAAAUGAUUGUUUUUUUUUAACAAACGAUAUUAUCUACACUAAGGUGGGGGAGUGGGUUUAGCCUCACAAUGAGUUAGUAAUAAUGUGAUUCAAUUAGUUGUUUAUUAAAUAUUAUUUUCUUUAUUCUUAAUGUAAAUUCAAUAGAUACCAAUUUUAUUAUGUGGAUUCAGCUGCUUUAAUUGGUUUAUGAGGGGUUUCUUCUAGCAUGAUCUAAGAUUAUUCAUUUACUUCAAAUAUAUUUGACUUUCCUUUUGUCAAUUUACGCAUAUAAAUACAUUUAAAACGUGUAAGUCGCGCAUAUGACGUCAUAAUUCAAAAAAUGUCUUCUGCACGAGCAUGCAUGAAGGAUAGUAUAUUAUAUGAGAAUGAGACCUAUAUAAAUAUUUUAUAAUAUAUUAUUUUACAAAUUUAGCCAACUUUUAAAUUAGCCCGUUAUAAACCGGCCAAGAAUAUUUAAUGGAUUUAUCGGGAAUUUUGAAUGACCGCCUCGUGCCCCAUGCACGGCCAGCAGCUCGAAUGAUCGCGGCUCUGCCUGAGUCCGACCGCGCUCCGGGCCAAGCGAACUGCCGUCGGAGCAGUGGAGUCGAAGCCUCACCGGUGCCGCCACAUCGCCACCACCGCGAAUAUUUUCGUGUACAGCACUCAGCCUACUAGCAUACACGCGCGCAAUUCGGGAUAGCUACGGCUUUGGUUAGUUCUUUGGCGCAUUUUAUCGAACUUUUUGUAGGCAAUUGAAGUUUUAUGUUAUUCUUGGUUCGUUUCGAAGUUGAAAGUGUUCGGCUUGAUUGAUUUGACUGUAUGAAAGUGAGAGCUCUGUGAUUAAGAUAUUAUUUUUGAAGGAAUAUGGUGUUUUAAUGGAGUUAAUUUGAUUGUUAAUUGUCUGCUUUUGUGUUUUUAGAUACAACGCAUAUGAACUGAAGAGAUUGGGUCAUAAUUAAUGUAGACAAGGUUGUGACUGUUUCUGUAUUUCCAACUUCGGAUAUGCAGUAAUAUGCAUAGUUGUUGCCUUCUUUCGGAUAUGCAGUAAUAUGCAUAGUCGUUGCCCACAGAUUACCGUGAUUACAAUAUUAGAAAUCUGCCAACAUGGUCAUCAAAAUAAAGACCUUACGAUUACGAGAGCAUGACUCUAUGGUGUUUCCAACAAGUCCAGUUGAUAAUGUUCUCACAUGAUUAACAACGUGCGCAUUCUAGAAUUUAUCGUCGGCCAACAUGGUCGGUCGAGUAUAAAUGUUUAGAAGAUCCUAAAUUAUAUGUGCCUAGAGCUAGAUAGACCCCUAUUCGGAAUGGACACAAGUACAAAUGUUUGAGGGCGUAGGGUGAGAGAAUGACUUACAUAAUUUAGGGACACUGUUACGUUUCAUGCCAAUAAUACAACAUCGAUAUGUGUAAGUUUUUCUCUACAAAACAAUGUAUCACUGCAAUAAAAUGUCACAAUAAUAAUAUACUUGUGUCAUGUAAAUUACUUUCGUGUAUCAUCAAGAGUACACUAAACGGUGACACUACCAAUUAUUAUUUUAAAGACACAGUAGAGUAGGAUUAGGACAAAAACUCAGUAAUUGCUUAGUGUUGUCGUUAAAUCUUGACCGUUCGAUCGAUCUAAGGGCUGUAAUCAAAAUCCGUGAGAUAGACGGACGCAUUCUAGAAUUUAUCGUCGGUCGAGUAUAAAUGUUUAGAAUACCCUAAAUUAUAUGUGCCUAGAGCUAGAUAGACCCUUAUUCGGAAUGGACACAAGUACAAAUGUUUGAGGGCGUAGGGUGAGAGAUUGACUUACAUAAUUUAGGGACACUAUUAAGUUUCAUGCCAAUAAUACAACAUCGAUAUGUGUAAGUUUUUCUCUACAAAACAAUGUAUCACUGCAAUAAAACGUCACAAUAAUAAUAUACUUGUAUCAUGUAAAUUACUUUCGUGUAUCAUCAAGAGUACACUAAACGGUGACACUACCAAUUAUUAUUUUAAAGACACAGUAGAGUAGGAUUAGGACAAAAACUCAGUAAUUGCUUAGUGUUGUCGUUAAAUCUUGACCGUUCGAUCGAUCUAAGGGCUGUAAUCAAAAUCCAUGAGAUAGACGGACGCAAUCUCCUACCAGGACUAUGAGUACUUGGCUUCGACAUCCUAUAUAUACAACGAGACACGCCAUUUACAUGCAUACAUACAUCAUCGACGUUCAAGUUUCAAACCCUAACGUUGGCUCUUUCCGUCUUUUCUCGUCGCCUGUUUUUGUUCCUUCCAGAAAGUGGAAUCUGAAGAAUCCGACGGUAACGAUGUCGAUGAUAGAUAACGUGUUAAGGAUGAUAGAUAACUUCGAGGACUGGUUUAUAACCAAACGCCAAGAGCUUCAGAAAUCUGCGAGAGUCGCUAUGGAAGCUUUGCUCUGGGAACCCAGAAGUUUCCGGAACGUUUUGAAUUUGGCAAUCAAAUUGACCAAGGCAAUCGUAUUGGUGCCCCUUUGUGUGCUGGCCUUGUAUACUGUGCUCCUGAUUAGGGUGGGAAUCGCUUGUUUGAUCUGCGUCCCAAUACUUUUCAUUAUUUUCAUCGUCCUUGUCGGUGUCCGUAAGUUACUGACCAUAGACUUCGACUUGCAAAUUAUGUAACCAAGAUUUCUAGUUGUUUGUUCGUUGCUCACCAACUGUCUGUUUAAAUGACUGAAUGAGUUUUUUUGUUUCGUUUCUUUUCUUGCAGGUUACGGUCGGGCACACUAUCUGUUCUUCACAAGACGAAACCGCGCGGGGAUGUCGUAUGCCGACUUCAUUGACAAGUUCGGCGCGUGGUUGACAAACAAUCCUAUUCCACCUUUCGAAUCAUUUGGUGAAUCCGGUCGACAUUGGGCACAGUACAUGUGGGGCUUCAAAUUGGAAGAAGAUUGAGGAAGAUUUCAGAGUUACUAUGGAAUGUAUGUAGAGAUUAUUAGAUUGGAUGACCAUAAAAUUAAAAUUGCUGCUUCUGUUUAUUUUUCUCUCUCUAUUAAUUUAAUUUUUCUUUCUAAAUAACUACGCCAUUUAUCGGAGGACGUAUUGAACGACGUAGCAUCCGUAAGAACGACUUGUGACAUUACGAUACAAAAAAAAAAAAGAAAAAAAAAAGCAGUUUGUGACAAAAUAGCUAGGAUUAUGGUUAAAGUAUAGCAUCUAUAUCUAUAUGUUAUUCUUCAUCACUUGGAAGCAACUAUUUUCAAUUAAUUACAGGAGCACGACAGUGACUGAAACUUUAACAUAGAUAAUCGAACUAUUAGAGUCUAAGAAAAUUUAUUUGGCAAGGAAUUCGGAUUGUGUGGGUUAAAAGAGAGGCCAUACCCUCACUUUUUGUUAGAAACAGACUCUAUGUAUGUUGUUCAUCUCCUAUCAACUCGUUCUGUGAAAGUCCCCUUGUUUCUCAAAGUUGUUUAGGGCAAAUUGCUUAUGAUAUAGUGCUCGCUUAAGAUUGCAUUUUUUGCAUAAAUGUAAGGAGUGGAAUUGUUUGGCCAAUGGUUUUGCUAAUUAUGGUUAGUCAAUUUGGCUAAACUGUCUUAGGAAACGAUUUUCACUCUUUUUCAUUCUUUUGCGCUUUUUUAUUUAUUUUUCAAGCGGUUGAUUGAAUAAAGAUUCCAAUAAAGCGUCGAUGUUAUUCUUAGGCUAAUUAGAUGUCUUCAGUUCAUUUUUGGUAGUUGUAUGACGUAGGUUGAUUGUUGGAAUCUAAAUUCUCUACGUUACGUUAAUAGGUCAUUGUAUGAAUUGACGAUCCGACCGUUGGAUCGUCACCAAACUUUAGUAGUUUAUAAUACGUAAUAUUUGAGGACCACAGGAACUUACGGAUUGGGAAUCCAAUAUAUGGACCUUUCCGAAAUUGGAUUUGUAAGUUCAUAAAAUAAAAGGUUAACCGCCGUUUGGUUUUGACAAUUUGCGGAGAUCCGACCGUUGGAUCGUAAUGGGACUGUAGGAUGUUGUUCUAGAAGUAUAAUGUGGAUCUUUGGAAGCAACGGAUUGGAAAUCCAUGAUGCAGAUCUUCCGAAUUGAAUUACGUAGGGAUGUGUUUUAUGUAAAUUGUGUAUUUUAUCGUUACGAACUCUAAGAUGUGAUUUGAUAAUUGGUCAUAGGCGACGAUGGUUCGUGAUGUCUCGAUAUGCGUGCUAGAGAGUCGUGGCGCGGACCUCAGUUAAGUGGGCCUUUUUCUUUUUAUCGUACAUUAUAUAUAUAUAUAUAUGAUUAACAAUUCCACAACGUUUAUAAAAUUGCUUAUUGCGUAUAAUUAUUGUGAAUGCUUUGAAGUACUAAUGUGAACUACGAAUGGCUUGAUCCCUGUUUAGGGUACGUAGGCAGUCUAACGAGACGUUAGAUGCAGCCAUACAAUAUUUGAAACAGAAAUCUUGUUUGGGAAUUGAGCAAUGUGAACGAAAUUGGUGAAAAUAUGAGAUUUAACCUUAUAUUUUUAGUAAUUGGAUGUUGGUCAUAAAUCAAUGUGGAAGGAAUCAAGAAAUUGAAAUAAGGAAACAUAAGUAAUGAUAGUUAAUUAAACUAGUGUUUAGUUGGAUUUAUCCCCGAUAAUUAUUUCCCGAAAAUAAAUAAUUCGGGAGUAGGGGGCAUUAUAGAUUGUGCAAUUUACACCACAUUAUAUAUAUAUAUAUAUAUGUAUAUAUUGGAAAAAUAUUAUGAUAUGGUUGAGUUUUAGAUUUGCAUUAUGGCAUAUCCAUGUAUAUAACACCUGCACAUAAUUAUUGUCAACGCUUGAAGUGCAAAGGUGAAUGCAGGACACCCAGGUAAGUUCAGGUAAGUUUAUGGUAUUAGUUGAAAUGAUGGAGUUAUGGCAUGACUACAUGCAUGUUUUAAGCAACUCUGACACUGUCGUACGAGUUGCCCAUGAGUUGUACAUGUUAUGUUGAGAUACAUUGAGAGCUCAUAAACUUGCACCCAGGUGUUAGUGCUCCUGCCCGUGGCCAGGGCACAGUCUUUCACGUAAUGUUCACCUCCCACACCUUACGCUCACCUUAGAUCCAAGGUAGGUGCACAGUUCUAUCGUGCAGACCACUAUAGGUGGUUCUGACUCGUAGGUGACCCGUGAUUAUUCACACAGUCUUCAUGUGAUCGUAGCACUUGAGGGUAUUUAUUUACACUCAGUCAUGUCGUACAAACCGCUUUAGGUGGUUCCAACUUGUGUGCAGAGCUAUGGAUAAGUCGUACAGGUCACUAUAGGUGACUUCGAUUUAUGAGCUAGCAUAUGUGAUGAAAUAUGUAAUGAGCUAGCAUAUGUGAUGAAAUAUGUGAUGAGCUAGCAUAUGUGAUGAAAUAUGUGACGAGCUAGCAUAUGUGAUAAAAUAUGGGUAAGUCGUACAGGUCACUAUAGGUGACUCCUGUUGGGUUUUUUUUCUAACUCAUGAUAAGUUGUCCUAAGUCUAUUAGGAAUUAAUAGUCUUAGAGGAUUAAAUUGUUUUCCCAAUUGAGUUAGUUUCUCAAUUGGAGUAGGAUUCAUAACUAGAUUCCAAUUAGGAUUAAUAAUCCUUAUUGAAGAAGACCUUUAUUAUGUCUAUAUAAAGGGGCUAUUGUACUAAUUUUGAGGAGGGAGCAAAACAAUAAUUGUAUACCACUCUAGGGAUUAGAGUGGGAGAAUAUUGUAAAGUGUGUGCGAGAGAAAAGAAAAGAGAUAGUGUAUUUCUUGUUCUUGUUAUUUCAUGUUUUUCGUCAAAUCCUAGUUCUAGAGAUUUGGUAAGAUUAUUGGUUGUACUCAUUAUUGAUAUAGUGAAAGAUUGUUGUUACUGUCCCUUGGACGUAGACACAUAUUGCCAAACCACAUAAAUUAUUGGUGUUAUUUAUCUUGGUUAUUUGUUUUCGAUUUUCGGAGUUUGUUCUUGUUUUUCCCAUUCUUAAACGCGAUAUUCUCAACAAGUGGUAUCAGAGCCUAGUUUGGUUGAUAUCCGUUUAGAAUGGAGGGUGCAACCCGCUUUAAUUGGGUUACAAGGAAAUCAAGAGGAGGAUAUGCUUUACUAAAGGUGUUAUGAGCAAGCCAGCAGUGUGUCUGAUGCUGAUUGGACCAAGAUGAACAUAAGCGAUAUUUUCUGGUAAAGAAGUCUAUAAUUGCCUUUGCCAAUGACAAUGGUAAUUUUGAUCAGGGGGAGCCUGGUCAAGAGAAAUCUAAUCAAAAGGGUCUUGGUUAAUGAGUAGUUCGAUCAAGGGGAGCUUGGUUAUGGGUAAUUCGAUCAGGGGGAGUCUAGUCAUGAAAAGUUCGAUCAAUGAGAGUUUGGUCAAGAGGAGCAAUCCUAUUUUAGUAUACCUUCCUCAUGGUCUGGAGGGGGAGAUUGUUGGGUUUUUUCCAGCCCAUGAUAAGUUGUCCUAAGUCUAUUGGGAAUUAAUAGUCUUAAAGGAUUAAAUUGUUUUCCCAAUUGAAGUUAGUUUCUCAAUUGGAGUAGGAUUCAUAACUAGAUUCCAAUUAGGAUUAAUAAUUCUUAUUGAAGAAGACCUUUAUUAUGUCUAUAUAAAAGGGCUAUUGUACUAGUUUUGAGGAGGGAGCAAAACAAUAAUUGGAUACCACUCUAGGGAUUAUAGUGAGAGAAUAUUGUAAAGUGUGUGCGAGAGAAAAGAAAAGAGAUAGUGUAUUUCUUGUUCUUUCAGGUUUUUCGUCAAAUCCUAGUUCUAGAGAUUUGGCAAGAUUAUUGGUUGUACUCAUUAUUGAUAUAGUGAAAGAUUGUUGUUGCUGUCCCGUGGACGUAGGCACAUAUAGCCGAACCACGUAAAUUCUUGGUGUUAUUUAUAUUGGUUAUUUGUUUUCAAUUUCCGGAGUUUAUUCUAUUUUUCCCAUUCUUAAACGCGAUAUUCUCAACAACUCCGACUUAUGAGUUAACAUCAAUUGAUGAGAUAUGGGUACAAUCAUACAUGUCACCAUAGGUGACUCAGACUUGCAUGCUAGUAUGAGUUAUUAAUCACAUGAUUAUUGAUAUUGCUGAUGAGAUGCGGUGUUGUGGUAUAUUUAUGAUUUUUCUGGAAACUAUACAGGUGUUGUAGCGAGGGGUUAUAAUGUUUUAUAUGGUUUCUAUUAAAAUUUUAUCUCUAGGGCCACUCACCCUUGUUUUGUUUUCACCCUCCAGGUUUUAUUAGCUGAGAUUUCUUAUCAUCGAAGAUUCGUGGCGAUUCUUAGUAUUGGAGAUUCUUUCGAGGGUACGAUUCUUAAUCCACUCUACUGUACUUACUUAUACUCUAAUGUCACGUGUGAAGUGGGUUCCUUCCCGCUCACUAGCGCACUCGGGUAUUUAGGCACUCUUAGGUUUAAAUUUAUUCACAUGUUUUCACAUCAUCACACUUUAUGGUUACGUCACCUUCCAGGUGUAGGCCAGCGCAGCUCGAUUUGGAGUCCAAAUUCAUAUUCCGGGUCGGGGUGUGUUAAUGUAUCAAAAAAACUAUUCAUUUAUUUAUUUUAUCUAAUAUAUAAAGCCAAUGGCCUAAUAAAUAGUGUUUUUGGGUGUCACAAGCUUCACCAAAAAAAAAAAGGACAGAAAUUCCCCUCAAACAAAAAACUUCAAAAACAAUCCAAAUAAUGCAUUAUAUGUGGUAGGGGUAUUUUUGUCAUUUUAACAAUGUUUUUUAAUAAUUAAUUUUUUUAAUAAUUAGUACCUCACAAUAAGCUAGCAAUAAUGUGAUUCAAUCAGUUGUUCAUUAAAUAUUAUUUUCUCUAUUUUUAAACACGUUCAAAACAUUUUAAGAGUCGUGCGAUGCCGGUUAUAAAAAAGGUCUUCCCCACGCGGAUAAUAAUGUGAUUAAAUUAGUUGUCAAAUUAUUGUUUUUUUUAACAAACGAUAUUAUCUACACUAAGGUGAGGGGGUGGGUUUAGCCUCACAAUGAGUUAGUAAUAAUGUUAUUCAAUUAGUUGUUUAUUAAAUAUUAUUUUCUUUAUUCUUAAUGUAAAUUCAAUAGAUACCAAUUUUAUUAUGUGGAUUCAGCUGCUUUAAUUGGUUUAUGAGGGGUUUCUUCUAGCAUGAUCUAAGAUUAUUCAUUUACUUCAAAUAUAUUUGACUUUCCUUUUGUCAAUUUACGCAUAUAAAUACAUUUAAAACGUGUAAGUCGCGUAGGACGUCAUAAUUCAAAAAAUGUCUUCUGCACGAGCGUGAGUGCGUGCAUGAUGGAUAGUACAUUAUAUGAGAAUGAGACCUAUAUAAAUAUUUUACAAUAUAUUAUUUUACAAAUUUAGCCAACUUUUAAAUUAGCCCGUUAUAAACCGGCCAAGAAUAUUUAAUGGAUUUAUCGGGAAUUUUGAAUGACCGCCUCGUGCCCCAUGCACGGCCAGCAGGUUGAAUGAUCGCGGCUCUGCCUGAGUCAGACCGCGCUCCGGGCCAAGCGAACUGCCGUCGGAGCAGUGGAGUCGAAGCCUCACCGGUGCCGCCACAUCGCCACCACCGCGAAUAUUUUCGUGUACAACACUCAGCCUACUAGCAUACACGCGCGCAAUUCGGGAUAGCUACGGCUUUGGUUAGUUCUUUGGCGCAUUUUAUCGAACUUUUUGUAGGCAAUUGAAGGUUUAUGUUAUUCUUGGUUCGUUUCGAAGUUGAAAGUGUUCGGCUUGAUUGAUUUGACUUUAUGAAAGUGAGAGCUCUGUAAUUAAGAUAUUAUUUUUGAAGGAAUAUGGUGUUUUAAUGGAGUUAAUUUGGUUGUUAAUUGUCUGGUUUUGUGUUUUUAGAUACAACGCAUAUGAACUGAAGAGAUUGGGUCAUAAUUAAUGUAGACAAGGUUGUGACUGUUUCUGUAUUUCCAACUUCGGAUAUGCAGUAAUAUGCAUAGUUGUUGCCUUCUUUCGGAUAUGCAGUAAUAUGCAUAGUCGUUGCCCACAGAUUACCGUGAUUACAAUAUUAGAAAUCUGCACGUUGCCCGCGGAUUACCAUGAUUACUUUAUUAGGCACGAUGCCUUAUUUGGCCACUGUGGAAGAGGCAGUUGCCUACUCUGCACGGUGCUACUAAAUGUAUUGGAUUGACCGUUAAAAACGUGAGUUUUUAGUUUCAUUUUUGAAGAUCUUAGUACCUAUCUUUGCAGUCAUGUAUAUAAAUUGGUUUACACUUUACAAUACUGAAUUUUAAUUCAGCUCGAACAUUUUAUGGAACUCUAGUUGGUUUUGGUGUUACCAAUCAUCUAAGUUCAGACGAGGCUUUGUAUGGCUAUAAUUUUUAUGCCGGAACAAGUGGAGCUUGUUCAUUGUGAUUAUAAGGCAUGUGAAGGAUGAGAAACAUUUCUUUCAUAUGAAGAUACUCGCCACGUAUUCGUUUAUAUAUGUGUGAGAGAGCGCUUCUUCACACGAAAUCAUCAUUCUAUUCUUCUUAUGUGCAAAUGUGUUGCGCUGAUAAAAGAUGAAUACUUGGGGAGAUGAUGAUUGUAACAUUGAGUAGAAUAUCUAAUUUUCGCUUCAGCAUAUAGAUGAACUUAGGAUCUCACUGUUCCAGAACUUGCUGUUUCUCUGAUUUGCAUAUUGAUUUGUGACAGAAUCUUAUGGCUUGCGUUUUCUCUCGUGAGCAGGUUGUGUAUACUGAUACUUAAGAGGAUUUUGUUUUUAUUCUAUCAUUAAACAGGAUAUUCUCGUUGGGUUGCUGCAAUUUAGGACAUACAUCCAAAACCAGACCAAGUGGAGAUUGUGCGGCAAAUGAAGGAUGGGAAACAUUUCUUUCAUAUGAAGAAACUCGCCAGGUAUUCCUUCCAUAUAUUUGAUAGAGUGCUUCUUCACACGAAAUGAUCAUUCUGUUCUUGUCAUGCGAAAUAUGCGUGUCUCGGAUUUGCUUAGUAAUUAAUUUGUGCACAAGUUCUUAUGGCUUGAGUUUUUCCAGGUGAGCAGGUUGUGUAACAUGAUUUUGUUAUUAUUCUUUUCGUAAACAGGAUUUUCUCGUUGGGUUGCUACGAUUAAGAAAGUGAGGCCAGAAUACUACUUGUCCCAGAUGAAUGAUUAGUGCUCUGGUGAUCGUGAGCUCCAUGUUUAUGGGACUGCUGUUCCAGCGCAUGGGUGAAUUCUGACAAGCUGCAACACCAGGUAAUGUAGCUUGUACAUCAACUGUUUUAUGUUACCGUUAGUGUUGAGAUUAAUUUAUUGGGUAAUAAUGUACUCUGAUUGAUUCAAACAGGAUUAUGGUACCCUGGAGGAGGCCGAGCGGAUUGCUAGCGGGGAGCAUCGAUAGAAAAAGAUUGCCUGAGCUUGAAGGGAAACAAUCCAAAAAAAGUACAACAAAUGACUGAGACUUUAUUGUUAGCACAUUGAAUUGGACGACGUUCAAAGAAGACAAAUUUUCAACAGCAAACUUGAACCAGAAGAACCUCUUAACGAAUCUAUGUAGCUAUUUUUCUUAUUACUUUUUAAUUCUCUGUUCUUGAUGUUGAUUUCCAUCUUGCUCUUCCGGUUCAGACUGUGAACAACAAAACUGAAUCAAAAGAACCACUUGAGGAAAUCUACCAAGCUAUUUUUCUUGUAUUACAUUUUGAUUCUUCAAUCUUGAUGCUGAUCUUGUUCUUCCUCUUCAGACUGUAAUCCUCGAAAGCUACAAUUAUUGGCUACCAAUUGAAAAGUUUCAGUUAGAAACUCUUUCGUUGCAUACGAAUAAGCUCUGACAACUUUGCUGACAAAAAUUGUCAUCUGUCUCAUGAAAUUAACCCCCUCAAACAAGUAUGGACACAAGAAAUUUGCAGCCUCGCCUAUGAAGAUAAUGCACUGGACCCCCUUCGAAAAAUAGCCAACUAAGUCAAUGAAAGCUUUCAGGUCUUGGGCUGCUUUUGCUUCCAAAAACGAGCUUCGCAGAUUUGAUUACAUAUCGAAUUACUUUCUUGAUGUCACCCACCAAAUUCUUGAACAAGUCCGCAGUUUUCCACCGCUCAGAGGACCAAUAUUUUUCCGGUGAUGGGUUUUCCGGCCAUACACUUUGUAACGGUUGCAAACUCUGCGCUCAAUAGUGUAUCGACUUCUGAUCGGGUUGCCCCACGUUGAUCAUUGUCGAAAACCUUGAUGAGUUCUUGAAAACAUUGCAGGUCUGACCUCUCUUCAUCCCCUCGAAGCUUUCCAGCAACUGAUUGUUUAACAAACUCGAACUCAAACUCAAACUCAGACAUCAGUAGAAUAUCAACUUCUGACUUCAUGGAUGGAUUCUGCUUUUGUUCCAUUAAUCUCGAACGCCAUCUUGGUCAGUUCUUGUUCGUCUACUCGGUCUCCUGACAUUGUUGUUCUUUCUUUCGACGAAUGAUCUUUCUGGCGAAAGAAUCAGCGUGAGUGUGACGGAGAGAGGGUCUCUGUAAAAAGAAACCGAGAGAGAGAGAGAGAGAGAGAGGGGGGGAGAAACGAUUUUUGAUUUUGGUACGGUGCGUAGGUGUGAAUUUUGCGAAGAAGUUCAAUAUAUACUAAAACUGUUUAUCAACUGAAACUGUUUAUAAACACAGUAUAGUUCCGAUUUUACCCUUGCUUGGUUUGUGUUAUGAAUUCUGAUAUUUUGAGUAUAAUUUUGGUUUUUGGAAUUUCGAAUUUGUACCCUGACCUUGCUCUAAUUAAUUUUAAUUUCGUCAGUUGUUGUUGGGUUUGAGUAAAUUUCGAACCUUUUGUUUUCGUUCUUAAAAUUUUUGAGUUCUAUCUAUUAAAUAUUUGUUAAAAGACCCGAAUUUUCUAUUUGAACAAUUUGUAAAGCCUAUGAAAACUAAACAAAAAGUCAUAUGAUCUGUGAUUUCUUCAUUCCUAUAGGUGUAGAAGCUCUGUUCUCCCGUUUUUUGGCCAAUUUCAAAGGCUCUGAAUUGCUUAAUUUUCUUUAAAAAUAUUUUCAAUUUCAAAUAUAUUUUUUAUUUUUUUUUCGGUUUUCUGAUUUCUGGUUGUGUUUUAGGGCAUAAUAGUGGGAGUUUGAAUAAUGGAGCUGCAGCCAUGCAAUGGAGUAUAGCAGGAGGCAGAGGACCUUUCACUCCAUCUCAAUGGAUGGAGCUAGAACACUAGGUCUUGAUCUACAAAUACAUCCCAAUGUGCCUAUUUCGUCCACACUUCAUCCCAAUCAAGAAGGCCCUUAAUUCUGCAGGAUUUUUUUAUAUUUUCGAACGGAAUUCUCAGGCGCGCAAUUCAUAUAAUUUCUUCAUUUUACUAAAAAAAAAAAAGAUUUCCGCACACUUCACUUUUUUUUUCUUAUGCACGUGUUUGCUUAUUUUGUUGUUUGAUUUUUGCUUGAUUUUAUUUAAUUCAAAAGCUAGAAAUAAAUCUAAAUUUUUCAUGCCUUCAUUCUAAGUAUUUUUUCGAUUUUCGUGGGGUUGUGUAUGUGCAAUGAGAUGGGGUUCUAUCCAUUUGGGAUUCUCCAAUCACUGUGAAUUACAAGGAUUUCAUAGAUAAUGUACAGAUUAGGGAUACACUUGAGCCUAGAUAAGCAUGAAAAGCAUACGGUUUUGCUUCACCCAUCUAAUCAUAGAAUUGGGUACCAUCAAUUCAAAGGUUGUAGAACCAGUUUCUACAAUGAAACCGUAGUUGGCUGCGUGUGUUUGUGUUCAUUGGGAAUUUGGGAGAGAUUUGUUAUUGAGAGGGUAAGCCAGGCAAAAACAGAUUGAUAGUGUUGAGGAAUUGGGUAACAGUUUAAUUAUGUGUACAAUGAAGAAUCACAUAUGUUAUUAUUAAAAUGGGUCUGCACAAAUUUUGCAUAAUAUGAAGUCACCGUAAAUAAAUGGUUUUGCCAAAAUUAUUUCUUAUUUUGUUCCUUUUUUGUAAAUAGGGUUGUAAGAUUUCCACAUGUAUGUAAAUAGUAUUGCCUAUCAUAUAUACAUUUAUAACUUUCUAUAUAUGUUUUAUACGGUUUUAAAAACCCGCAGCAUCGCGUAGGGACACUUUCGCUAGUAAGGCUUAAAUGUCAAAAUGGUCCCUGUGUGAUAGGAUCAGACAUGAUAAAAAGGAAAAUUGCAAGAAAGUAAAUGCAGAAAUGGAAAAUAAAUUAAAGUAAAUUCAUAUCUUCAUUCAUAGUACUCAUUACACUAGAAAAAAGAGUUUAAAUACAUCCAAAGAUAAGUAGGGUUCGAGCUAUAGACGGGCCUAAUGGUAUUACAUAUGUAAUGGGUCUAAUGGUAUUACAUAUGUAAUGGGCCUAAUGGUAUUACAUAUCUAAUGGGCCUAAUGGAUAGUAAUAACAUUAGGUGGUCCAACUAGUCAUAACCGAAGCCUAAUAGCUUAGAGUUGCAUCAUUGUGUUAUAAUUAUAUGGCCAAUUUAAUAUUUGGCUAAUUUAGUCCCCGUGUCUAUCUAUGUUAGCCAAUUAAGGACAUUUCAUUCAAUCUCUUUUAAAAAAUUCAUAAGAAAAAUUAUAUGAGAUAUAAUUACCCUAACCUUUUACAUAAAAAUAACACAUAUAAGAAAUAAAACUUCCAAUCUGAAAAAUGUUUAAGGUUGCGACGUAGAAAAGAGAGGAGGUAAUGUUAGGGAGGAGGUCGGGAAGUUGGAAGGAGAAUAACUUCUUUUUUCUUUUUUUUUUUAAUUUUAUUUCAUUUUUAAAUAUUUUAAAUCAAAUAAAUAAUUUCAUAAAUAAGUUUAUAAUAAUUUAUAAUAAAAAUGGAGUUUUAACGAAAAGCUCCCAGAACUGUUCACUUUAACGAAAAACCACAUUUUUACUCUAAAAAUUCAAUUUUGGUACUAUUCACUUACAACAUUUUUUUGUCGUUUUCGUUAAAACUCAAAGUUUUCAAGCUCUUUUUAUUAAUUUUCCUUAAUAAAAAAUUACAAAAAUUAGAUGAAAAUGUUCUUAAUUGGCUAACGGAGGUAAACACAAGGACCAAAUUGGCCAAAUUGAAAAUACAGAGACUAAAUUGAUCUAAUGACUAAAACACAUGGACUAUUUUAACAUUUAAGCCAAGAAAUAAUAUAUUUUAACAUUUACGCAUAUAGAUGAGUUUCCCAGGACAAGAAAAUCUCUACCCAGCAAGUCAACACCCUGCCUUCUCUUCUCAAAACCUUGCCUGGCAGGCAGCAUAAAUGCUGCUGCAUACACCGGAAACUUAUUAUGGGGCCAUUCUAUUUGGGCUUCUUGUUUAUUUUCUGAUCUUAGGCUCCACUCGCUUGUCUUUACUCUCUUAAUCUACCCAGAUUUUGAAGUUCCCUCCCAUAAUGAUCGGUCCAAUUCAAUAAAGAUCUUGAUUUUGAAAUCUCUUUCCAGGGACCAGCUCCAGCAGGACCUAAGGCCAUCUCCAACCGAGGGCUGGCCAGAGGGCUCGUUUUAGCCCUCUGGCCCUCCAAGAUUCCCCAAGAUAUUAAUAUUUUAAUGAACAGUACAGGGCCAUAUUUGCCUCCGUCUCCAACCGAGGGCCAAAAGGCUCGUUUUAGCCCUGUCACGAAAAGCCGUCUCAAACCGAGGGUCAAAGGGCCAUAGGGCCAAACAUAAUUUAUUAUUUAAAAACUACAAUUUAAUGUUGUAUAAAUAGCUUAGGAAGUUAUACGAAAAAAAUAGAAUUGAAAAAAAAUAUGAAACAAAUUUUGUGAAAUAGAAGUUAUAGGAAAACAAAUAUGAAACAAAAUUUGAUUCAUAUGAAAAGGAAAAAAAAGGGAAAAAUAGAAGUUUAAAUUCAUUAAAAAAAAAAAAAAGGCCUAAUAAUCCAACGGCUACUAGCCGUUAUAUUAAAAAACAUUUCAAACUAUUAGUGUCGGUUAUAACCGACACUAAUAGUAGAAUUAUUAAAAAAAAAUAUCUUUAAUGUUGUCGGUUAUAAUCGACAGCAAUAGGAAAUCAUUAAAAAAAAAAUAGCCAGCCCGGGGCUGGCUGGCCGGCCGAAAGCAACCAGCCCUCCAGCCCUCUCCGAUCCCGUGGGGCCCUCCCAGAUUCCAGAUCCCUCUGGCCUAGCCCUCGGUUGGAGACGGUUUUAGGACUAUUUUCAGCCAUCUGGUCCUCUGGACCCUUCGGUUGGAGAUGGCCUAAGUCGCUAGGCAGGAACCAAGCUUUGGUCUCUGACGUGGUUGAUACGAGCGGCUUAGCCUGUGUAGGCCUUAUAAUUUUGGAAUGAGCAAGCUCCUGAGCAGCCUCAGUCAUGACAUCAAGUAUCAAUAUGCAUUGACUGAUAUCCAUUUUAGGUGAAUAAAGUAGUUUGUUUAAUGUCUCAACAGAUUCCAAUGGGCAUGUGACAAGCAAAUCAACCAAUGCUUUUUGUCUCGUCUUCAGCUGAUCUUCCUCACCUUCUACAGCCAAGCCAGAACAACGAAGCUGGACAAGUGUUCUCACAAAAUCACUGGCUACGUGCUUGAGCUCAUCAGGUGAUGCUCGGACAAGUUUUUCAGCAACACCAAGAGCAUUCUCCACCUGCAAUAUGAAAAUAAAAUUAAUGAUCCAGGAGCCAAGGAUAAUAUUCAUCCCGCUUGUGUAAUUUACUACCAAUGUUCUAAAAAUCGGCCUAGACGACGCUAGACGGUGAAGGCCCGCUGCGGGGCAAAUCAUUUCGAAAAGUCAGUCUAGAGCUAGGCAGUCCUAAACGACUCCUAGGUGGCAGGCUAGGCGGUCCUAAGAGGUCUUUUUAUUUUUAUUUUUUAUAAUUAAUUGCGUGCUUUCUUUUUUUGGUUUCAUGGCGGUAUAUUUAUAGAAAUGGUGUACCUAAUUUGCAAAUGAUGGAUUUACUACAAGUUCAUUCACUAGUAAAACGAAUUGGAGCACCUUUGAGGAGAUACAUACAAAGAAAAGAAAUAAAUUAGAUACAACAAGGUUAAAUAAUUUAGUCUAUUUCCAAUCCAAUGCAAGGAUCAUGAACAAGAAGAAUUUAGUCUAUCAUCCAAGAAUACUCCUUAUUAUGAUUAUAUGCUUACUGUUUUUUAAAUAUUGAACUUUUUGGAUGUAUAUACUUUGUGUAUUCUUCUACUUCUAUUUUUGCAUUUUAUCAUUCUUUUAUUAUCCAUACAAGUAUAGUUUUUUUUUUUAAGUGUAAUUAAGCACUUAUUUACAAGUUAUAUAAUAAAUUUAUAUAAAUCCGCCUAGGCCGCCUGGGCGCCCACCUAGACCCCGCCUAGCCGCCUAAUCACUAGGCCCCGCCUAGCCGCCUAGGCACUAGGCCCCUACUCUCCUCCCGACUAGCGCCUAACAUUUUUUAGAACUUAUGAUUAUUGUAAGAACAUUUGACAAAAUUUUAAACCAAUGAACAUGGUUUACUUACCCUAUCAGCAUCAUCAGAAUUCCGAAGUGCAGCAACUACGUCGACCAAUUGUGAAAUUACACAAGCGGGAUGAAUAUUAUCCUUGGCUGCUGAAAAUUACACAAAUCAUAUGGCUGUAAAGAUGACUCACUUGAAACAUCAGACUCAUUUCAUUAGCAUCGUCAUUUUCAUCGUCGUCCGAGACCGACUCGUAGUUUAGUGCAAGUGGAUCAACCAACUUAGAUUCAUAUGAUUUCCAAUUUCUACUCGUACCAUCACUAGAUUUAUGGGGUUAAGCCCUUUUUCAGCACUGAGGUAGAUGUUUCAGGAUUGUCGAUACCCUGUUGUAUGCAAUUUGACAUGUCAUCAAAAUAAAGACCUUACGAGAGCAUGACUCUAUGGUGUUUCCAACAAGUCCAGUUGAUAAUGUUCUCACUAGAUUAAUAACGUGCGCAUUCUAGAAUUUAUCGUCGGCCAACAUGGUCGGUCGAGUAUAAAUGUUUAGAAGACCCUAAAUUAUAUGUGCCUAGAGCUAGAUAGACCCCUAAUUUAUAACCUUUUGAUCUUGCUUCAUCUGCAGCUAAACCAAAAUCUGGACAGUCCCCAAUAUAAUUCUGUCAAAAACCAGAUAGCAACACCAUGUAAAAGCCAUAUUGGGUGUCUACACCCACACUUAUCAAUUUACACAAAUUUGAAAUUUGAAUCACUUGGACUUCAAAAAUAUUUGCACAGAAAUUCAAAAGAAGAUGAACAGUACUGGGCAAUUGAGACUCACCUAUAACUGCUACCGAGCUAUGCUGCACGGAAUAGUGAUGCACCGUGAAGAGAACUCGGCGCUGUUGACAAAGUCCCAGAAUAACCUUGAAAUUUAUAGGGGUCAAAUUUUAUAGCCGAAGGAGCAAUCAUUUACUGAAUUAUAAAGAAAAACCCUAAAUAAACAAUCAAUCAAACAGAACCAAAUCAUAUUUACCAGCUUCAAAAUUUUGAAAAUUUUCGUACUAAACCCAAUUAUAAAGGGAAUGAGUGUACUGUGUACCUAAUGAAGUAUUACACCACUGUUGAUGGCAGACUGGGUAGUGCAUGCAGCAUCAGUAUGCACUCCAUAAUUGUCUCUCUGUUUUUUCUAUAUGACAAAUGAUUUGGGAAUUAAUAGGGGUGCAAAAUGGAUAGAACCAAGAAUUGAAAUCAAGAGAAAACACACAUCCAAUUUGAUAACAGUCAAACUGCUAGUGUGGUGCAAAAUGAGCAAUUUUAAACUCGUAAAAUAAUUUGUACCCCUCUUCCCCCAUUUUCUGUGCAAUUCACCACCUAAACAAUGCAAUAAAAAACCAAAUGGAGGGAUUUUACACAUACAUAUAUCAUUCUGUCUCUCAAAUUUACACCAAUGAUGCAUGCAUGAACCUCAAUUAAUCCCGUAUUGCGAGUGAAAUUUCCAUUUUUAACCACUAAAUCAGAACAACCACUGCCGGGGAAGCAAACAUGAGCUACUUUCAUAAAAAAUUUAAAUUAAAGACAUAAACUUCACACAGCUAGAACCUGACAACCAGCCUAUAAAUUAAAACAAAAACCAGGCUCAAACAUAUGUAUUUCCAUAGAUGCAUGUAUAAAGCUGUACAUACACACCUGUAUAAUUGUGUAACCACAGAGGAUUUGGGAAAGCUUUCAACAUACCUGUGUAUCGCAGUAGCAAGUUGAAUUGCUAGCUUUCAUCCCUUUUUCGGGCCGGGUUUUGCAGCAUCUACAUUCACCUAUAGCGUUUAAAAUUUUCAGUCAGAGAGCAAGAAGAAACGUAAUAAAAUGCUCCAAAGGGUAAACCCCAGCAAGCAAUAGAGUAUAUAUUGAAUGCCAUAUGGCAAUUAAGAGUCAAAGGUACCUUAAAAAUAACAUCUCUAAAAUCAAUUUACCAAACCCCUAAAUCUAACAAUUUUAACAAAUACUAUAGCAUCAAUUGAUUUAACCCUAUACACACUUAAUUUCUAGCCUAUCAUCUACGAACAGAAUAAGUACAAUCUUCCUAGCCUCUGUCAUUAGCAAAUAGCAGCAGGGCAAGUUACAAUUGAUCAAUAAUAUUUCAGAUAUACAAAGUUUUAAAUAUGGUUCUAGUCAAAUGUAGAAAACUAACAUCUCUCCUUUUCUCAGCUAAUCCAUUUUUGCAUUUCCAACCAAUAAUCGAGAAAGUGAGGGGAGGGCGCUACAAAGAACGCAUAAGAAAAGAAAGAAAUUACAUUUGUGAUCAACCAUCAAAGUAACAAACCACAGUGAAAAAUCAAAUAUUUGGCUUCGCAUAGAGAAUUAAUUUUGUUUAAUGGAAUAAUACAAAAUCCCAGCCAAACAUUUCACACAACCAGGGCCAUCUAUUCCAGUUUCCAAGCUUCAUUCACAGAAAAAGAAUUGGGGCCAAUAUCGAUAAUGCCAUGAAAAUUAAGACGAUUUCAUAUUUGAUUUAGUGAAAUUUCACACAACCUAGAAAAUAUCAGCACAAUUUCAGGCCAAAAAUAAAAUGCAACAAAUAAAUAGGCCGUGCAAACCUAACCGCAUUGCACAAAAGAUUCGGAAAUGAUUUUUACCUUUUCAAUCAAUUGAUGCAGGCAUGGGCUUCGGUUAUGGUUCAGUCUCUGCAGGCAUGGCUUUCGGUUAUGGUUGUCUGGUAUAUUGGUUAUACACAAUGAUCAAUCACACACAAAGUUAUGAUAACACUUGAAAGAAUAAGGCAAAUCAAGAAGGAUAUUUCACUCAAAUUAGAUCAUACACACACUGUAUCGUCCUCUAAAUCCUAAGAGAAAAAGUGUGAACACCACAACCUCAGGUUCAAAAAUAUUGUGACUGAUCUAUAAAAUAUAGCAUAUCAUUUCAUUAGACCUAGCCUAAAUUCAGGUGCUUAAGCACAUUAAGAUAUAAUUUCUACCUAAAAGGAGACACCACAACAGCAGGAACAAGGCUUUAUAACUUUUUCUUUUCUGGCAAGUAAAUUAAACUGCCCCAAGCUAAUACAAUAGAAGCUUACUUUUCAACGGGAAGCUAGCUGUACUGUGAUCUUCCAUGAACCUACUAAAAUGGAAACAAAUUUCUACUCAAAUUGUAAGAAACAACAACAACAAAUUUCUACCCAAAAUAUAAAAAAAUGAAAAAAAAAACCCUAGCAAAUUCAUGUUAUCUUCAUUAUAAAGAUGCUUUUGGAGAAGAUAAACUAAAUGCAUCCACACAUCUGUAAACACACACACCCAUUUACUGUUUGAACAUCUGCUUCUCUUCCCAAUUUGCCAGAUGUUCCAAGUUCACCUAAUGAAAGAUAAAACAAUUACCAUUAGAACUAUCUUAUCAACGACUGCAAUUCCGAAACGGAUCAACACAGGCUUCGAAACACAUACAAAUCAAAAGGUAAACUCUACAACCUUAGAAACUUUAUUAAUAAGAUAGUUCAACACAGGCUUCGAAACACAUACAAAUCAAAAGGUAAACUCUACAACGCUUGCGGGAGGAGAUGACGACGGAGGCGCCUUCAAGAGCCGAUGCCUUGAGUGGAAGCCGUCACAAUUGCUACCUUGUCGUCAAAGGGUAAUAGGCAAACAAUAAAAUACAAAUUCAACAAAUCGGGAAAAAGAAAACAGAAAAGGAAAACCUUACACCCGAUGCUAUAAUCUGGAGGUGGAGCAUGGAGCUGCAAGCUGAGAAAGGGUAGACUGAGAAUGGCGAGAGAGAAUCGGCGAGGGAUUUGAGGGAAAUUACAGAGUGAGAAAAGGGAGGGAUGCUAUAAUCUCGAGGUGGAGCAUGGAGCUGCAAGCUGAGAAAGGGUAGACUGAGAAUGGCGAGAGAGAGAAUCGGCGAGGGAUUUGAGGGAAAUUACAGAGUGAGAAAAGGGAGGGAUGGGGGAUUCGAUGGAUGGUUACACAGAGAGACUCGGGAGAGAAAAAG
This 169068-nucleotide long non-coding RNA is filed under the name Malus domestica (apple). RNAcentral's name for it is "long non-coding RNA (MDOM_LNC006269)". Lineage: Eukaryota; Viridiplantae; Streptophyta; Magnoliopsida; Rosales; Rosaceae. The record is from RNAcentral.